Molecule: long non-coding RNA, 150010 nt
Filed under: Triticum aestivum (bread wheat)
Lineage: Eukaryota; Viridiplantae; Streptophyta; Magnoliopsida; Poales; Poaceae
Description: long non-coding RNA (TAES_LNC026402)
Source: RNAcentral
AAAGCUACAGAUACAACCGCCGGAAACGCAACUCCUAAGUAAAACAAAAAUCUCCUACAUAACAUAGUUUUUCUACAAAUCAAGGAUGAAGACUGUCCAGGUGGUGCUCAUAUGCCUUGUCCUUUCGGUGCUCUGUUCAGGUAUUUUGCCGGUAUGUUUUUCUCCACCGCACUUGUAGGAAAUAUAUUUCGGCUUAUCCAUGCUCCUCCUCUCGAAACCCCGCAGGCAUCGCUGCUCGCUGUGCCCAGUACAACGUCUCCAAGGCAUGUCCAAGCAUAGCUUCAUGCACAGCACUAUGCACCUAUAAAUAUAAGGCGGACACGGUUUAUGGUGUAUGUGCUGAUAACGGAUGCUGGUGCGUAGUCUGCGUGAUACCACCUGCAGCUCAAUCUGCGUCUGCAGCCCAGAUUGCGCCCGCAGGGAAUUAAAGGAUAUCGCUUGCUUCCCUUUCUGCCUAAAUAGAAUAAAACAAUGUCUGAUUAAUGUAUUUUUCUCGUACCGACAACAUUGUAUCGGUGUAAGGACCCGUGAGGCAAAAUAACAUCCUAUUAAUAUUGAGCGCUCUUUGGCGAAAUGCAUGAUUAAUUAAUUGGACACUGUAGAGGAUGUAUAAAUAUCCUUUCAUUGCGAGUGGCCAUGAAAAUACGUUUGUGGAUUUUUUUUCUCUCCAUGUUGAGAACAUUACCAAACCAUCGGAAUCGGUCCUCCAUGCAAGUUGCAUCUGGAUGGGAGAUUCACAGCCAAGAUAGUGAAUAACCAGUUCCAUAAGCAACCUUGUUCUGAUCUCAUCAAAACUAUCAAACCCAUCACUUCACACCAUAAACCUGGCAAGCCGGUUCAAAUCUGGUCGAGAAGAAGCCCUUGGGGCCUUGGUGGUCGUCUGAAAGGCAACUUGAAUCACAAAGAGACUGUCCCUGACGGACCUGCAGGGUCUGCAGCGGCGAUCAUCAGCAUAGCGGAUCGAUCAUGAGAUGAAUGCUAAAGCGGCAAGCUAACAUUUGGCAAACGCUGGGUGAAGACAACUGAUGAAAAGUACCCACACGGAUAAUCCAUGCUAACCGAGGCCAGCAGCCGCAUGCAUGGCCAGCACGAGACCUUGGUGCACUAGUAGAAAAAGGCCCAUUUGUCCCGGUUCCAGAGGCCCUUCUGUCCCGGUUUUGGACCCGGGACUAAAGCCCAUGACCUUUAGUCCCGGUUCUCUUACGAACCGGGACAGAUGGGCCUCCAUGUGGCCUCUCCGCCGAGCCCAGGCAGGAGGGCCUUUGGUCCCAGUUCGUAACACCAACUGGGACCAAAAAGUGUCCACGUGUCAGCAGCUCAGGAGCUGGGGCUUUUGUUUUUUUGAAGGGGAGGAGGUUGGGGGUUUGGGAGUUGUUAAUUGGGCCAGACAGCCCAUCUAAGGAAGCCACACGAGACGGUCGACGGAGCCCAGUCGCGCGAGUGGAUCGAGCACCAAGAUCCCAACCGAGGCGAGCGAGGAGGAGCGCGAGAAUCGAACGCGACGCCCUUCAUCUGAGGUUGCAAGGGAAGCCGAUCCAGCCGACGAGGGAAUCCAGCGGACACGCCGGAUGCGGAUGAAGAAGAGGCCCGGUCGAUCCCUCUAUGAAGUGGGAAGGGGGACGCGGGCGAUGAUGUUGGGCAACCCAUCUGCUGGGAACUGAUCGCAAUCAUACUUCAGUUUCUAAGAUCGCAUUCAUGGCGAUUGUUGUGCCCAUCCUUUUCGCUGUCAUGUGGUACUUCUAUAUUGUUCCUCCCAUAACAAUCCUCGGUCACCCUCUCUACUCUGACAUCACAAGCAUCUUUCAGCAUCAUGCUCUGGUAUUACUUAUGCAUGAUUCCUCAAGAUUCGUCAUUGAGGUUUACAAUCGUUCAUUAUUAUACUUGUUCUUUCAGAUUCGUCAUUGUGCCCUACAUGAGUCUCUGUCAAAAUUUGCAUGUGUUAACUCUGUAUGUAUGUAUGCAAUUUGAUAUUUUAAAAUACUAACAUUUGUCCACUUUGUCCUAAAGUAGUUUUUGCUGCAUGGACGUGAGCAGAGCGAAGGUAUCCCAUUAUCAUGAUUCAGAGGACUCAUGUUAUUCUCUCUAUUGUCAAUGCAACCGACUCCGGUUUAUAUCUCUUCUUGGAAUAAAAAAAUGCAUAUAUGAACCUGACUUCUUAUGUAGCUAUGUUCAAUCAACACAUCAGAAUGUUUUUGUUGGGCUGCAGACAUCCCUGUUCUACGACAGGUGAUACAUAGGGAAUUAGGAUUUUAGAAAAUUUGCAUACAUAAAUCUUCGGACGUAAAACAUGUAAAUGUGGACAAGUAUGAAAGCAAUACAAAAGACAACAUUUUUAUUUUCAAGUUAUAAAGUGGAAUCCAUAGAUUACACAGGAAUGUUAUCUCCUAAAAGUGAAUAAUAACAAGACAUCCGUUCAUUCAAAUUGGUGAAUAUUUCUCAAGAUGGGUAAGAUUGACUUUCUCAGAUAGAGUGCAGUAUUGUGACGGUCUCUUUGACUACAUACAUGUUUGUCUCUCUGUUGUGAACUUGCAAGACCUGGAACAACCAGCCUAUUUGUUCAAAUUUCGAAAUCUUGGUGAUGUUGUUUUUCCCUCUUUGCGCAUACUUCUCCUAUUGUUUGGCGACAAACACUUCAUUGCUAAUCUGCCUUUCAAUGACUAUAUCCUUUUUGGCUGAUAGUCCUCUUAAACCUUUAAAUCAGUUUUUUUUAACUGGUGCUCAAUAUAAUGGAUUGUAAUGGUCAGCUGCUUAAUAUAAGAGCUUGGUAACUUGACUUUACGAAUUUAUCGUCCCUUUUUUGAAAUAUUUACUGUCAAUUCUGAGGUGGUGGGCGGCCUAGUGGAGGCUUAGGUAUGUUGAUGGUCCAUCUCCCUUGAUUCCAUUAUUUACAUCCUCUCGACCGCUAGCUCUCACUAGCUACCUGCAGGCACAUAUUUCGCCUAGCCACGCCACACAUGGUGCUCGAGAACUGAUGCUGCCGAGCAUAUCGUUGUGUACAUUCUACUCAUGGGUUAGAUUUUUUAGUUGAAUACAGUUUUGCAAACAGAUUAUUUAUGUAUGUUUCUUAGAAAACAUUGCUCCUUGAAUAAUACCCCAUGAUACUUAAACAAGCUCUAUGUCAUUUUUACUAGUUCAGUUUGGUGGUGGUUUAUAUUGAGGAUUUGAUCAUUGCUCAUGCAUGCUAAAAAAUUUAUCUAACAUGCAGUUUUGUUCAGGUACAUUUCAUUCUUUUGUACAUUGAAAACUAUUGUUGGUAUAUUUUAUAGCUAGACUGUGCACAUAAGUGUAGAGGCCAUUAGUUAUGUUGUUCAAGCUAUGUUGGUAUCUGUUUGAAGAUUAAUUCCAGUCGGAUAUGUUCCAUUGUCAUCUGACAUUUAAUAGUAAAAUAUACUAUUGAAAAUUAGUUAAAUAUACAUUGAAUAGUUCAAAUAAAGAAAUGUCAUGUCAGAUAAGUUAAGCUGACUACAUAUUUGUCAAUGGCUUUAUCAAAUGUAGGUUUCAAAUCAGAUGUCAUUCAGAACUCAUCCUUGAAUUACCUGUAUACUUGAUUAACUGGACUACAUCAUGGAGUUGUCGCCUUUGAAGUUUGAUGAAAUAAGGCCCAUGGUUGUUUGCUUUCCACUCUUAAAUUGCCUUUGGUUUGAAAGAAGGCCCAUGGUUGUUUGCUUUCCACUCUUAAAUUGCCUUUUUGACAGCAACAAAAAACUAUACUAAUAGGAGUUUUGAUUUCCCUUCUUCCUGUACUUUUUCUAUAUCACAAAGAAUUGUUCAUGCCUUAUUUGUCCAUUUCAUGUUGACAUUUCAACUUGACCAUUACAAGAACAUCAUGAUUUUCUUUAUGAUUAUUGCUGUUGUAGAGGUGUUAAAUAUAUAAAGUAUGAAAGGUGUAAUUUCAUGAGAGUACUUUGUAAUAUCAGCUUCCUUUGCCUGAUUGAUGUUGCUUUACAGUCUUAUUUGUCGGCAUUUUGUUCGGCGAGUUAAUGCUUUUUCCAUGCUGUGAGGUCGUAUAUGUUGCAGGCACAGAGCACCUAAGUUUUUCCCAUAGACACAAAAGCAAUGUUCCGGCUGUAGCAUUAAUUACACACACUAGUAUUUCCUAGGCUGCUAUAUAAAUAUGUACGAAAGGAUUGCUAUAUCAAAUACACGCUUAUGAUCAGUGCGUAUUAUCUUCCUUCACAAUGCUUACCCUGCUUACAGUAAUCUACAUGGGUCUGGUUCCUUUUAAUAUCAAUAUUUGUCAUCAGAUUCUGAUAUACAUUGUUUCAGUCCAAAUGAUACAGGGUGCACAUUUUCUACAUUUAAUUUCGACUAAGACUUUCUUUUCUUGGUGGUAUGAUCACUUAUCAGUAAUUUGAUGGUUAUCUAUAUAUGUUGAAUUUUCAUAGCAUUUUAACCUCCGAUAUCAAUAUAUUUUCAUAAUAUAAAUUGUUCAAUUUCAUUUCCAACGUAUUUUGCUCAUAUAUUUUUAUUAUUUCAUAAUAUGAAUGGUAUGACAAAUAUAUGAUUUAGUAUUUUGCAAAAAAAAUCUUGACUUGUGUAUUUUUCAAAAUUCCUUUCAUUCUUUUAAAAAUAGACGGGCGCGGCAAUGCGCGCCAUCCAUGAUCUAGUCAUAAGUGAUGUCCCGACCAGAUUCUUUCAACGUCAAUGAUUUUACUUUUUGGCAAGAUACUUUGGAGGUACGUAAAGCUAUAGAUCAGCGAUGGAUCAAAGUUGAGGUCAGGUAAAGAGGCGAUCUGUCCACUUCUUCUAGGGUGGCCGCUACGGUGGUGCCAGAUUUGAGUGACGGGCAUUGGUAUCUUGCUCAAGGGUUUCUUCAGCCGAGAUUGUAAUUUUCUUUCUCGACUAGCUAAGGGUAGUUUUUGCAAUAGCUAGGGUUGUCCUAUCUUUUUUUGGUUCUGUCAAGUUGGUGUUUAAGUGGAUCGUAAUUUGAUAUUUAUUUUAUAAAUGAGACACACAUGACAUCAAGUAAAAAAAAUCAAGGCUACAGAUCAACAUGACCUCGUGUAUCCCGCAUGANNNNNNNNNNNNNNNNNNNNNNNNNNNNNNNNNNNNNNNNNNNNNNNNNNNNNNNNNNNNNNNNNNNNNNNNNNNNNNNNNNNNNNNNNNNNNNNNNNNNNNNNNNNNNNNNNNNNNNNNNNNNNNNNNNNNNNNNNNNNNNNNNNNNNNNNNNNNNNNNNNNNNNNNNNNNNNNNNNNNNNNNNNNNNNNNNNNNNNNNNNNNNNNNNNNNNNNNNNNNNNNNNNNNNNNNNNNNNNNNNNNNNNNNNNNNNNNNNNNNNNNNNNNNNNNNNNNNNNNNNNNNNNNNNNNNNNNNNNNNNNNNNNNNNNNNNNNNNNNNNNNNNNNNNNNNNNNNNNNNNNNNNNNNNNNNNNNNNNNNNNNNNNNNNNNNNNNNNNNNNNNNNNNNNNNNNNNNNNNNNNNNNNNNNNNNNNNNNNNNNNNNNNNNNNNNNNNNNNNNNNNNNNNNNNNNNNNNNNNNNNNNNNNNNNNNNNNNCUUCGUCGCCAUGGAUGACUCCCUGCUAUCCCCCGUCACCGUCAAGGUCGCUGGCGCUCCUUCUCCUCGGGCGGAUCUCGUCGUCGGCCUUAUUGGCCCCGCCGUUGCCCAAGGUCAAGUCGCGCUUGCCCGCAAGCGGCAGGGCAACGUGGUCGUGCAGGGCGGCGCUCCGGCAGCCCCCGCUACGAGGGCCCGCGCUCCGGGCGCCAACGCUGCUGCGCGAUCUCGGACGGCAUCGGAGAAGGUCGCCAAGGUCGCCGGCGUCAAGAGGAAGGAGAUUCCGGCCACAAAGAAUCUGCCUCCUUCAUCCGCUCACUCUGGCCCGAAAAGAGGUGCCCUGGCGAUGCCGCUCAACGGUGCUGCUCCCCCCGCAAGCGAGGUGUUUGACGAAAUGGCCGGAAGGUAUGUGUCUUCGGUCAUGGCAAUUUUCUUUGCUUUUCGCCAUUUUGCGAUAGCUCGUGACUUGUUGUGCUUCACUAUAGCGGUGGUUCGAACAAUGCAACUGCUGAGUUCGUGAACUUGUUGGACACCAACGCCGUUGACAUUGAUCAAGUCCCGUUUGAAGCAUUCGACUACAAUGAAACGGAGGCUAGCAUGGACGAUCAUGGUUUUCAGGACGAUUUAGAGGAGAUCGAAGCGGAAGCAUAUGAGCAAUCGCAAACAAAAACUAGGAAAAGCCAGAGAUUGAAGAACUACACGAUCUUGGAAGAUCAAGUUCUCAUCAAUGCAUGGAGUGCGGUGUCUCUUGAUGCAUGCACGGGUACUUCUCAAGCCGCCAAGUGGUAUUGGCAAAGGCUCGAAGAUCAAUACUUCUGCAUGAUGGCAAAGUACCCCAAUAGGACUCCAUGCACAUUUCGGUCUCUUCAAGGUCGUUGGGAGAAUAUCAAGCCUAUGUGCAGCCGUUGUGGGUGGGGAGGAGUGCCUUAUAUGGAGAGGAAGGGGCUUGGGUGAGAGGUAGAUGGAUCUGAUCGAUCUGCGGCGGCAAGGCGCAGUGCAAAGCCGAGACGGGGUAGAGAUUGGUAGGGUUCCGUGGCGCGCGCGGCUGCGAGUGGUGGACGAUCGCGGCGGGAGGGAAGGGGGCGGGAGUCCGCUUGGGAGACGAUGGCGGCAGGUAGGGAUAGUUCAUCGAUGGAGUUUGUUAGACGGAAGGAGAGGGAGAGGAGACUCGCGCGCGGCUAAAACGGGAUUCACCUGCUGUUAAUUAAUUUGACAGCGCAGCGGCAGAGAGAGAGAGAGAUAGAAAGAGAGAGACUGCCGCGCGGUUUAAACGGCCCGGGAUUCACUUGCUGUUAAUUUGACAGCACAGCGCCGCAGAGAGAGGGAGAUAGAUUCUACCAUACCCUCCAUACGGUUUAAACGGAAUCACUUUCUGUUAAUUUGACAGCGUGGCACUAGAGAGAGAGAGAGAGAGAGAGAGAGAUUAAGUCCCCAAGAGGAAUCGUUGGAACAUAUAUGCUGCAACAUGUAAAUCAAUGUUUCCAAUGACAAGAAGAAUAGAUAACAUGAAAAGUAUUUGGUGGCAUGAGCACAAUAUCUGCCACAGACCUUCGGACUCAUCGGGCAAUGUAACCCCAUGUGAUUGCAACAAACCGAAUGUAGGUGUUUAGAGCAUCUUCAACAGGCGAUCAAAAACUGCUCCGCGCGCUAAAACUUGGGUUUUUUGGGCGCCGGAUAGAGCAGAAACUGUAAAAUAGUGCACACGCAAAAAAAGGUUGGGCACGCGCGGAAAAAUGCUAUCGCAUGCUGUAAAUUUGAGGCGCCUGAUUGCCGCGCUUCACAAUUUACACUGCAUGCUUUUUUGGGCGCGAGUUUUUUCGCAUCUGGUAAAGCAAUGUUGGGUCCGGCACGCUAAAAGUGCUACAGUGGUGCGCUAAAACUAUUUUAGACGCGAAAGUUUUGUACAUCUGUUGGAGAUGCUCUUAUAUAUUGAAGAAAUCUACACCAAACCGUGUGAUCCCGACACUAGGCACCCCCCGGGCACCUUUUCCCCAUGGUCGGGCAACAUAUUUUUUAGAAAUGCAACGACGUUGCAUUUAAUUGAUGAAGAAGAAGAAACAUUUACAAUGCUAGAUUGAGCACACAAACCCACAACAACACACAAGAACGCAAACACGAGCACCAUAGCAACACCACGCCCUAGAAGAGAAGGAACUCAGCUUCAAAGAUCAUGAAGGCUUGAUGGGGCGAGGAAGGUGUAGCAAUUCCAUCAUCCUAACCAAGCAAGGCGCACACCUAGAGACUUAUUCAUCUGGUUGCCAUCCAACAACACCCCCAAAAGAGAGGGAGGGUGUCGUAUGGGAGCAAGCUAAUCGCAGAAGGAUCACACUAGCUAACCUGGCUUCAGACGCAAGCGCCAGACUUGCCAACAUGAAAUUGAGAACUUGGAUCACAUCUGCCCAACACCAACAACAUCGGCACCCUCCUACCACUGGUCCCUCCAACCGGUAGCACAAAAGAUGAUGCCCCAAGAGGAGCUCCGCACCGACAUCAUCAUAUCUAACCUCCUAGAGGGUCGGAGAGCCUUUGUCUACCCCGGCCACAACCGGAAUCGAGGACCUAGCCCAAUAUAGUGCCACCUCCUCUCGCCCGUGUCAAUAACGUUCAGACCGUGACCAUCAUCGCCUGCCCAAUACCUGCCAACCCCCGGCACCCAAUGACUGCCACAACCACCAUUAGAUCUGGGCCCCGGGGCCCAAACUCUCUUCUGCUUAUAAUUUUUAUUACUUCUGGUGUUCUCUACACAGUCAUUAUAUGACAAAUAAUGAAUAAAGUGGAAGUUUCUUCCAGAAAAACUCUCUUACAAGUGUAAUCUCUGCUGAUCAGUUCCCAUGGCGUAAUAUUACGUUAAGGUAGAGCAUAAUAGAAUAUGGGGUCGUUCGACUACUGUCAUGUUAUAUGAUCGAGUCAAUAAAUUGUUGCUUCUUGGACAAUAAACAAGAGUUUUAAACAAGAUGCAGAUGCACGUGUGGGCGUCCGCUCGUCACUCUGUUUGUGUGGUACAAUGGCUUAGUGUGUGUGUACAUCACAUGAGUGCAGAUUUCUGUAUGAUUUUAUUUAUAGCUGCUCAGACUGGACAUAUUUGACAUAACUUAUCAACAGAUUAAUCUAAUAGAGUGAAGUUUAUUUUUCCUCGCAAAAAAAUAUUUAUUUUAUUUUCUUGUGAAUAGAAAAACUGCACCUUUCCCAGGUGUUGAUUUACCAUUUGGCGUUGCCGUUUGUGCAUGCAUGCACUUCAACUUUUUGCAUGAGCUUUCUGUUAGGAUCUUUUUCGUUUCCGAUUAAAUUUUCUGCAACCACGCUUUGCUACUUUUUCGUUCCAAAAGAAAGCUGAUCAGACGAGUAUGUGAUGUGCAGUGUUCAUCCUUGUAAUCGUUAGAAGUGGAUGAACAAAGCGUGCAAUCAAGACACAUUUAUCCAACUUCAAGCACGUAUCGAUCAAACUAUUGCACAACUUUAGACCUAAUAAACCUUCUAAUGGUACCAAUCUACUAACAUUUACACACGUAUGAUGCCUAAUAGUGUUAAUACCACGAUCGUAGCACAUCAGAAUACUCUCUAUCAAUCUGCAUGCUUGCUGUAUCAUCGAUCACUGCUUCUCGUCGACGGGGGCUUCCUCCUCUUUCUUCGCCUCCUGCAUGAUGGUCACGCCGAAGAGCCUCAGGCAUCCCGCCGGCACCACCGGCACUUGCGGGGGCUGCACCGCCGGCACCACAACAGGCGCUUCCAUGGCAGGCGCCAGCCCGGGGAUCGCGACCCCGAUGACGUCCGGGGGUAAGAGGAGGCGCGCCCAUUUCCUCGGCACGAUGGGCUUGCCCGUGUAGUGCUUCCUCAUGUGCCCACCUAGCUGGACGCCGCUGGUGUACACUUCGCCGCAGACCUUGCAGGUGUGGAGCUUCUCCGGCCUAGGCCCGCCCGCUGCUAUGGGGUCGACCCCCGCUGCUAUGGCUGCAGCGGCGGCCGUUGCGAUCCUCCGGUUCUUGUGGCCGGCGACGUGUCCGCCCAGCCCCUGGUGCGUCUCGAACCACCGGUUGCACUCCUUGCACGAGAAUCCAUGCGGGGCGGCCGGGUCCUGGUGCAGUGGCCAGUGGAAGGCCAGCGGUGGGACGGCGGCAGCAUGCUGCUGUGCGGCGGCGGGGAGGGUGGAGAUAGACGGCGGCUGGCUCUGGUGCUGGUGCGACCGGCGGUGGGACGGGGUCUUGCCGAUGUGCAGAAGGCGUUGGGGCGAUGUUGACUUAAUUGGGUGCAGCGGCGGGUGCUGCUGCCUCUGACACCACGAUGGCCAUGGAAAGAUCAGCAGCACUCUGAGUGGGCUCCAUGCUGCUGGACCUCCUGCUGCUGCCGCUGCCGACGAGGACCUGAUCGCUGCUCGGCACCUCCACGGUCAUCGGGUCGUCCGGGGUCUUGGGCUCCUCGACGACAUAUGCUAUGGACGCGGACACGGAGUCAGCCACCUGGUCCACGGCGCUGACCGUGGCAGACGCCUUCGCCUCCUCCUUGGGCUGGGCCUGCGCGUGGACCCUCAUGUGGCCAUGGACGGCCUUGGAGCUGUGGAACUGCCUGUGGCAGACGGGGCAGGCCGGGAAUAACGCGGUGGCGGCAGCAGUAUCGCCGCCGGCGUGGCCGUCGUCUCUGAUGGUCUCGUCGGAGAGCGAGGACGACGGCGACGAGCGCCGGGUAGUCGAUCUUGAUCUUCUUGACCCGGCGCUGACCACGUCCUCCGGUACAGGGCCGGGGCCAGGGCGGGCGACCGUGACCAUCUGGUGCUGGCGGUGGUCGUUGAGGGGCAGUGGAUGGAGGAAGUAGCGCGCGUCCUCGUCGUCGGUGUCGGUGUCGGAGCCCGUGUAGUAGGCGGAGGCGACCUCGCCCUCCUCGAUGUCCCGGCGCCGGCGCGGUGGCUGGGCCGGGCGAUCAUCAUCCGCGGAGCCGGCCAUGGAAGGAAACCAGAUGGUAGAUCGAUCGACUGGCAGCGAGGAGAGAGAGCGAGAAGCUAGGGUUUUGGAAUCGCACGCUGCGCUCGAGAUUUUAGGGCUUGGCUUGUGUUGUGGCCUGUGUGGGGUCUGUGCUUCGCUUGUGGGUGGAGGGAGGUAGAGGGAAAGUGGGGUGCCUUAUAUGGAGAGUGACGGCUUGGGUGAGGGGUAGCUCCGUUGGGCGGCGGCAAGGCGCGGCGGGAGGCCGAGACGGGGUGGAGAAGUAGAGAUAGAGUUGGAGUCGGUAGGGUUUACGACAGCGGGGCUUCCGUCGCGCGCGCGGCUGCGAGCGGGGGAUCGCGGCGGGAAGGGGACGGGAGUCUGCUUCGGAGACGAUGGGUGGCGGGGCUGGGAUGGAUCCAGUUUGUUACGCGGUUUGAAGGGGAUUCACCUGCUGUUGAUUUUUUUUGACAGCGCAGCGUGGCAGAGAGAUAGAGGGAGACUUCCGCGCGGUUUAAACGGUUUGACAGUACUAGGGAGAGAGAGAGAGAGAGAGAGUACCGCGCGGUUUAAACGGGAUCACCUGCUGUUAAUUUAAGAGAGAGAGAGAGAGAGACUACCGUACCGUGCAGUUUAGACGUGAUCACCUUCUGUUAAUCUUUUUUUGCGGGUUAUUUUCUGUUAAUUUGACAGCGUGGCAGAGAGAGAGAGAGGAGUUAGCAGUUCUUUUUUUUUUCUUUGAGCGGGAGAAGAGAUAGCAGUUUCGUAUAUGGAAACGAAUCUUGGCCGGAUCUGAUCGAUAUUUCUUCGCCAACAAGAUAUAGUACACUAGUGGAGGCAAAGGAAAGUUAAUUAAACCGGUGAAGAGAUUAGAGACGGAGAGAGGAGUCUUUUUUUUUUAGAACGAGAGAGAGGAGUCUAGAUAUUCUUUUUUUUCCUGGCAUGAUAAAGCACAUACCAAAAACAUCGAAGCAGUCCAAACAAAUCAAUACAGUAGCAUUAUUUACUUCCUGUAAAUAAAUGUACUAACCAAUCUCCUAAUGAAGGCCCGAGAAGAAUCAUGCAUGGCAACAUAUAUGCUAAUUUUUUGUUGGUAGCUUACCAAGCUGACCACUUGUAAAAAUAUGCUGCAACAUGUAAAUCAAUGUUUCCAACAAUAAACAAAAUAAUUCCCGAAAAAUAUAACGUGAAGAAUAUUUUGCAGCAUGAGCACAAUAUUUGUAGCAGGCCUUUGGACUCAGUCGGGGCAUGUCACGUGUGUGUAUGCAGUGAAGCAAAUGUGGUUUUGUGACAUAUUGAAGGGAUGAAAGACAAAUCGCGGGAUCCCAACCGGGCCUAUCCACCCGCGGGUAACGUUUCCCCAAAGCCAACCAACAUGGAGGGGGGGGGGUCCCUUUUCAGUCCAACUCCAGCUACUCCAUUGAUCCACGACAUAACCUCGACAACCUUCAACCAAGGGCAGACCAAGGGCGGAUGAAAAACAUAGGAUGGUGGGAGGGGAGUUGUGAGAGGAUAACUGUUUAAGAUAGAUUCACAAAAUCCUCGCUCUAAGAUUAAGGAUAAUGCAUUAUAUAUGUGUUCUACGGAGUUGUAAAUAUAUGAUCCAUUUUUCACCGCUUUAUGACAAAUAAUUGUGUUCAUCGACGUACUGGUCUAUAUUUGCAGGCAUAUCGGGUCAGAUAUCGGCCAUACGGUCGAUAUUUCAGUCCAUGUCAGAAGAUAUGUGUGAAAAUAAUAUUUACAAAAUGAUAUUUACUAAUAUAUCAGCCUAUAUAUCAAUCAUAUCAGCCUAGAUUUAAAAGCUUGAUCUCAGCCCUCCGUUUGGUUGAAGAUUGCAAUGCAUGUAUGCUUAUCUUCUUUACAUGCAUGGCGCCACGGACUACUUUUAGGGGGGCCCAUGCAUUCAUGCAUGAUGUCAACUAAUAGCAUUAUGCUCCCCCCAUCCCAUGUCCCAUACGUUUUCAUUUCACCCUUAAAUUUCAAUAUAUUUUUGUUCUAGAUGUGGUAUGAGAACUAACACAGUGAGGCAACACUGAACAUCAUGUCGUACUCAAUAUUUCUGCACUGUACUAGUACUAACUAGGGAUGCAGUGUACUACUAACAAGAUAUUGCAAAUCACAGCGGCACAGAGAUGACAUGGGUGGAGGCGGAGAUAGACGCACCUAUGAUCUCCGUCGUCGUGGAGGUUGAUGCCGUGGCUGCGGAGGAUGGCCCGGAGAUUGGUGCGUUGAGGAUGCUCCUCGACCUUGUGCUCCAACUAUUCAAGGCAGAAGUGGUCAAUGCGUUUGCUCCUGCCCAGAUUACAUACACCAGUGCAUAGAUUUCAGAAUCGAACAAAUCAGAUGUGCAAGAGAGGAGGGAUAGGGAGGAGGGGGCUUACCUGAAGGAGGCGUCUUUGCUGCGGACGAGGAGUAGGACGAGGAGCAUAAACUAUCUUUUGAACCAAAAGUCCUAAUUAAGUUUUGUUUGCAUAUUUGUGUUCCUUGUGACAAGGGCUUUGAAAUAAGACCAAUUUUCAAUAUGUGUUUACAUUUUUUUAAAAGUUUUUGCUAAGUUUCCACAGCCAAAACUUAAUAGCAAUGGACGAUAAAAUUAGUAAACUUAAAACUAGGGAGGAGCAAGAACGCCAGCGCAAGCAGCUCGAGCGACGUGGCGGAGGAGGGCCAAGUACGCCCCGAGCGAGACCCUAUGGCGUAACUCCUCCCGCGGGAUCAGCUUGGCGCUGGCUUCGCGUGCAGGGGCUCCUCCAUCUCCGCCUUGUGCUGAGCGCCGUGGGGGUGGUGAUGGAGGGGGGGUGAGGAUGGAGAGGGCGAGGGCAGCAAGGAGGAAGAUGAGACCGACGGCGCCGAGGAGCGGGCGCUGCGGACAUGGGAAGAGGAGGUGUAAGGCGAGGCAAGAGAGAGGGGGGAACAGAGGAAACGUGCACGAGAGAGCCCUCUCCGACCCGACCAGGGGUACUUUUGGAAAGUGCAGAAAAUGUUUGAACUCCGAAAUUUUGUACUGGAUUCUCUAAAACGACUUAUAAUACGGAGAAGAGGGAGUACAAAAGAACUAGACACUUUUUUUUGUGUCGAUUUAUUUGGCUUUGUGCAUGCAUGCAUGCACUUCCAGUUUGAGCGUGAGUUCUGUACUUCUUUUUUUAGAAUCAAGCGUGAGUUCUGUACUUCUCUUACGAUCGUUUCCGAGAAAAUUGCUGUCAUCGCGCUUUGGUCUUUUUUCGUUCCAAGAAAGCUGAUCAAGGUUAAUGUGCGUGUGUGUGGUGCGCAGUGUGUCAUCCUUGUAUAACAGCCAGCGGACGUUAUAAAACUUGAUGAACAAAGUGUACAAUCAAGAGACAAUUAUCAAGUUCCACGUACCGAUGAAAAUUAUCACACAACUUUAGACAUCUCCUUGGAUAUUUCUGAUUUAAUAAAUCUUCUAAUGGUACCAAUCUCAUAACAAUUUCAUACCUAUGACUAAUAUGUACUGACAUCAAAAUACUUUCAUACUCUUCGAUAUCAAACUGCAUGCCGCAUUAUCGAUCCACUGCUUGUCGUCGACGCAGGGCUCCUCCUCCUCUUUCUUCGCCUCCGGCACGAUGGUGACGCCGAAGAGCCUCACGCAGCCUGCCGGCACCGCCGGCGCCUGCAGCGGCGCAGCCGCCACCUCGGCCGGUGGCGCCUGUGGCGCCGGCCUGGGGAUCGCGAGCCCGAGGACGUCCGGGGGAAGGAGGAGGCGCGCCUGCUUCCUCGGCACGAUGGGCUUUCCUGUGUAGUGCUUCCUCAUGUGCCCCCCUAGCCGGACGCCGCUGUUGUAAACUUCGCCGCAGACCUUGCAGGUGUGGAGCUUCUCCGGCCUGGGGCCGCCCACGGCGUGGUCAAUCGGGUCGAGCCCCGCGGCUAUGGCUGCAGCGGCCUCCGCCGCGAUGCGACGGUUCUUGUGGCCGGCGGCGUGGCCGCCCAGCCCCUGGUGCGUCGGGAACCACCGGUUGCACUCCUUGCACGAGAACCCACGCGGGGCGGCCGUGUCCCGGUGCGCGAUGAUGUGCAGCGGCCCGUGGNNNNNNNNNNNNNNNNNNNNNNNNNNNNNNNNNNNNNNNNNNNNNNNNNNNNNNNNNNNNNNNNNNNNNNNNNNNNNNNNNNNNNNNNNNNNNNNNNNNNNNNNNNNNNNNNNNNNNNNNNNNNNNNNNNNNNNNNNNNNNNNNNNNNNNNNNNNNNNNNNNNNNNNNNNNNNNNNNNNNNNNNNNNNNNNNNNNNNNNNNNNNNNNNNNNNNNNNNNNNNNNNNNNNNNNNNNNNNNNNNNNNNNNNNNNNNNNNNNNNNNNNNNNNNNNNNNNNNNNNNNNNNNNNNNNNNNNNNNNNNNNNNNNNNNNNNNNNNNNNNNNCCGGGGCGGCCCGGUGGAGGUAGGCGGCGGCUGGCUCUGGUGCUCGUGCGACCGGCGGUGAGUCGGGGUCUUGCUGCGGUGCAGCAGGCGUCGGGGCGAGGUCAACUUCCUCCGAUAAAGCGGUGGGCGGUGCUACCCCUGCCACCACGAUGGCCAUGGACCGAUCAGAAGUACUCUGACAAGGCUUCUGGACGCUGGCGCUGUUGCUGCUUCUGCUGCUGCUGCGGACGACCUGAUCGCUGCUCCCCUGCUCCACCGUCAUCGGGUCAUCCGAGAUCUUGGGUUCCCCGACAACAGUGGCCGUGGACACGGACACGGAGUCGGCCACCUCGUCCACGGCGCUGACCGUAGCAUACACCUUCUCCUCCUCCUUGGGCUGGGCCUGUGCGUGGACCCUCAUGUGGCCGUGCACGGCCUUGGAGCUGUGGAACUGCCUAUGGCAGACGGGACAGGCCGGGAAUAACGCGGUGACUGCGGCAGCAUUGCUGAUGGUCCCGUCGGAGCCGAGCGAGGUAGUGGGCGACGACGCCCGGGUAGUCGAUCUUGAUCUUGACCUUGACCCGGUGCUGCCAGUGCCAACGACCACGUUGUCGAGGACAGGGCCGGGGCCUGGCCGCGCGACCGUGACCAUCAUCUCCUGUUGGUCGUCGUAGCGGCGCACUGGCUUUAGGUAGUAGCGCGCGGCCUCAUCGUCGGUGUCGGUGUCGGUGUCGGAGCCCGUGUAGUACGCAGAGACAAAUCUUCACCGGAUCUCUGAUUGGUAUUUCUUCGCCAACAAGAUAUUUAAGUGGAGACAAAAGGAAAGUAAAUUAAACCGGUGAAGAGAGUAGAGAUAGAGAGGAGUAUUCUUUUAGGAGAGCUGAGCGUUUAAUUUGCGGAGGCGCCCAGCCCCAGCCCCAGAUAUGCCGCCGCAUCCACCGUUGGAUGUCACUUUAGCAUUACUAUCAUCUUUUUUUUCAUGGCAUGUCCAAGGACAAUACCAUAAACAUUGAUGCAUUCCUACCAAAUCGACAUAGCAUGAGAAAAAAAAAGUACCAAAGUCCCUGAGAACAAUCAUGCUUCGCAUAUGCUUUUUUUAACACGGUCCAGACGCAGACGCAUAUACACCAUUACCCCUAUAAGCACCUUCGAGAGACAGAGUCGACACAUCAUUUCCAUUUUGGCGAAAUCACCACACACUCCAUCAUGGUCGACGGGAACGUCUCCUUCCACUAAAUGCACAUCGCCGGAAGGUCUGGAAUAAAUACAGAAAAAUGAGAGUCGAGCCUAGGACUUAAACUCUGGUGGGCUGGCGAUACCAUAGUCCUCCUAACCAUUCAACCACAGGUUGGUUCACUCUUGGCAACAUAUGCUACAACAUUUAAAUCAAUGCUUCCCACAACAUGCAGAAUAAUUCACAAAAGAGAUAACAUGAAGUAUAUAGUUUGCAAUAGACCUUCAAACUCAUGGGGGCAUGUCACCCGUCCGCUUGCAGCAAACCAAAUGUAGAUUUGUAACAUACCAAAGGAAUGUAUUGCCAUAUCACGUUUUCCACAAAGCCAUGCAAAUGUUGGGGUGGGGGGGGGUGUCCAUUUUCGGCUUCAACUGGAGCUAUCUCACGGUUCCAUGUCAUAAGCGCUCGUCAACCAUCGACCCAUGGCGGAGGAGGAAUGACUAUGGUAAGCCCGGUGGAAGAAGAAUUGUGAGAGGGUGGAGGCGCGGUGUCAGUGUAUCUCUGAAUUGCAAAUAUAGUUGCUGCCUUAGACUGCCUUAAUAGACGACGGUUCUCACUAAAGCUAUUGCCCACUAUUUCUACGAGUUAAGUUUAAUCAUAAUUGUUUCGAGAAGCAAACUUUGGAGUUCAUAAUAUAGCCACACCGUAGCCACCAGUUUGUCGGUAAGUAGUGAAAUGUGGUUCCAAGUUUUUCUUGGCACUUGCUCUUUGUACACACAUGCAUAUCAGAACAUUAUAUUUCUUCACCAUCGACUUCCUCUCACAAUUUGUGUCUGUUUAGAGCUCACUUCUAAUCACCUCUCAUUUAGAACUAGGUGGUGUUUGUACUGUACAAGAGCCGAUUCUGGAAAAACAAUAGCAACGUGGUGAUCAAUGGCUAGACUCAGGUCUAAGCUCUCUUAGAACCAAGUUUUAACCAUUAACUCAAAUAAGAUGAAGUUUUGACCACAAUUUAGUCCCUUGUACAAGUUCUAAGUCGCAUAUAUUAACCAUAUGAGGUUGAAUGCAUAAAACCGAUCAAUUCCCAGGGCGUAAGAUUAUGGACAUGCUCUCUGACACGGUACAUACAUCAUAACAAGGGAACAAAGCGAGUUUUUUUUUUGCAUGGUAAUAUGUGUCCCAUUCAUAUCAUAAAGAUUAAAAGUACAAGUCACAUAAGGACCGACAUGACAAAACUGAAAAGAUAACAUAACGUCUCUAAGCUUGACACCAACGCUCGUCACCUGCCUCCGGCACCAGCAUAGCAGCCACCGAAAGAAAAAAUGACAGAUCACCUUCUCACCCGAGCUCGACGCGGCUCCGCCGCUGAUAUGUAGCUUUGCGGGCCUCCAAGGUGGCUCGUCAAAGACGAAACCAUUACCGUUGAACGAAUUAGACCGGUGCAACACCCCGGACACGCCAUCGACCUUCAGAUCUGUUGGGGAACAUAGCAGAAAUUCUAAAUUUUCCUACGUGUCACCAAGAUCUAUCUAUGGAGAGACUAGCAAUGAGGGGAAGGAGAGUGCAUCUACAUACCCUUGUAGAUCGCUAAGCGGAAGCGUUCAAGUGAACGGGGUUGAUGGAGUCGUACUCGUCGUGAUUCAAAUCACCGAUGAUCAAGUGCCGAACGCACGGCACCUCCGCGUUCAACACACAUACAGCCCGGUGACGUCUCCCAAGCCUUGAUCCAGCAAGGAGAGAGGGAGAGGUUGAGGAAGACUCCAUCCAGCAGCAGCACAACGGCGUGGUGGUGGUGGAGGAGCGUGGCAAUCCUGCAGGGCUUCGCCAAGCACCGCGGGAGAGGAGGAGUACUUGUGAGAGGGGGAGGGCUGCACCAGAACUUCGUCUAUAGCUCCCAUGCGCCUCCCCACUAUAUAUAGGGGUGGAGGGGCUGGUUUCUUGCCCUCCAAGUCCAUUGGGGCGUUGGCCAAGGUGGGAGGAAAGAAAUCUCAUUAUUUCCUUCCCCACCGAUUGUUAUCCCCCCUUUUUAGGGAUCUUGAUCUUAUCCCUUCGGGAUAUGAUCUUAUUCCUUCUAAGGGGGGAUCUUGGUGCGCCUUGACCAGGGGUGUGGGGCCUUGCCCCCACUACCCACGUCCAUGUGGGUCCCCCCAUGCAGGUGGGCCCCACUCCGGAACCUUCUAGAACCUUCCCGGUACAAUACCAAAAAACCCGAACAUUUUCCGGUGGCCAAAAUAGGACUUCCCAUAUAUAAAUCUUUACCUCCGGACCAUUCCGGAACUCCUCGUGACGUCCGGGAUCUCAUUCGGGACUCCGAACAACAUUCGGUAACCACAUACAAACUUCCUUUAUAACCCUAGCGUCAUCGAACCUUAAGUGUGUAGACCCUACGGGUUCGGGAGACAUGUAGACAUGACCGAGAUGUUCUCCGGUCAAUAACCAACAACGGGAUCUGGAUACCCAUGAUGGCUCCCACAUGUUCCACGAUGAUCUCAUCGGAUGAACCACGAUGUCAAGGACUUAAUCAAUCCCGUAUUCAAUUCCCUUUGUCUAUCGGUAUGUUACUUGCCCGAGAUUCGAUCGUCGGUAUCCAAUACCUUGUUCAAUCUCGUUACCGGCAAGUCACUUUACUCGUUCCGUAACACAUCAUCCCGUGAUCAACUCCUUGGUCACAUUGCGCAUAUGAUGAUGUCCUACCGAGUGGGCCCGGAGAUACCUCUCCGUUUACACGGAGUGACAAAUCCCAGUCUCGAUCCGCAUAAAACAAUAGAUACUUUCGGAGAUACCUGUAGUGCACCUUUAUAGUCACCCAGUUACGUUGUGACGUUUGAUACACCCAAAGCACUCCUACGGUAUCCAGGAGUUACACGCUCUCAUGGUCGAAGGAAGAGAUACUUGACAUUGGCAAAGCUCUAGCAAAUGAACUACACGAUCUUUUGUGCUAGUCUUAGGAUUGGGUCUUGUCCAUCACAUCAUUCUCCUAAUGAUGUGAUCCCGUUAUCAACGACAUCCAAUGUCCAUAGCCAGGAAACCAUGACUAUCUCUUGAUCACAACGAGCUAGUCAACUAGAGGCUCACUAGGGACAUAUUGUUGUCUAUGUAUUCACACGUGUAUUACGAUUUCCGGAUAAUACAGUUAUAGCAUGAAUAAAAGACAAUUAUCAUGAACAAGGAAAUAUAAUAAUAAUACUUUUAUUAUUGCCUCUAGGGCAUAUUUCCAACAGUCUCCCACUUGCACUAGAGUCAAUAAUCUAGUUCACAUCGCCAUGUGAUUAACACUCACAGGUCACAUCGCCAUGUGACUAAUACCCAAGAGUUUACUAGAGUCAGUAGUCUAGUUCACAUCACUAUGUGAUUAACACUCAAUGAGUUUUAUGUUUGAUCAUGUUGCUUGUGAGAGAGGUUUUAGUCAACGGGUCUGAACCUUUCAGAUCCGUGUGUGCUUUACAAAUCUCUAUGUCAUCUCCUAGAUGCAGCUACCACGCUCUAUUUGGAGCUAUUCCAAACAACUGUUCUACUUGGAGCUAUUCCAAAUUAUUGUUCCAUUAUAUGUAUCCGGUCUCUCUACUCAGAGCUAUCCGGAUAGGUGUCAAGCUUGCAUCGUCGUAACCUUUAUGACAAACUCUUUUACCACCUCCAUAAUCGAGAAAAUUCCUUAGUCCACUAGUUACUAAGGAUAACUUUGACCGCUGUCCUGUGAGCCAUUCUUGGAUCACUCUUGUACCCCUUGACUGACUCAUGGCAAGGCACACUUCAGGUGCGGUACACAGCAUAGCAUACUGAAGAGCCUACGUCUUAAGCAUAGGGGACGACCUUCGUCCUUUCUCUCUAUUCUGCCGUGGUCGAGCUUUAAGUCUUAACUUCAUACCUUACAACUCAGACAAGAACUCCUUCUUUGACUGGUCCAUCUUGAACACCUUCAAGAUCAUGUCAAGGUAUGUGCUCAUUUGAAAGUAUUAUUAAGCAUUUUGAUCUAUCCUUAUAGAUCUUGAUGCUCAAUGUUCAAGUAGCUUAAUCCAGGCUUUCCAUUGAAAAACACUUUCAAAAUAACCCUAUAUACUUUCCAGAAAUUCUACGUCAUUUCUGAUCAACAAUAUGUCAACAAUAUAUACUCAUCAGAAAUUCUAUAGUGCUCCCACUCACUUCUUUGGAAAUACAAGUUUCUCAUAAACUUUGUACAAACCCAAAAAUUUUGAUCAUCAUCAAAGCAUACAUUCCAACUCCGAGAUGCUCACUCCAGUCCUUAGAAGGAUUGCUGGAGCUUUGCAUACUUACUAGCAUCUUUCGGGAUUGACAAAACCUUCCGGUUGUAUCACAUACAACCUUUCCUCAUUAAAAUCGUCGAGGAAACAAUGUUUUGACAUCCUAUCUGCAAGAUUUCAUAAAUAAUGCAGUAAUCGCUAAUAUAAUUCCAACAGACUCUUAGCAUCGCUACGAGUGAGAAAAUCUCAUCGUAGUCAACUCCUUGAACUUGUCGGAAAACAUCUUAACGACAAGUCGAGCUUUCUUAAUGGUGACAUUUACCAUCAUUGUCCGUCUUCCUUUUGAAAUCCAUCUGUACUCAUUAGCCUUACGACCAUCGAGCCGUUCUGCCAAAGUCUACACUUUGUUUUCAUACAUGGAUCCUCUCUCGGAUUUUUAUGGCCUCAAGCCAUUUAUCGGAAUCCGGGCCCACCAUCGCUUCUCCAUAGCUCGUAGGUUCAUUGUUGUCUAGCAACAUGACCUUCAAGACAGGAUUACGUACCACUCUGAAGUAGUACGCAUCCUUGUCAUCCUACGAGGUUUGAGAGUGACUUGAUCCGAAGUUUCAUGAUCAAUAUCAUAAGCUUCCACUUCAAUUGGUGUAGGUGCCACAGGAACAACUCCCUGUGCCCUGUCACACACUAGUUGAAGAGACGGUUCAAUAACCUCAUCAAGUCUCCACCAUCCUCCCACUCAAUUUGUUCGAGAGAAACUUUUCCUCGAGAAAGGACCCGAUUCUAGAAACAAUCCAUAUUGCUUUCAGAUCUGAAUUAGGAGGUAUACCCAACUGUUUUGGGUUUCCUAUGAAGAUGCAUUUUAUCCGCUUUGGGUUCGAGCUUAUCAACCUGAAACUUUUUCAUAUAAGCGUCGCAGCCCCAAACUUUUAAGAAACGACAACUUAGGUUUCUCUAAACCAUAAUUCAUACGGUGUCAUCUCAUCGGAAUUACGUGGUGCCCUAUUUAAAGUGAAUGUGGUUGUCUCUAAUGCCUAACCCAUGAACGAUAGUGGUAAUUCGAUAAGAGACAUCAUGGUACGCACCAUAUCCAAUAGGGUGCAACUAUGAUGUUCGGACACACCAUCACAUUAUGGUGUUCCAGGCGGUAUUAAUUGCGAAACAAUUUCCACAAUGUCUUAAUUGUGUGCCAAAACUCGUAACUCAGAUAUUCAUCUCUAUGAUCAUAUCAUAGACAUUUUAUCCUCUUAUCACAAUGAUCUUCUACUUCACUCUGAAAUUACUUGAACCAUUCAAUAAUUCAGACUUGUGUUUCAUCAAGUAAAUAUUCUCAACAUCUACUCGAAUCAUCUGUGAAGUAAGAUCAUAACGAUAUUCACUGCAUGCCUCAGCACUCAUUGGAUUGGACACAUCAAAAUGUGUUACUUCCAACAAGUUGCUAUCUUGUUCCAUCUUACUGAAAACGAGGCUUUUCAGUCAUCUUGCCCAUGUGGUAUGAUUUGCAUAUCUCAAGUGAUUCAAAAUCAAGUGAGUCCAAACGGUCCAUUUGCAUGGAGUUUCUUCAUGCAUAUACACCAAUAGACAUGGUUCGCAUGUCUCAAACUUUUCAAAACGAGUGAGUCCAAAGAUCCAUCAACAUGGAGCUUCUUCAUGCGUUUUAUACCAUUAUGACUUACAUGGCAGUGCCACAAGUAAUGGUACUAUCAUUACUAUCUUAUAUCUUUUGGCAUGAAAAUGUGUAUCACUACGACCGAGAUUCAAUAAACCAUUCCUUUAGGUGCAAGACCAUUGAAGGUAUUAUUCAAAAAUAGAGUAACCAUUAUUCUCCUUAAAUGAAUAACCGUAUUGCGAUAGACAUAAUCCAAUCAUGUCUAUGCUCAACGCAAACACCAAUCUCGGUGGUAGAGGGAGCGUGCGAUGCUUGAUCAUAUCAACCUUGGAAACACUUCCAACAUAUAUCGUCAGCUCACCUUUAGCUAGUCUCCGUUUAUUCCGUAGCUUUUAUUUCGAGUUACUAACACUUAGCAACCGAACCGGUAUCCAAUACCCUGGUGCUACUAGGAGUACUAGUAAAGUACACAUUAACAUAAUGUAUAUCCAAUAUACUUCUAUCGAUCUUGCCAGCCUUCUCAUCUACCAAGUAUCUAGGGUAAUGCUGCUCCAGUGGUUGUUCCCCUUAUUACAGAAGCACUUAGUCUCGGGUUUGGGUUCAACCUUGGGUUUCUUCACUAGAGCAGCAGCUGAAUUGCCGUUUCAUGAAGUAUCCCUUUGUUCCCUUGCCCUUCUUGAAACUAGUGGUUUCACCAACCAUCAACAAUUGAUGCUCCUUCUUGAUUUCUACUUUCGCGGUGUCAAACAUCAUGAAUAUUUCAAGGAUCAUCAUAUCUAUCCCUGAUAUGUUAUAGUUAAUCACGAAGCUCUAGCAGCUUGGUGGCAAUGACUUUGGGGAAACAUCACUAUCUCAUCUGGAGGAUCAACUCCCACUCGAUUCAAGUGAUUGUUGUGCUCAGACAAUCUGAGCACAAGCUCAACGAUUUAGCUUUUCUCCCUUAGUUUGCAGGCUAAGAAAAUCGCCGGAGGUCUUAUACCUCUUGACGUGGGCACGAGCCUGAAAUCCCAAUUUCAGCCCUCGAAACAUCUCAUACGUUCCGCGACGUUUCGAAAACGUCUUUGGUGCCUCUACUUAAACCAUUUAAUUGAACUGUCACGUAGUUAUCAAAACGUGUAUGUCCGAUGUUCGCAACAUCGACAAACGACGUUGGGGUUCAGCACACUGAGCGGUGCAUUAAGGACAUAAGCUUUCUACUGAUCGCAUAAUCGCUACUAUCAACUUUCAACUAUAUUUUCUCUAGGAACAUAUCUAAACAGUGGAACUAAAGCGCGAGCUUACGACAUAAUUUGCAAAAGGUCUUUUGACUAUGUUCAGGAUAAUUAAGUUCAUCUUAUGAACUCCCACUUAGAUAGACAUCCCUCUGGUCAUCUAAGUGAUCACAUGAUCCGAGUCAACUAGGCCGUGUCCGAUCAUCACGUGAGACGGACUAGUCAUCAUCGGUGAACAUCUUCAUGUUGAUCGUAUCUACCAUACGACUCAUGCUCGACCUUUCGGUCUCCGUGUUCCGAGGCCAUGUCUGCACAUGCUAGGCUCGUCAAGUUAACCCUAAGUGUUUUCGCUGUGUAAAACUGUCUUACACCCGUUGUAUGUGAACGUAAGAAUCCAUCACACCCGAUCAUCACGUGGUGCUUAGAAGCGACGAACUGUAGCAACGGUGCACAGUUAGGGGAGAACACUUCUUGAAAUUUUGUAAGGGAUCAUCCUAUUUACUACCGUCGUCCUAAGCAAACAAGAUGCAUAAACAUGAUAAACAUCACAUGCAAUCAAAUAGUGACAUGAUAUGGCCAAUAUCAUUUUGCUCCUUUUGAUCUUCAUCUUCGGGGCUCCAUGAUCAUCAUCGUCACCGGCACGACACCAUGAUCUCCAUCAUCGUGUCUUCAUGAAGUUGUAACGCCAACGACUACUUCUACUUCUAUGACUAACGCGUUUAGCAAUAAAGUAAAGUAGUUUACAUGGCGUUCUUCAAUGACACGCAGGUCAUACAAUAAAUAAAGACAACUCCUAUGGCUCCUGCCGGUUGUCAUACUCAUCGACAUGCAAGUCGUGAAUCCUAUUACAAGAACAUGAUCAAUCUCAUACAUCACAUAUCAUUCAUCACAUUCUUCUUGGCCAUAUCACAUCACAUAGCAUACCCUGCAAAAACAAGUUAGACGUCCUCUAAUUGUUGUUUGCAUGUUUUACGUGGCUGCUAUGGGUUUCUAGCAAGAACGUUUCUUACCUACGCAAAACCACAACGUGCUAUGCCAAUUGCUAUUUACCCUUCAUAAGGACCCUUUUCAUCGAAUCCGUUCCGACUAAAGUGGGAGAGACUGGCACCCGCUAGCCACCUUAUGCACCAAGUGCAUGUCAAUCGGUGAAACCUGUCUCACGUAAGAGUACGUGUAAGGUCGGUCCGGGACACUUCAUCCCACAAUACCGUUGAAACAAGAUUGGACCAGUAACGGUAAGCAUAUUGAACAACAUCAACGCCCACAACUACUUUGUGUUCUACUCGUGCAAAGAAUAUACGCAAUAGACCUAGCUCUGAUACCACUGUUGGGGAACGUAGCAGAAAUUCAAAAUUUUCCUACGUGUCACCAAGAUCUAUCUAUGGAGAGACUAGCAAUGAGGGGAAGGAGAGUGCAUCUACAUACCCUUGUAGAUCGCUAAGCGGAAGCGUUCAAGUGAACGGGGUUGAUGGAGUCGUACUCGUCGUGAUUCAAAUCACCGAUGAUCAAGUGCCGAACGCACGGCACCUCCGCGUUCAACACACAUACAGCCCGGUGACGUCUCCCAAGCCUUGAUCCAGCAAGGAGAGAGGGAGAGGUUGAGGAAGACUCCAUCCAGCAGCAGCACAACGGCGUGGUGGUGGUGGAGGAGCGUGGCAAUCCUGCAGGGCUUCACCAAGCACCGCGGGAGAGGAGGAGUACUUGUGAGAGGGGGAGGGCUGCACCAGAACUUCGUCUAUAGCUCCCAUGCGCCUCCCCACUAUAUAUAGGGGUGGAGGGGCUGGUUUCUUGCCCUCCAAGUCCAUUGGGGCGUUGGCCAAGGUGGGAGGAAAGAAAUCUCAUUAUUUCCUUCCCCACCGAUUGUUAUCCCCCCUUUUUAGAGAUCUUGAUCUUAUCCCUUCGGGAUAUGAUCUUAUUCCUUCUAAGGGGGGAUCUUGGUGCGCCUUGACCAGGGGUGUGGGGCCUUGCCCCCACUACCCACGUCCAUGUGGGUCCCCCCAUGCAGGUGGGCCUCACUCCGGAACCUUCUAGAACCUUCCCGGUACAAUACCGAAAAACCCGAACAUUUUCCGGUGGCCAAAAUAGGACUUCCCAUAUAUAAAUCUUUACCUCCGGACCAUUGCGGAACUCCUCGUGACGUCCGGGAUCUCAUUCGGGACUCCGAACAACAUUCGGUAACCACAUACAAACUUCCUUUAUAACCCUAGCGUCAUCGAACCUUAAGUGUGUAGACCCUACGGGUUCGGGAGACAUGUAGACAUGACCGAGAUGUUCUCCGGUCAAUAACCAACAACGGGAUCUGGAUACCCAUGAUGGCUCCCACAUGUUCCACGAUGAUCUCAUCGGAUGAACCACGAUGUCAAGGACUUAAUCAAUCCCGUAUUCAAUUCCCUUUGUCUAUCGGUAUGUUACUUGCCCGAGAUUCGAUCGUCGGUAUCCAAUACCUUGUUCAAUCUCGUUACCGGCAAGUCACUUUACUCGUUCCGUAACACAUCAUCCCGUGAUCAACUCCUUGGUCACAUUGCGCAUAUGAUGAUGGCCUACCGAGUGGGCCCCGAGAUACCUCUCCGUUUACACGGAGUGACAAAUCCCAGUCUCGAUCCGCAUAAAACAAUAGAUACUUUCGGAGAUACCUGUAGUGCACCUUUAUAGUCACCCAGUUACGUUGUGACGUUUGAUACACCCAAAGCACUCCUACGGUAUCCAGGAGUUACACGCUCUCAUGGUCGAAGGAAGAGAUACUUGACAUUGGCAAAGCUCUAGCAAAUGAACUACACGAUCUUUUGUGCUAGUCUUAGGAUUGGGUCUUGUCCAUCACAUCAUUCUCCUAAUGAUGUGAUCUCGUUAUCAACGACAUCCAAUGUCCAUAGCCAGGAAACCAUGACUAUCUGUUGAUCACAACGAGCUAGUCAACUAGAGGCUCACUAGGGACAUAUUGUGGUCUAUGUAUUCACACGUGUAUUACGAUUUCCGGAUAAUACAGUUAUAGCAUGAAUAAAAGACAAUUAUCAUGAACAAGGAAAUAUAAUAAUAAUACUUUUAUUAUUGCCUCUAGGGCAUAUUUCCAACAUGGCACCUCACAUGACUAAGACGUCGGAGAAGGAAACCAUACCUGUCAUCCACGAACCAUGAGCCCAGCACACGUUCGAUCUUCCAGAUGUGUGAUGCAGAUCACAGUACGCAUCCGCUUCUCGACUACCUCCCAAGCUCCGCGCCGAUGUUGGAGUAGACGUCGUCGCAACGACGGAGCCCGAGGACACUAGUCCACCAUGAGGGUGAUGCUGCCACCACACCAUCUUUACUUGAACAAACUGAUUUCUAAAUCCAUCAUCCAUUCCCAACCAUAGGACCGAUUGCCUCGUUGGAGACAAAUCUCAACCUUCUUUAUUCAGCGCCGCCAUCGCCGCCUCCAAAGUGAAGACGAUGAAUGGCUGGAAAACCAAAGUUACUAGGGCCUAACCUAAAGCUACACGAUCCACACACGUAGAUCUGGCGACCCCUCUCACCACCGACGACCGAGGUCGCCGGCGGAGGGGAGCCGCCGGAGGAACGAGGCUAAGGGACUCCCCUGGCGGCGGCUAGGGCUUCUAGUCGCAGAGCCUCUGAGGAAAAGAAAAGCGGGAACAAAGCGAGUUGAAAACUUCAAAUAUCGUGCAGGUCCACGGUUGCAUACGUACGUAUAGAAAACACAUAAGCCCGCACGUAUCGACUGCCUGCGUCCAGCCUCCUGAUCGCCUGGUUUCCAUGGCCGAUUCCACUGGGCCCUGCCCUUACUCUGUAUAUUGUGGUCGCUAACGUGUCAAACAGGAUUGAACGGGCGAGUUUGUUACUCGGUACGGAUAGAGAGAGAGAGAGAUGCGAGAGAUGCGAGAGAGAGGCUACCGCACGGUUUAAACGGGAUUAACUUGCUUUUUGGCGGGUGAUUACAUGAGGUUGGAUGAUUUUCCCAAAGUUGUUUCAAUGACCACUUGCUUUUUGGCAGCACGGCAGAGAGAGGGGGUGAGAUAGACGUUGUGCUACAUGGAAACAGAUUUUAGUUGGAUCUGAUCGAUCUUUCUACACCAUCAAGAAUUAAUAUAUGUAUGUAUAUAUGGAAAGUAAAGUCAGAUAGUAGAGAGAGAGGAGAGGAGUCUUCUAGAUAUAGCUAGGAGUACCGGGAGAGGAUCUGUAGCACACAGGUGCGAGGGCACCGAGCCCCUUGCGUCUGCAUUUUCUUUUGGCUUUCAAUUUUAAUCUUUCUUAUCUUGUCAACCGAAAGUACAAAUUAAAAUCUCCUUUCAAAUAAGAUCCAUUUUAAAUACAUUUUGACCAGUUUCUAAAAUUGUGUUAUGUUUUAACUUCUAAAACUCAGUACAAGCGACAGACAAAAUCACAACUUUAAUACCUGUGGCUGACAAAAAAUAGCUUAAAAUUUAACUCUGAAACUUGAUAGUAGCGACCACGAAAAUCAUAUGUUUCAGAAGCAAAAUCGCAAGUUUUAGAACUUAAAACUUACUGUGUGCUCGUGAUCGGACGACUUUGUGGACCGCCAUGCAAAUCGGGCGGCCGAGCAGUCUAGGUGGGUGCGUACUUCCGCACAUGCGUGCCCUUGCAAAUUUCCCUAGGAGAACCGAGCGGUUAAGCAUCAACCACAUGGAGGCUGCAACAGAUUGACUACCUCCCCCACUAGUCGUCGUUGCUGUCCUUCGAGCAACCUGUGUUGAGCUUCUGUUUUCAUCUCUCUACUUGUCAGCGACCUUAGACUGAUUGCUGAAGCUGUCUCUCCUGUAUCUGAACCAGCAGGUGCCGACAACCGCCAGACAUCUACAAUAGAAGAAUGCCGACCCAAAUCAUCAACGCCCAAGAGACUUUCUUAGUGGCUUGCUAGCCCAAACUAGACAAGUUAAAGCGGGUGUAAUUUAUUUGCGGUACAAAUACCCGUUGUACGGCUUUGGCCAAAUUGGCUGUAAUUUGGAUAAUUGAGUCGGUGCAUGGGAGGAACAACCACCUCUAUAUAUAAAUUCGAGUUGAAUUCAUGAAUUUCCUAGCUCAUGUGAGCCAGAUCUAGUUACUAGUUCACAGUUCGUAUUCAUAGCCAUCGUCCUGGGCAUCACGACCACUGCACUCGAUUCAGUGAUCGCCGGUGCGAGCAAGCCAUGGAGGAGCUGGGUAUCGAAGGUCGCUUGGUCUAUGAACUUCUUCGCACGGACUUCGCCAUCGACUUGUAGAAAAAACUCAAGGAUCAAGGUGAAUCAUUGCUCCGUUCCAUGAGCAGUUACUGAAGGCGGACAAUUCUACGCUUGAUGGUCUCGUGUCGUCGAGGGUUGAUGACAUUUGAGAAUAGCUGGCACUAGACAUUGACCAGAUCAAGGCAGAUCUGCACAAGGCCCUUGCCUUGAUCAUGAUCACCGGGGGAAAGCACAUAACCUAUAUCUCCAUCCCGCGGUCAGAGGUGUGCUCGAUUCUAUUUUCUCCCCAAAAUUUUCCUCAUCUCGUGAUUUUCCUGUUUCGGAUGCUACCGAAUCAUCUUCGUUUGCUCUGCAUUUUGACCUUCCAAAAUUUGACGGAGCAAAUCCGUAGUUUUGGCAGAACUAUUACUCGCAUGCAUAGAUGAAUCUCUAUGGCCGCACCUCAAUUUGAAGGGGCCACUUUUUUUUUUUAAAGGAGACUUCCCGGCUUCUGCAUCAGAACAAUGCAUACGGCAACUUAUUAAAUAAGUAAACAGGUACAAUAAGGUCUUAAAGUCUCAAACAAAAAAUAAAAGAGAGCUCACAGAGAGCCAAAAAGGCCAAAAACAAACUAGCCACAAAAAGCCACAACCGGCUGGCAUAAGAGAGAUAGGUAAAUUAACUGCCUAUCGUAUUACAUGACCGUCAUCCAAACCGGUUGAAGAUAUCCCAAACUACCAUCUCCCAGCGGAGAGAUCCAGUAACCAAAUGCUCCCUGGCCUCCGUCGGAGUGAGUAGCGACCACAUAUGGAUCAACGCAGUGGUUCGAAAAAUAAACUGCAAAAAACAAAUAUUUGUUGAUAUGUUAAAAACCAAAUCAUUUCUGCAGUUUCAGACUGCCCACAAUAAAGCACAAACUCCUACUCGAAUGUGUCUUGCUGUUUCGGACCAAGGUCCGUGGCAUGCAUUUUUCUCGGCUAUCCCCCCGACACCAAAGGCUACAGUUGCUAUGAUCCUACCUCACAUCGGGUGAUCACUUCCCAACAUGUUUACUUUGAUGAGAUGGUUUUUUCGUUUCAGCAGGUACCUUCGGAUGUUGCGGCUUUGCCCGCUCCCGGUGACGGCCGCUCGCGUGCUUCUCUUGGGCCGCCUCCCGGCUUUGAGAGUGACCCCCGCGCCACGGGUCGAGUUUCUCCCCGGCUGGCUGCCUUAGGGGCUGCACCCCUCCCGGCGCCCGCGACGCCCUUGGCAUCCCCGGCCCCGACCGCGCUGUCGGCCUCCUCGACGCCUGCGACGCCGUCGGCCUCCCCAGCGGCCGCGACGCCCUCCUCGGCGUCUCCCGCGGCCUCGCCCGCGGCAUCGGAGGUGGCAGGCUCUUCUUCAUCUUCGCCCGCCGCCGACCCAGACUCGCUGACCCGCCCGAUGACUCACUCUCGGGCUGCACUUUCCGCCCGAGUACGCGGUACACCAGCGAUGAGUACCUUCUCGCUGCUUCCGUCUGUAAGCCGUCUCCUCUCCCAUCGUCAGCUCGAGCCGCCCUUCGGGAUCCUUAUUGGCUCGCUGCGAUGUAGGAAGUGUUCGACGCGCUCCAACGGAACCGUACCUGGCAGCUUGUUCCUCGGCCGCCUCGUGCCAACAUCAUCAUGGGCAAGUGGGUGUUUUGGCACAAGACUCGUCCUUCUAGAUGCCUUGAAUCCGUGCGCCGCUUUUCAAAUGUAAGGUGGACUAGAUUUUGCUCUGCUCUUUCGAACAUGCUUGGCAAAAACCAACACCAAAACCUUCUCAGAAGAACUGUUCCAAAUUUUGCAAACCAACACGGUGGAAGAGUAUGUUCAGCGUUUUGUUGAAUUAUACGAGGGGUUAAUACAUUUAGAAAGUUUUAAACAGAUUAAAAAAAUUGACUUUUGGUUUCAUGUCAUCAAAAGCAAUCUUCUCCCUCGAGACAAAGUGCAUCAAUAUCUCAAGGAUGAAGGUAAAGACUGAAACCAUUUGAAACACAAGUCAUUGUAUCAUAAGCAGUCUGUUUUGCAGCCAAGAAAUUAGCGGCUUGGGUAGAACUUGUGCUCACUUGAGGAGGACUUCACUGCCACAGUUAGGUAGACCUUUAAUCAUGUCUAGGAAAAACAAGCAAACGACAUGGGCAAUUGUACAAAGAUUUAUUUAUCCUAGUAACUAAGCACAUAGCCAAAACAAUUGGGUAGACCUUUAAUUUGGAACUGAGUGAUUGCAUCUGACUAAAUGUUUGUAUCCCGAGGGAGUUGGCAGGGAAGGGUUUGCCACACAAACUAAGGUCUAAGAUUUUUAAAGACAGAUUGAGUUUAUAGUCUUGUAGCUCAUCCCUUUUUUUAAAGUCUUGGAGCUCCUCAACCUCCUGAAAUUGUCCAAAAACAGCAAACGAAUGACUAAAAGCACACAAAUUCCAAUCAAUAUCACCUGCAGAAAAUGCAUGUUACAUGAAGCAUAUGAAAUCAAUAUGUCAAAACAGAUAUGCACCGGCAUUUGUCCUCGAGUCCCGAACACGGAAUAGGAUACCGUGUCUUGAGCUCCAGAAUACAUGUUUGGAUACUAGUUCCGACCAACGAGUGCAUAAAUGAAUUGGCGAAUGAACCAUCGAAGUCAACUACAUAUCCGGCAGUGUUCCAUAAUGUGGAAGUUAGGAUUAUAUUGCAAACUUAAUACAAGAUUACAAUCGGCUAAUAGUGUAUGUGACACGGCAAAGAUAGUGUGUCGUACUUCCUUUUUUACUUGAUAUUGCAAACAAGGACUGAUGAAGAAUAAACACCACAUAGUGUGUAUCACAAACAUACCUGCAGGUUCAAUAUGUUCCUGAGAGAAGGAACAUCAUAAUCAGAACAUUAUUUUAUAGAAAUAAAGCUCGCAACAUAGGAUUGUUUUGUACGAAGAAGAUUGUCCCUUACCUCCUUUUUCUGUUUGAUACUAAUGCAACACUGGAAUUGUCAGAAAGCUACCAUCAGAAGUGUUGUUUCUCUCCAAAUGAGGCACAGUUUGCAGAAUGAAAUCAUGCUACCAACAGAACAAGUAAACCUGCUGUCAAAUGCUCCAAUUAUUCGGGUCUGCUGAUAGUUCUUCAAAAAGAAAGAUUCCAGAAUGAAUUGCCACUAGUAGAAAAAGGGUCAAACGUGAAGCACAUUAGUGCCGGUUUGAAUUUGAUAGAGACAGCCUACGGCCUGUUUGAAAUUUUUUAGAAUCCUCAAAUUCCAAAACGAAAAAAAGAUAUGGUCAAAUUUCAGUUUUUUUUAAAAGAAAUUGGUUAAAUAUGAUCAAACUACUUAUUCAAGAAGUCUUAAUGUUACUACAUAAUUAUUCAAGAAUAUUAGUGUUACUAAAUAAUUAUUUCAAUUUUUUAAAUUUUGGUCAAAUCUAGUCAAACUAUGGUCAAACUUAUUCAAGAAAUAUUAGUGUUACUAAAUAAUUACUAUUUUUUAGAAUAAUAGUUUCAAACUCAAAGGGUGAAACAUGUGACCUAAUGCUCAAGCUAAACUGCUGAGGGUUAAUAGGAUUGACAGCUUACAUUUGUCAGGAAAACAACAAGUGCAAACUUGAAAUAUAGGGGGAAUAGAACUCCAAAGUUAAGCGUGCUCAGGCUAGGGGAGUGAGAGUAUGGGUGACCGGCGGGAGUGAGAGGAUGGGUGACCGGCCGGGAAGUCAGGCGAUUUGGAAUGAGUGAUCCACACUUGAGCAGUUAAGAGAGGUGAUUAGAGACUAAAUCAUCAAAUAGUUCAGAAAAAUUAAAAAUCAAUUUUUUUCCAAUUUUUUUUUAAAAAGACAGGGCGCGAGCUCACGCCACGUGGUGGCACUUUAGCGNNNNNNNNNNNNNNNNNNNNNNNNNNNNNNNNNNNNNNNNNNNNNNNNNNNNNNNNNNNNNNNNNNNNNNNNNNNNNNNNNNNNNNNNNNNNNNNNNNNNNNNNNNNNNNNNNNNNNNNNNNNNNNNNNNNNNNNNNNNNNNNNNNNNNNNNNNNNNNNNNNNNNNNNNNNNNNNNNNNNNNNNNNNNNNNNNNNNNNNNNNNNNNNNNNNNNNNNNNNNNNNNNNNNNNNNNNNNNNNNNNNNNNNNNNNNNNNNNNNNNNNNNNNNNNNNNNNNNNNNNNNNNNNNNNNNNNNNNNNNNNNNNNNNNNNNNNNNNNNNNNNNNNNNNNNNNNNNNNNNNNNNNNNNNNNNNNNNNNCCGGCACUAAAGGCCCUUACGAACCGACGCUAAAGCUCCGUUUUCUAUUAGUGUGCCAUAAUUUUCCAUCUAGCAAAUUCCUCCUUCAUAAAAUUUCCCAAAAGCGAAACCCUGCAGCUACCACAUCCAAACCGUAACAUGUCAUUGCAGAAAUAAGUGCACUGUAAUAAGAGAGAAGAAAAAUUAGCAAAACUUUAUAGGAAAUCAUUAGUCCAGCUUGCAAAAAAAAUGUACAAACGCAGAAGGAUGUGAAUGGGGUACAGAUUCGGUGUGUAAACUAAUGGCUGCAUGCAAUGUGAAUGGAAAAAUGAACGAAAAAGCAUAAGUUGAUUUUUGGUGCUUAUGGGCAGAUUGACUUGAAUGCACGUGUGAUCCUAAGAGCAUCUCCAGCCGCGCCCCAGAAAGGCCUCCCCAGGCGAUUUUUUCGCGCCGGCGCAGGAAAAUAGGCUCAGCCGCGCCCUCAGGAGCCCGAUUUUCACCGGCUUGGGCCGAAAUUAGCGCCGGCGGACCUAGGCCGAACCCGGCGCGCUGGGGGGACGCUCGGGGACGCCGGGGCGAGCGGUUUUGGCGCGAAAGAGCCGCGGGCCCGCCGCGUCAGCGACACCGCACGUCGUCUUCCCCCCACGCCUCGGUUUCCCGCGGGGAAUCAAUGGCAAGGCUGCCACCGGUCAGCCUUACCAUUGAUUCCUGACGGGCGGCGCCGACGCCUCCCCUCCCUCGCAUGCGUACACACGGGCGCGGCGCGGCUAUAUAAAGCCGGCGGCUUCCCUCUCCUCUGGCCACACCAACCCUAGCCCUAGCCGCCGAGCUCUGCCUCUCCCGAGAGCUGCCGUCGAGCCCCCCUCUAGUGAGCGCCGCCGUCAAGCCCUCGCUCUCCCUCCCCUCCCGAUGGCCGAGCGUUUCCCCGGAGACGAGGCGGCGGCCAACGGCUUCGGCCGCCGCUCGGUCCGCGAACAGGAGUCUUGGCUCCUGUUCCAGGCGAACAUCCCGGCGCCGCCGGACAUGCGCGCUGGGCCGACGGGCUGGAAGCUCAGCAACGGCGGAGUGCCCAUUCCCCCGCUGCCCGACGCUGUGGCCAAACCCGGGUACUUCACCGAGGAGGUCGACGUCGUGCGCGCCUCCCUCACCGACGCCCAACUCUCCCUCCCCCAGUACGCCGCCGACAACCAUGCGGCUUGGGGGGCGUAUUUCGAGCGCCGUCAGCGGCAGUGGCUGGCGUCCACCAACGACGUGGCGGUGGUCGGCGGCCAGAAGAACAGCAAGGGGCGCCACCUGUGGUGGGGCGUCCCCGGCCGCACACUCGAGGGCGGCAACGACCCACCGUUGGCAUACCCCCCGGCGAGGGCGGCCGCCCAGGCGCACCAUCGACGCGACCGGCCAUGGGCGCCAAGGAGGUUCGGCUCCUCCUCCUCGUGCUCUUCCUCGCACUCAUCCGGCACUCCGGCGUUGCUCGGCGUCAAGGCCGAACCCGCGGCGGAGUCGUCGCUCGGCCGACGCACUCGCAGCGCCGGCAUCAUCAUCAGCGAGGGCGGCCGGCGCGCCUCCUCGUCGGCUCCUCCUCCGCGCUUCGUCAAGCCAAAGACGGAGCCGGGGCUCGCACCGGUGAAGGCAGAGCCGGGGCUCGCCGCCGUGAAGACGGAGCACGGCGAGGUCGAGCGCGACGACGACGCGACCCUUGAAUGGGCACGCCAGGACUCUCCCAAGAUGACGAUGGAGCGCCAGUGCGCCGCCCUGCAGCGCUUCGCGGAGCGCCGCCGGGGCCGCGACGAAGGAGGAGUCGUCGUCAUCGACGAUAGCGACGACAACGACGCGCCACCGCCACCACCAGUCCGCCAUGGCGACGCCGGGUCCAGCAGGGGCGCCCGCGUCAAGGAGGAGAAGGCCGACGACGAGGAUGGCGGUGAAGACGGCGACUACUCGGUGUUCAGCAAAUUUCUUUUAGAUUAGUUUAUAUAUUUGCUAUGUAAUGAAAAUCGGCGAACUUUGUCCAAAUAUAUGCCCAAGUUGACCGAAAUUUGUCGUAUUUAGCCGAACUUCGCCCAACUGUGCCAAAAUUUGCUAUAUUUUUUUAUUUAAUCGCGUCUGGGGGCGGCCCUGGGGCCGGCGGCUGAGGACCAACUCGCCCCCCAAGCCCAUUUUUUGCACCGACUCACCCCCAAGCGACGAUUUUAGGCGCCCCCUGGGCAGGGCCGUACCUAAGAAAACGGAGGCCCGGUGCAAGGUCAAAACGUGGGCCCUCAAUUUUACAUAUUUUUCUUGCUCUUUUCUAUAUCAUGAUUCAUACUUCUUAAUUCCAAAGUCAUUUCAGAAAGUAAAACAAAGAGAAAUAAAAACUGAACAUGGAGAUAAUAGGGAAUGAAGUAACCUGACAAAUGUGAGAAAUAAACUAUGGGGCGGCACCGUGUGUAGCUUUCGCUUUUUUUCUUGACGAACCAAAAUUUGGCUCGCAAAAUAAAAAAUUGGCGACCAAGAACUCAUAGGCUCCAACUUUAGUUCAGGCUCCAGUUGAUGUUGAUGCACACAGGUCACAUGGGCUUGCAACUGGCAGCGACGGAGGUUGAGCAAAACACUGAUCUGCUGGCCUGCUGAUUUGAGAUUUGAAAACAUAACACCAAAUAAACAGAUGGGGGUUGAGAAUAGAACGUUGCCUAUCUUGUUGUUCAUCGCAACAUUAUAUUGGGGAAGUCUUGAAGAAUUAAUAGGUGGGGAUUGGGAAUGGAAUUACUAGCAAAGAGUGGAGAUUGAUGAGGAUUUAAUACUUGAGAAGGGAAACGAGCCUGAGGUUUGUGGAAGACAAAGAGCUAGAGAGCCAAGUGAGAGGAGAGGAGAGGCUGGAUAAUUAUUUUGUGCAAGUUCCAAUGUACUUACUAGUUGGCUGAGUUAAUUCAAUGCCUAGAGAGAGUAGUACUAGUAGUACAUUCCCUACUCCUACUUUGAUUAUUCAACGCUCAACGCUAAUUACCACUCUUACUCCUGCUCCUCCUACUAAAUUAUCAGUUGAUUAGUAGGAAAUAUGCCAGGAUUUGGGGCCCUGCUGAUUUGGGGGCCGUGCACACCCUGCAUAGGUGCCUGAUACGGGCCUGCCACAGGGGGCCAACGGCUGGAGAUGCUCUAAUGCACAUAGCUCCACAAUGUUGACACUUGACGCAGAUAAAUCUACCACUCUACAGUUAAAACAUGCAGCCCGUCAGGUCUCGGAAGAGCUAGGCAAAUGGGGUGGCAUGCAUCACCUCAAAUUAAUACUGGGCGUGGGUUACAUACAUGUUUCUUGAGAAACCAAUCCAGAAGUCUGAAGAAAAUUAAUAAUGCAGCAGGAGGGGCAAGACGACGCCGACGGGGAAGAUGAGCAGGAUGGGCAAUAGUAUGUCGAUCCCUUUCUCUCUCUUUCCGCGUUUCCCCAUCGAGGUCCAAAUCCGGAUUGCGGAGGCUGAAAACAGGCUUUUGUCACCACGUAGGAUGGGGGAGACAUUCCGCCUCGGCCGCGGCUCAUAUGCUCCCCUGGCUCGCGGUGGCGGCGGCCCCUGACCACCUCGGCAAUCGGCGGUCGGCGGAUUCCUCCCGACGGCGUGGUCGUCAUUCGCGUCAUACAGAGAGGAGGGAGGCGGAAUGGCGUCAGCGGCGGCGGCUAAUGACGGAGGAGGAGGGAGGAGUGCGGCGCUCGUGAGGUGCAGCGCAGGUGUGUGGAUCACGAAGAAAGGGGGCAGGGUUUGUGCGUUGCGGUGGGCUAGCGAAUGGGCUGGGAGAACAGGCCCAGUUAACAACAGGGCUGCGUUUCGGCCUCGGGAGCAGCAGCCCAUAGGACAGUUGGGCCAGUAUUUACCAGAUGCGGAAUAGAUGGCUUUACACGGUAGAUCUGACGGCUGAAAUGUCUAGAUCGCGAAAACGGACGGCCGGAAGCGCAAAUCACUUGUUUAUUUGAUUUUGCAGGGCCUGGUGACGAUGAUAGAGCCUGGCGAUGAUGGCUAAUAGAAAUUGUUACUGAAUUAUCAUGUCAAUUUAGAUCACCAAAUAGGUAGAAUUGCUCAAGUACAAAUGUACAAUUCACGUUUCAGUUACAAUUUAAGCUUAUUGGCCAUGUUCAUAACUUUCUAAUAACUGAGGCAGAGUAUGUUUUCUAGAAAUGAUCCAUCGUAACCAAAUGUCUCACCACCUAAUGUUGCAUUGAGAAGCUACAGUACAAAAACCUAGCUAGAUGUAAUCUUUAGUUUGUGCACUUAAUAUCCAUUGCUAUAUUUAUCAGCAUAUUAGAAGUUGACUCUAUUUUGUUUAUGUGUCAAAGACUUCUUCAGUACUUCCUUUGUGCAAUACGAAAUGGUUUCUUUGUUCAUUUACAAGAUACAAGAAAAAUCAUUUACAAUACGGAAAUGCGUUCAAUAAAUUUGAAAUAAUCAUUUACACCCUAUUAGCUAUUCAUAUCUUCUAUCAUCUCUUCUACUUUUAGUUUGUUGAAUGCUCAAAUGGUUUCUUGCCCGCUGCGUACUGUAGGGACUGAUAAUUCCAGUACAUUCUUCAUGCUAAUUAGGGAUGAACCAUGCGUACAAGCAAUACCGAUUGUUUUCUUUAUUAAGGUUACUAUGCAAAAAUAAAUUUUGGCCUCCUUUCUGUUAUCCCCAGUGCUAUCAUUUAUCAACUCUUUGCAUCAUUCAAAAUAAAGCAAAAUCCAUUUGAUUAGAAGGAAUGGAAUUUGAUAGCUAUAUUCUUAAGUGAUGCUAUUUUGUUUACUUGCUAGCUCAGAUCAGCUAAGCAUAAUACUACUUGGUUUGGUUGGUUGCUGUUUAAUUAAUCAUGUAAACAUGGUCUUUCUCUUCUACAUGCACCAUCUGUAUCUUUUAUUUAUUAUUAAAAACAAAAAGGGGGAAGCAUAAAAAAAACAAGUGCAUGUAUUUUCUAUUUUUUUAUGGAGUUCAUUGCAGUGCAAUUCUCUGUAUUGCCACUUGUGAUGCUAGAGAUCUGUAAAUAUGAAUGCUAAUUGUCCUCUCUUUAAGGUUGUGAGUUGCAGAAUAUGUGAUGAACUGAUUUUCCACUAUGGUAUAAGUUUUGCAUUCACUCAGGCAUGUGAUUUAUUAUAGAAUAGCCUUUAUGGAUGUUGUCGAUUUUCUCGAAUGAUAAUGGUAUUUUCAAGCUUAGUCAACUGCAUUACAGAAAUAGCAUUUUUGUCCGUGCUUUUAUUGAAAAACAUUAGGACCAGUGUCGCUUAUGUAUUUUCCGAUCUUUCUCUGCUAUAUAUUGCAUGUAUUAAGUUUCAAUUAUUGUUGAUGAACUCCCAUAUUCUAUGUUGGAAGAAUAUCUUGCACUUUUACAACAUUGUAUAGUUAAGAUCAUCUAGAAGAACCUUGAAAGUAGGAUAAUAUUUUGAGGUUACGCUAGAAUUCCUUGUUGUUCUUUAAUCAUUUUACUCGUGAAGAUUAUUGUUUGUGUACAAUAUCGUGUGACGCAAAGAGAAUAACAUAUGGUUGGAAGUUUUUGAUAAAGCUACAUGUUAUAAUUAGUCUCCAUAGGAUCUACAAUUUUUUAAUCAUUUUAUUUGAUAAGUGGAUGGGCCAUGUGCCAUGAAAGUAAAUUUCCAACACUAACGAAAACUGCAUCUAAUCUGUUGCCUCUCAUGCCAUCAGUUGUUUGGACCGUUCAUUUUUAAGAUUGGUCUGUUUCUGGCCGUUGGAUGCACGUGGGUCUCUGUUUUGUGUGAAAACGUGACCACCAGCUGGGCCUGAUGUCUUAAGAGCAGCUAUUUUGGAGUAUUGUCGUUAAUUGCGCCAGACAACCCAUCUAAGGCCUUGUACAAUGGAAGAUGCUUAGAGAGAUGUUUAGAAAAAUAAACCGAGAUUUUCUCAGGCACCGGUGCCUAUUUCUAUAGGAGAGACGCUUAGUUAAGCGUCUACCCUGUACAAAUAAGAACGGGUGCUUAAGGAAAGUCUGGUUUAUUUCUCUAACCACCUCCCCUAAGCACCUCUCAUUGUAGAAGGCCUAAGGAAGCCAGAGGAGGCGGUCGACGGAGCCCAGUCGCGCGAGUGGAUCGAGCACCAAGAUCCCAACCGAGGCGAGCGAGGAGGCGCGCAAGGAUCGAACGCGACACGCUUCAGCCAAGGUUGCAAGGGAAGCCGAUCCAGCCGACGAGGGAAUCCAGUGGACACGCUGGAUGCGGAUGAAUCAGAGGCCCGGUCGAUCCUCAACGAAGUGGGAAGGAGGACGCGUGCGAUGAUGGCCGGCAACGCAUCUGAUGGGAACUGAUCGCAAUCGUACUUCAGUUUCUAAGAGCGCAUUCAUGGCGAUUGUUAUGCCCAUACUUUCCGACAGCACAAGCAUCUUUCAGCAUCAUGCUCUGGUAUUACUUAUGCAAGAUUCCUUAAGAUUCGUCAUUGAGGUUUACAAUCGUUCAUUAUUAUUUUAGUUGUUCUUUAAGAUUCGUCAUUGUGCCCUACAUGAGUCCCUAUCAAAAUUUGCAUGUGUUAACUCUGUAUGUAUGUAUGCAAUUUGAUAUUUUAUAAUACUAACAUUUGUCCACUUUGUCCUAAAGUAGUUUUUGUUGCUUGGAGGUGAGCAGAGCGAAGGUGUCCCAUUAUCAUGAUUCAGCAGACUCAUGUUAUUCUCUUUAUUGUCAAUGCAACCGAUUCCAGUUUAUAUCUCUACUUGGAAUAAAAAAAUACAUAUAUGAACCUGACUUCUUAUGUAGCUAUGUUCAAUGAACACAGCAGCAUGUUUUUGUUGGGCUGCAGACAUCCCCGUUCUGCGACAGGUGAUACAUAGGGAAUUAGGAUUUUAGAAAAUUUGCAUCCAGAAAUCUUCGGAAGUAAAACAUGUAAAUGUGGACAAGUAUGAAAGCAAUACAAAAGACAACAUUUUAAUUUUCAAGUUAUAAAGUGGAAUCCAUAGAUUACACAUGAAUGUUGUCUCCUAAAAGUGAAUAAUAACAAGACAUCCGUUCAUUCAAAUUGGUGAAUAUUUCUCAAGAUGGGUAAGAUUGACUUUCUCAGAUAGUGUGCAGUAUUAUGACCGUCCCUUUGACUACAUACAUGUUUGUCUCUAUGUUGUGAACUUGCAAGACCUGGAAGAACCAACCUAUAUGUUUAAAUUUUGAAAUCUUGGUGAUGUUGUUUUCCCCCUCUUUGCGCACACUUCUCCUAUUGUUUUAGCGACAAACACUUCAUUGCUAAUCAGCCUUUCAAUGACUAUAUCCUUUUUGGCUGAUAGUCUCCUUAAACCUUUAAAUCAGUUUUUUUAACUGGUGCUCAAUAUAAUGGAUUAUAAUGGUCAGCUGCUUAAUAUAAGAGCUUGGUAACUUGACUUUACGAAUUUAUCGUCCCUUUUUUGAAAUAUUUUCUGUCAAUUCUGAGCUCAAUAUAAUGAAUACAAUUUUGCAAACAGAUUAUUUAUGUAUGUUUCUUAGAAAACAUUGCUCCUUGAAUAAUACCCCAUGAUACUUAAACAAGCUAUAUGUCACUUUUACCAGUUCAGUUUGGUGGUGGUUUAUAUUGAGGAUUUGAUCAUUGCUCAUGCAUGCUAAAAGAUUUAUCUGACAUGCAGUUUUGUUCAGGUACAUUUCAUUCUUUUGUACAAUGAAAACUAUUGUUGGUAUAUUUGAUAGCUAGACUGUGCACAUAAGUGUAGAGGCCAUUAGUUAUGUUGUUCAAGCUAUGUUGGUAUCUGUUUGAAGAUUAAUUCCAGUUGGAUAUGUUCCAUUGUCAUCUGACAUUUAAUAGUAAAAUAUACUAUUGAAAAUUAGUUAAAUAUACAUUGAACAGUUCAAAUAAAGAAAUGUCAUGUCAGAUAAGUUAAGCUGACUACAUAUUUGUCAAUGGCUUCCUCAAAUGUAGGUUUCAAAUCAAAUGUCAUUCAAAACUCAUCCUUGAAUUACUUUUAUACUUGAAUAACCGGACUACAUCAUGGAGUUGUCGUCUUUGAAGUUUGAUGAAAUAAGGCCCAUGGUUGUUUGUUUUCCACUCUUAAAUUGCCUUUAGUUUGAAAUAAGGCGCAUGGUUGUUUGCUUUCCACUCUUAAAUUGCCUUUUUGACAACAACAAAAAACUAUACUAAUAGGACUUUUGAUUUUCCCUUCUUCCUGUACUUUUUCUAUAUCACAAAGAAUUGUUCAUGCCUUAUCUGUCCAUUUCAUGUUGACAUUUCAACUUGACCAUUACGAGAGCAUCAUGAUUUUAUUUAUGAUUAUUGCUGUUGUAGAGGUGUUAAAUAUAUAAAGUAUGAAAGGUAUAAUUUCAUGAAAGUACUUUGUAAUAUCAGCUUCCUUUGCCUGAUUGAUGUUGCUUUACAGUCUUAUUUGUCGGCAUUUUGUUCAGCGAGUUAAUGCUUUUUCCAUGCUGUGAGGUCAUAUAUGUUGCAGGCACAGAGCAGCAAAGAUUUUUCCAUAGACACAAAAGCAAUGCUCCCGCUGUAGCAUUAAUUACACACACUCGUAUUUCCUAGGCUGCUAUAUAAAUACGUACAAAAGGAUUGCUAUAUCAAAUACACGUUUAUGAUCAAUGCGUAUUAUCUUCCUUCUGACAAUGCUUACCCUGCUUACAGUAAUCUACAUGGGUCUGGUUCCUUUUAAUAUCAAUAUUUGUCAUCAGAUUCUGAUAUACAUUGUUUCUGUCCAAAAUAUACAGGGUGCACAUUUUCUACAUUUAAUUUCGACUAAGACUUUCUUUUCUUGGUGGUAUGAUCACUUACCAGUAAUUUGAUGGUUAUCUAUAUAUAUAUAUAUAUAUAUAUAUAUAUAUUGAAUUUUCAUAGCAUUUUAACCUCCGAUAUCAAUAUAUUUUCAUAAUAUAAAUUGUUCAAUUUCAUUUCCAAUGUAUUUUACUCAUAUAUUUUUAUUAUUUCAUAAUAUGAAUGGUAUGACAAAUAUAUGAUUUAGUCGUUUGCAAAAAAAAUUCUUGACUCAUGUAUUUUUCAAAAUUCCUUUCAUUCUUUUAAAAAUAGACGGGCGCGGCAACACGCGCCAUCAAUGAUCUAGUCAUAAGUGAUGUCCCGACCAGAUUCUUUCAACAUCAAUGAUUUUACUUUUUGGCAAGAUACUUUGGAGGUACGUAAAGCUAUAGAUCAGCGAUGGAUCAACGUUGAGGUCAGGUAAAGAGGCGAUCUGUCCACUUCUUCUAGGGUGGCUGCUACGGUGGUGCCGGAGUUGAGUGACGGGCAUUGGUAUCUUGCUCAAGGGUUUCUUCAGCCAAGACUAGCUAAGGGUAGUUUUUGCAAUAGCUAGGGUUGUCCUAUAUUUUUUGGUUCUGUCAAGUCGGUGUUUAAGUGGAUUGUAAUUUGAUAUUUAUUUUAUAAUUGAGACACACAUUACAUCAUGAAAGGAAAAAUCAAGGCUACAGAUCAACAUGACCUCGUGUGUCCCGCAUGACCGCCCAGGACCUGUGUAUUGCGUACGCCGGAUCGUAGGCGCAUACACGAUAUUAGAGCAACUCUAGCAGACCCCGCAUCCCGCCCCGAUUCGCAAAAUAACUGCCAAAGUGCGGGUCGGGGCGCGAAAAACGUCCAGAUCAGACCCCGCAUCCCGCCCCGGCCCGCAAAUUUUUUUGCGGGGCACGGCAAAACAUCUCCCCCAACCUCUAGAUUCACGGGCUAGAGGGACGACCCGAGCUCAGCCCCUAUCCGCAACGAGAUUUGGUGGGAGGGACAUUUCAGCGUGGCCGUUCCCGCUCCCCCCGCCCUCCGCCACCAUUGCCCCACCACCGCACGCUCCCCAGCCGUCCUUCACCACCAUGGAUGACUCCCUGCUGUCCCCCGUCAUGGUCGAGGUCGCUAGCGCUCCUUCUCCUCGGGCGGAUCUCGUCGCCGGCCCUAUUGGCCCCGCCAUGGCCCAAGGUCAAUCCGCGCCUGCCCGCAAGCGGCAGGGCAACGUGGUCAUGCAGGGCAGCGCUCUGGUAGCCCCUCCCCCCGAGGGCCCGCGCUCCAGGCACCAACGCUGCUGCGUGAUCUCGGCCGGCGGCGGAGAAGGUCGCAAAGGUCGCCGGCGUCAAGAGGAAGAAGAUUCUGGCCACAAAGAAGCCGCCUCCUUCAUCCGCUCACUCCGGCCUGGAAAGAGGUGCCCCGGGAUGCCGCUCAACGGUGCCGCUCCCCCCACAAGCGAGGUGUUUGACGAAAUGGCCGGCAGGUAUGUGUCUUCGGUCAUGGCAAUUUUCUUUGCUUUUCGCCAUUUUGCGAUAGCUCGUGACUUGUUGUGCUUCACUAUAGCGGUGGUUCGAACAAUGCAACUGCCGAGUUCGUGAACUUGUUGGACACCAACGCCGUUGACAUUGAUCAAGUCCCGUUUGAAGCAUUCGACUACAAUGAAACCGAGGCCGGCGUGGACAAUCAUGGUUUUCAGGACGAUUUACAGGAGAUCGAAGAGGAAGCAUAUGAGCAAUCGCAAACAAAAAGUGGGAAAAGCCAGAGAUUGAAGAACUACACGAUCUUGGAAGAUCAAGUUCUCAUCAAUGCAUGGAGUGCCGUGUCUCUUGAUGCAUGCACGGGUACUUCUCAAACCGCCAAGAGGUAUUGGCAAAGGAUCAAAGAUCAAUACUUCUGCAUGAUGGCAAAGUACCCCAAUAGGACUCCACACACAUUUCGGUCUCUUCAAGGUCGUUGGGAGAAUAUCAAGCCUAUGUGCAGCUGUUAGGCAGCUUGCUUGGAGAGCAAGUACACAAUGCACCUCCAAGUGGAGCCGUGGAAUCCGACUAUGUGAGUUUGUUUUGCCUUUGUUCAACUUGUGCAUCAUCAUAUUACAUCAUAUGAAAUGAUUGCAUCAUUUCACUUUGUUCACAUUGUGUAGAAAAAAAUGCCCAACAUAGAUACAAAGACAUGGAAGCUUCGGAAGGCAAAUUUUUUAAACUAGAGCAUUGUUGGGAGUUGCUCCAAAUGUGCGAUAAGUGGAAGUUGAUCGAUAAAGAAUCCCCACAGAAGAGAGGCUCACUUACAAACAUGGAUGAUGAUGAGGAUGAUGAUGGCCCAAGAAAUUUGAACAAGCCCGAUGGCGACAAGAAGACUAAGGAGAAGAUGAAGAGAGAGCAUGAAGCAUCGAGCUUGAGGGAGAAGAUUGAUGCCAUGGUGUAAUCAAAUGAGUUGAUGUUGUUGAAGUCAUUGGAGAUCAAGAAAGAGUUGGCCGAGAAGAAGGGAAAGGAGAAGCAAGAAAAGUGGCAAUUGCUCAAGGAAGAGGGGCUGCGCAAAGCGGCCAUUGAGGAUAGAAGAGCACGCGUCGAUGAAAACAAAGCCAUGUCCAAGUUGCUCGCCGAAGAGAACAAGAUCAUGUCAAUGAACCGCAAUGACGUGGACGACCUCACCAAAACAUGGCAUGAUAUGGCAAGGAGAGAAAUCUUGAAGACGAGAAAGGUUUUGUCGGCCGGUGCGUGUUACAGUUCCGGAGAUGUUUUCUCUGCUGGCAAUGUCGAUGAUUUCGGUGCGGGAGUUGGAACAAGCGCCGGAGGUGGAUUCAGUGGUGGUGAUGAACUUCAAGAUGGACUCGAUGGUGGGAGUGAAGAUCGACCAAGAUGAUGCCGGACGUGGUCGUCACUUUUGCAAGACACUCUUUUGCAUUUGUCCUACUAAACUGAGGCUUUUAUUUGCGCGUAAACUGUGUUAUGUUGUUUGAAUUUGAACUUAUUUGUGGGCACCAAUGUCAAAUUUGAGAAUUGGGCAUUUUCUGUUUGCGGGUCGACACGGCGGUGCCUGUGCAGACACCGCAAAAGCCAACUCGUAAAAAAGUAUAUCCUUUUAUAUGGGUCCGUUUGAGGGUCUGCAUCUGCGGCCGUGCGAGUCAGCCCGCAAAAAGCCGUUUUCCACGAACUGCAAAUGCGUUUUGCGGGCCGGCCGAAUGCGGGGCCGGGUAGAGUUGCUUGUCAGUACUUCAUAUGUUCAUAUCCAUAACCAAAAUAAUAGGUGCGGAUAAGCAUGUCUUAAUUAACCACCAUAUAAUGGGAUACUAAUAGGAUCCAGUUUAUCCCCUAUACUUAGCAAAACUAUAAAUUUAUACUAGCGAACUAGAAUAAUAAUAAGCUUCGCGUCCACCCAUUUACCUGUUUUAAUGUUUCAAUAUAUGUUAUUAAUGUUGGGGAACGUAGUGAUUUCAAAAAAUUUCCUACGCACACGCAAGAUCAUGGUGAUGCAUAGCAACGAGAGGGGAGAGUGUUGUCUACGUACCCUCGUAGACCGGAAGCGGAAGCGUUAGCACAACGCGGUUGAUGUAGUCGUAAGUCUUCACGGCCCGACCGAUCAAGCACCGAAACUACGACACCUCCGAGUUCUAGCACACGUUCAGCUCGAUGACGAUCCCCGGACUCCGAUCCAACAGAUUGGGAAGAGUUCCGUCAGCACGAUGGCGUGGUGACGAUCUUGAUGUUCUACCGUCGCAGGGCUUCGCCUAAGCACCGCUACAAUAUUAUCGAGGAUUAUGGUGGAGGAGGGCACCGCACGGCAAAUAGAUCUCAAGGAUCAAUUGUUGUGUCUAUGGGGUGCCCCCCUACACCCGUAUAUAAAGGAGCAAGGGGGGAGGCAGCCGGCCUAGGAGGAGGGCGCGCCAAGGGGGGAGUCCUACUCCCAUCGGGAGUAGGACUCCUCCUUCCCUUGUUGGAGUAGGAGAGAAGUAAAGAGGAGGAGAGGAACAAGGAAAAGGGGGCUGCACCCCUUGUCCAAUUCGGACCAGAGGGGGAGCGCGCGCCUCCUUCCUUUUGGCCUCUCUCCUCUAUUCCCGUAUGGCCCAAUAAGGCCCGGCGAAUUCACGUAACUGUCCAGUACUCCAAAAAAUACCCGAAUCACUCGGAACCUUUCUGAUGUCCGAAUAUAGUCGUCCAAUAUAUCAAUCUUUACGUCUCGACCAUUUCGAGACUCCUCGUCAUAUCCCCGAUCUCAUCCGGGACUCCGAACUCCUUAGGUACAUCAAAACUCAUAAACUCAUAAUAUAAUUGUCAUCGAAACCUUAAGCGUGCGGACCCUACGGGUUCGAGAACAAUGUAGACAUGACUGCGACACGUCUCCGGUCAAUAACCAAUAGCGGAACCUGAAUGCUCAUAUUGGCUCCCACAUAUUCUACGAAGAUCUUUAUCGGUCAAACCACAUAACAACAUACGUUGUUCCCUUUGCCAUCGGUAUGUUACUUGCCCGAGAUUCGAUCGUUGGUAUCUCAAUACCUAGUCCAAUCUUGUUACCGGCAAGUCUCUUUACUCGUUCCAUAACACAUCAUCCCGCAACUAACUCAUUAGUUGCAAUGCUUGCAAGGCUUAUAGUUAUGUGCAUUACCGAGUGGGCCCAGAGAUACCUCUCUGACAAUCGGAGUGACAAAUCCUAAUCUCGAAAUAUGCCAACCCAACAAGUACCUUCGGAGACACCUGUAGAGCACCUUUAUAAUCACCCAGUUACGUUGUGACGUUUGGUAGCACAUAAAGUGUUCCUUCGGUAAACGGGAGUUGCAUAAUCUCAUAGUCAUAGGAACAUGUAUAAGUCAUGAAGAAAGCAAUAGCAACAAACUAAACGAUCAAGUGCUAUGCUAACGAAAUGGGUCAAGUCAAUCACAUCAUUCUCCUAAUGAUGUGAUCCCGUUAAUCAAAUGACAACUCAUGUCUAUGGUUAGGAAACAUAACCAUCUUUGAUCAACAAGCUAGUCAAGUAGAGGCAUACUAGUGACACUCUGUUUGUCUAUGUAUUCACACAUGUAUUAUGUUUCCGGUUAAUACAAUUCUAGCAUGAAUAAUAAACAUUUAUCAUGAUAUAAGGAAAUAAAUAAUAACUUUAUUAUUGCCUCCAGGGCAUAUUUCCUUCAGUCUCCGACUUGCACUAGAGUCAAUAAUCUAGUUCACAUCGCCAUGUGAUUUAACAUCAAUAGUUCACAUCACCAUGUGAUUAACACCCAUAGUUCACAUCGUCAUGUGACCAACACCCAAAGGGUUUACUAGAGUCAAUAAUCUAGUUCACAUUGCUAUGUGAUUAAUACCCAAAGAGUACUAAGGUGUGAUCAUGUUUUGCUUGUGAGGGAAGUUUAGUCAACGGGUCUGCUACAUUCAGAUCCGUAUGUAUUUUGCAAAUUUCUAUGUCAACAAUGCUCUGCACGGAGCUACUCUAGCUAAUUGCUCCCACUUUAAAUAUGUAUCUUGAUUGAGACUUUGAGUCAUGGAUCAGUGUCAAAACUUGCAUCGACGUAACCCUUUACAAUGAACCUUUUGUCACCUCCAUAAUCGAGAAACAUAUCCUUAUUCCACUAAGGAUAAUUUUGACCAAUGUCCAGUGAUCUACUCCUAGAUCACUAUUGUACUCCCUUGCCAAACUCAGGGCAGGGUAUACAAUAGGUCUGGUACACAGCAUGACAUACUUUAUAGAACCUAUGGCUAAGGCAUAGGGAAUGACUUUCAUUCUCUCUCUAUCUUCUUCCGUGGUCGGGUUUUGAGUCUUACUCAACUUCACACCUUCUAACACAGGCAAGAACUCCUUCUUUGACUGUUCCAGUUUGAACUACUUCAAAAUCUUGUCAAGGUAUGUACUUACUGAAAAACUUAUCAAGCGUCUUGAUCUAUCUCUAUAGAUCUUGAUGCUCAAUAUGUAAGAAGCUUCACCGAGGUCUUUAUUUGAAAAACUCCUUUCAAACAUUCCUUUAUGCUUUGCAGAAUAAUUCUACAUUAUCUCCGAUCAAGUAUAUGUCAUUCACAUAUACUUAUCAGAAAUGCUGUAGUGCUCCCACUCACUUUCUUGUAAAUACAGGCUUCACCGCAAGUCUGUAUAAAACUAUAUGCUUUGAUCAACUUAUCAAAGCGUAUAUUCCAACUCCGAGAUGCUUGCACUAGUCCAUAGAUGGAUCACCGGAGCUUGCAUAUUUUGUUAGCACCUUUAGGAUUGACAAAACUUUCUUGUUGCAUCAUAUACAACUCUUCUUUAAUAAAUCCAUUAAGGAAUGUAGUUUUGUUUAUCCAUUUGCCAGAUUUCAUAAAAUGUGGCAAUUGCUAAUAUGAUUUGGAUAGACUUAAGCAUAGAUACGAGUGAGAAACUCUCAUCAUAGUCAACACCUUGAACUUGUCGAAAACCUUUUUGUUGGUGGUAGGUGCGACAUAUGCCAACGGGUGGCUUAUCAUUGUGGGAGCCAGUAGGACGUCGCCGGUGCCUGGAAGCGGGAUGAGGCGAAGACAUGCACGCCGGCGAAUCUUACCCAGCUUCAGGGCUCUCCGUGGAGAUAACACCCCUACUGCUGCUCUGCGGGGUCUCCGCAUGAUCACUAGAUGAACGAGUGGCUACCAGAUGCUCCUUGAGAUGUUUGGCGAGAAGAAGAAGAAGGGCACGGCUAGCUCUCCUCUCCUCUCUAUGUGGUGUCUAAAACUAGCUCAGAUCAACCCUUUGCAUGGGUGCCCCGGGGGGUUUAUAUAGGCCCACCCCCCGGGGGUACAAUGGUAAUCCAGCUGGGCGUGGGCCCUAGCCGUCUGUGUCUACGCUCGCCGGCUUCUGCCCCGGCUGGUGGGGCCCGCCGGCUGGUGGGUCCCGCCGGCUGCCGGCUCCUUGGUCGACAGGCAGGCCCCACCGUCAAGGGCCUUGUCGGUGGCUGAUUACUGUUGCCUCAAACCUGGUGACGAGGGCUUCGCCGAGGUGGGCGUGGCUACAGUGCCGCCGCCCGGCGGGCGAUCGCUGUAGCCUCACCACGUCUUGUCUCCUUAAUGGGGCGUCUCCUCCGAGGGAGGAGGCAAGCCGGCUGUGGGGAGCCGGCCCUGUCUUGGGCCGACUGGGGGAGGCCUGGCCGCCUUUGGGUGUCUCUCUACAUGAAGGGGCCCACUGCCCGUGGGCCGCGCUGACAACCCGUCGUGGGUGGCAUCAGGGUCAACAUGGCAAUAGUGCCGUUCCGGACGGGUCAUGGCCACCCCGUACGGCGCACUGUGCCAGGCGUGCUCCGGGAUUCGGGGGUGGCAGGCUUUACUGUAGCCACGCCCCGCCACAUCGCCGUUAUGUGGAUGUAGACUUCGAGGGUACGAUCUUGACCGCUUUGUGGGAGCCGGCUUCUUGGAGUCGGCCUUCUCGCGGCCGGCUUCUUGGAGCCGGCCCUCCCGCGGCUUUCUUCAUGAGGGCUAAAGCCGGGCCUCCUUCCGAUAGUCGGCCUGGGUGACAGCCAGCAAGGGGAAGGCGGCCCCACGUCUUGGAUUCUUGAGGGCUGGAUCAGCUCGUAAUUUUUUCAGUGGGGCCAGGGGGAGCCGGCUAGGCUACCCGUGGUCGUUUACUCCGACACUUUUGCGACAAUUCUAGCUUUGUAGAUAGUAACAGUACUAUCAGCGUCCGUCUUCCUCUUGAAGAUCCAUUUAAUCUCAAUUGCUUGCCGAUCAACGGGCAAGUCAACCAAAGUCCACACUUUGUUCUCAUACAUGGAUCCCAUCUCAGAUUUCAUGGCCUCAAGCCAUUUCACGGAAUCUGGGCUCAUCAUAGCUUCCUCAUAGUUCGUAGGUUCAUCACGGUCAAGUAACAUGAACUCCAGAGUAGGAUUACCGUACCACUCUGGUGCGGAUCUCACUCUGGUUUACGUACGAGGUUCGGUAGUAACUUGAUCUGAAGUUACAUGAUCAUCAUCAUUAGCUUCCUCACUAAUUGGUGUAGUAGUCAUAGGAACAGAUUUCUGUGAUGAACUACUUUCCAACAAGGGAGCAGGUACAGUUACCUCAUCAAGUUCUACUUUCCUCUCACUCACUUCUUUCGAGAGAAACUCCUUCUCUACAAAAGAUCCAUUCUCAGCAACGAAUAUCUUGCCUUCGGAUCUGUGAUAGAAGGUGGACCCAACAUUUUCUUUUGGGUAUCCUAUGAAGACGCACUUCUCCGAUUUGGGUUUGAGCUUAUCAGGUUGAAACUUUUUCACAUAAGCAUUGCAACCUCAAACUUUAAGAAACGACAGCUUAGGUUUGUUGCCAAACCAUAGUUCAUACGGUGUCGUCUCAACGGAUUUAGAUGGUGCCCUAUUUAACGUGAAUGUAGCUGUCUCUAAUGCAUAACCCCAAAACGAUAGUCGUAAAUUGGUAAGAGACAUCAUAGAUCGCACCAUAUCUAAUAAAGUACGGUUAUGAUGUUCGGACACACCAUUACACUGUGGUGUUCCAAGUGGCGUGAGUAGUGAAACUAUUUCACAUUGUUUUAACUGAAGGCCAAACUCGUAACUCAAAUAUUUUACUUCUGCGAUCAUAUCGUAGAAACUUUUAUUUUUGUUACGAUGAUUCUCCACUUCACUCUGAAAUUCUUUGAACUUUUCAACUAUUUCAGACUUGUGUUUCAUUAAGUAGAUAUACCCAUAUCUGCUCAAAUCAUCUGUGAAGGUCAGAAAAUAACGAUACUUGCCGUGAGCCUUAACACUCAUCGGACCGCAUACAUCAGUAUGUAUUAUUUCUAAUAAGUCAGUUGCUCGAUCCAUUGUUCCGGAGAACGGAGUCUUAGUCAUUUUGCCCAUGAGGCAUGGUUCGCAAGCAUCAAGUGAUUCCAAAAGUCCAUCAACAUGGAGUUUCUUCAUGCGCUUUACACCAAUAUGACCUAAACGGCAGUGCCACAAAUAAGUUACACUAUCAUUAUUAAUUUUGCAUCUUUUGGUUUCAAUAUUAUGAAUAUGUGUAUGACUACGAUCGAGAUCCAACGAACCAUUUUCAUUGGGUGUGUAACCAUAUAAGGUUUUAUUCAUGUAAACAGAACAACAAUUUAUUCUCUUACUUAAAUGAAUAACUGUAUUGCAAUAAACAUGAUCAAAUCAUAUUCAUGCUCAACGCAAACACCAAAUAACACUUAUUUAGGUUCAACACUAAUCCCGAAAGUAUAGGGAGUGUGCGAUGAUGAUCAUAUCAAUCUUGAAACCACUGCCAACACACAUCGUCACUUCACCCUUAACUAGUCUCUGUUCAUUCUGCAACUCCCGUUUCGAGUUACUACUCUUAGCAACUGAACCAGUAUCAAAUGCCGAGGGGUUGCUACGAACACUAGUAAAAUACACAUCAAUAAUAUAUAUAUCAAAUAUAUCUUUGUUCACUUUGCCAUCCUUCUUAUCCGCCAAAUACUUGGGGCAGUUCCGCUUCCAGUGACCAGUCCCUUUGUAGUAGAAGGACUUAGUCUCAGGCUUAGGACCAGACUUGGGCUUCUUCACUUGAGCAGCAACUUGCUUGUCGUUCUUCUUGAAGUUCCCCUUCUUCCCUUUGCCCUUUCUCUUGAAACUAGUGGUCUUGUCAACCAUCAACACUUGAUGUUUUUCUUGAUUUCUACCUUCGCCGAUUUUUGCAUCACGAAGAGCUUGGGAAUCGUUUCUGUUAACCCUUGCAUAUUAUAGUUCAUCACGAAGUUCUACUAACUUGGUGAUGGUGACUAGAGAAUUCUGUCAAUCACUAUUUUAUCUGGAAGAUUAACUCCCACUUGAUUCAAGCGAUUGUAGUACCCAGACAAUCUGAGCACAUGCUCACUGUUUGAGCUAUUCUCCUCCAUCUUUUAGCUAUAGAACUUGUUGGAGACUUCAUAUCUCUCAACUCGGGUAUUUACUUGAAAUAUUAACUUCAACUCUUGGAACAUCUCAUAUGGUCCAUGACAUUCAAAACGUCUUUGAAGUCCCGAUUCUAAGCUGUUAGGCAUGGUGCACUAAACUAUCAAGUAGUCAUCAUAUUGAGCUAGCCAAACGUUCAUAACGUCUACAUCUACUCCUGCAAUAGGUCUGUCACCUAGCGGUGCAUCAAAGACAUAAUUCUUCUGUGCAGCAAUGAGGAUAAUCCUCAGAUCACGGAUCCAAUCCGCAUCAUUGCUACUAACAUUUUUCAACAUAAUUUUUCUCUAGGAACACAAUAAACUGGGAGCAACAUCGCGAGCUAUUGAUCUACAACAUAGAUAUGCUAAUACUACCAGGACUAAGUUCAUGAUAAAUUAAAGUUCAAUUAAUCAUAUUACUUAAGAACUCCCACUUAGACAGACAUCCCUCUAAUAUUCUAAGUGAUCACGUGAUCCAUAUCAACUAAACCAUGUCCGAUCAUCACGUGAGAUGGAGUAGUUUUAAUGGUGAAAAACACUAUGUUGAUCAUAUCUACUAUAUGAUUCACAUUCGACCUUUCGGUCUCCGUGUUCCGAGGCCAUAUCUGUUAUAUGCUAGGCUCGUCAAGUUUAACCUGAAUAUUCCGCGUGUGCAACUGUUUUGCACCCGUUGUAUUUGAAUGUAGAGCCUAUCACACCCGAUCAUCACGUGGUGUCUCAGCACGAAGAACUUUCGCAAUGGUGCAUACUCAGGGAGAACACUUGUACCUUGAUAAUUAGUGAGAGAUCAUCUUAUAAAGCUACCGUCGAACUAAGCAAAAUAAGAUGUAUAAAAGAUAAACAUCAUAUGCAAUCAAAAUAUGUGACAUGAUAUGGCCAUCAUCAUCUUGUGCCUUUGAUCUCCAUCUCCAAAGUAUCAUCAUGAUCUCCAUCGUCACUGGCAUGACACCAUAAUCUCCAUCAUCUUGAUCUAUAUCAAUGUGUCGUCACAUGGUUGUCUCGCCAACAAUUUCUCUUGCAACUAUUGCUAUCGCAUAGCGAUAAAGUAAAGCAAUUAUUUGGUGCUUGCAUCUUAUGCAAUAGAGAGAUAACCAUAAGGCUUUUGCCUGUUGCCGAUAACUUCAACAAAACAUGAUCAUCUCAUACAACAACUUAUAUCUCAUCACGUCUUGACCAUAUCACAUCACAACAUGCCCUGCAAAAACAAGUUAGACGUCCUCUACUUUGUUGUUGCAAGUUUUACGUGGCUGCUACGGGCUUAGCAAGAACCGUUCUUACCUACGCAUCAAAACCACAACGAUAGUUUGUCAAGUUGGUGCCGUUUUAACCUUCGCAAGGACCGGGUGUAGCCACACUUGGUUCAACUAAAGUUGGAGAAACUGACACCCGCCAGCCACAUGUGUGUAAAGCACGUCGGUAGAACCAGUCUCGCGUAAGCAUACGCGUAAUGUCGGUCCGGGCCGCUUCAUCCAACAAUACCACCGAACCAAAAUGUGACAUGCUGGUAAGCAGUAUGACUUAUAUCGCCCACAACUCACUUGUGUUCUACUCGUGCACAACAUCAACACAUAAAACCUAGGCUCUGAUACCACUGUUGGGGAACGUAGUAAUUUCAAAAAAUUUCCUACGCACAUGCAAGAUCAUGGUGAUGCAUAGCAACGAGAGGGGAGAGUGUUGUCUACGUACCCUCGUAGACCGGAAGCGGAAGCGUUAGCACAACGCGGUUGAAGUAGUCGUAAGUCUUCACGGCCCGACCGAUCAAGCACCGAAACUACGAUACCUCCGAGUUCUAACACACGUUCAGCUCGAUGACGAUCCCCGGACUACGAUCCAGUAGAAUGUCGGGGAAGAUUUCCGUCAGCACGACGGCGUGGUGACGAUCUUGAUGUUCUACCGUCGCAGGGCUUCGCCUAAGCAACGCUACAAUAUUAUCGAGGAUUAUGGUGGAGGAGGGCACCACACACGGCUAAUAGAUCUCAAGGAUCAAUUAUUGUGUCUAUGGGGUGCCCCCUGCCCCCGUAUAUAAAGGAGCAAGGGGGGAGCGGCCGGUCUAGGAGGAGGGCGCGCCAAGGGGGGAGUCCUACUCCCACCGGGAGUAGGACUCCUCCUUCCCUUGUUGGAGUAGGAGAGAAGGAAAGAGGGGGAGAGGAACAAGGAAAAGGGGGCUGCACCCCUUGUCCAAUUCGGACCAGAGGGGGGCGCGCACCUCCUUCCUUUUGGCUUCUCUCCUCUAUUCCCGUAUGGCCCAAUAAGGCCCAUAUACUCCGCGGCGAAUUCCCGUAACUCUCCGGUACUCCAAAAAAUACCUGAAUCACUCGGAACCUUUCCGAUGUCCGAAUAUAGUCGUCCAAUAUAUUGAUCUUUACGUCUCGACCAUUUCGAGACUCCUCUUCAUGUCCCCGAUCUCAUCCGGGACUCCGAACUCCUUAGGUACAUCAAAAUUCAUAAACUCAUAAUAAAACUGUCAUCGAAACCUUAAGCGUGCGGACCCUACAGGUUCGAGAACAAUGUAGACAUGACCGAGACACGUCUCCAGUCAAUAACCAAUAGCGGAACCUGGAUGCUCAUAUUGGCUCCCACAUAUUCUACGAAGAUCUUUAUCGGUCAAACCGCAUAACAACAUACGUUGUUCCCUUUGCCAUCGGUAUGUUACUUGCCCGAGAUUCGAUCGUUGGUAUCUCAAUACCUAGUUCAAUCUCGUUACCGGCAAGUAUCUUUACUCGUUCCAUAACACAUCAUCCCGCAACUAACUCAUUAGUUGCAAUGCUUGCAAGGCUUAUAGUGAUGUGCAUUACCGAGUGGGCCCAGAGAUACCUCUCCGACAAUCGGAGUGACAAAUCCUAAUCUCGAAAUACGCCAACCCAACAAGUACCUUUGGAGACACCUGUAGAGCACCUUUAUAAUCACCCAGUUACGUUGUGACGUUUGGUAGCACACAAAGUGUUCCUCCGGUAAACGGGAGUUGCAUAAUCUCAUAGUCAUAGGAACAUGUAUAAGUCAUGAAGAAAGCAAUAGCAACAAACUAAACGAUCAAGUGCUAUGCUAACGGAAUGGGUCAAGUCAAUCAUAUCAUUCUCCUAAUGAUGUGAUCCCGUUAAUCAAAUGACAACUCAUGUCUAUGGUUAGGAAACAUAACCAUCUUUGAUCAACGAGCUAGUCAAGUAGAGGCAUACUAGUGACACUCUAUUUGUCUAUGUAUACACACAUGUAUUAUCUUUCCGGUUAAUACAAUUCUAGCAUGAAUAAUAAACAUUUAUCAUGAUAUAAGGAAAUAAAUAAUAACUUUAUUAUAGCCUCUAGGGCAUAUUUCCUUCAAUUAAUUGAUUCCACUGCUGAUGGUCGGCAACCCAUCUGCUGGGAACUGAUCAUAAUCGUACAUCAGUUUCUAAGAGAGCAUUCAUGGCGAUUGUUGUGCCCAUCGUUUCCGCUGUCCAGUGGUACUUCUAUAUUGUUCCUCCCAUAACAAUCCUCGGUCACCCUCUCUUCUCAGACAGCACAAGCAUCUUUCAUCAUCAUGCUCUGGUAUUACUUAUGCAUGAUUCCUUAAGAUUCGUCAUUGAUGUUUACAAUCGUUCAUUAUUUUAGUUGUUCUUUCAGAUUCGUCAUUGUGCCCUACAUGAGUCUCUGUCAAAAUUUGCAUGUGUUAACUCUGUAAGUAUGUAUGUAUGCAAUUUGAUAUUUUAUAAUACUAACAUUUGUCCACUUUGUCCUAAAGUAGUUUUUGCUGCUUGGAGGUGAGCAGAGCGAAGGUAUCCCAUUAUCAUGAUUCAGAGGACUCAUGUUAUUCUCUUUAUUGUCAAUGCAACCGAUUCCGGUUUAUAUCUCUUCUUGGAAUAAAAAAAUGCAUAUAUGAACCUGACUGCUUACGUAGCUAUGUUCAAUCAACACAUCAGAAUGUUUUUGUGGGGCUACAGACAUCCCCGUUCUACGACAGGUGAUACAUAGGGAAUUAGGAUUUUAGAAAAUUUGCAUACAUAAAUCUUCGGAAGUAAAACAUGUAAAUGUGGACAAGUAUGAAAGCAAUACAAAAGGCAACAUUUUUAUUUUCAAGUUAUAAAGUGGAAUCCAUAGAUUACACAGGAAUGUUAUCUCCUAAAAGUGAAUAAUAACAAGACAUCCGUUCAUUCAAAUUGGUGAAUAUUUCUCAAGAUGGGUAAGAUUCACUUUCUCAGAUAGAGUGCAGUAUUGUGACGGUCCCUUUGACUACAUACAUGUUUGUCUCUCUGUUGUGAACUUGCAAGACCUGGAAGAACCAGCCUAUUUGUUUAAAUUUCGAAAUCUUGGUGAUGUUGUUUUUCCCUCUUUGCGCAUACUUCUCCUAAUGUUUUGGCGACAAACACUUCAUUGCUAAUUUGCCUUUCAAUGACUAUCUCCUUUUUGGCUGAUAGUCUCCUUAAACCUUUAAAUCAGUUUUUUUAACUGGUGCUCAAUAUAAUGGAUUAUAAUGGUCAGCUGCUUAAUAUAAGAGCUUGGUAACUUGACUUUAGGAAUUUAUCGUCCCUUUUUUGAAAUAUUUUCUGUAAAUUCUGAGCUCAAUAUAAUGAAUACAAUUUUGCAAACAGAUUAUUUAUGUAUGUUUCUUAGAAAACAUUGCUCCUUGAAUAAUAACCCAUGAUACUUAGACAAGCUAUAUGUCAUUUUUACCAGCUCAGUUUGGUGGUGGUUUAUAUUGAGGAUUUGAUCAUUGCUCAUGCACGCUAAAUGAUUUAUCUGACAUGCAGUUUUGUUCAGGUACAUUUCAUUCUUUUGUACAUUAAAUACUAUUGUUGGUAUAUUUGAUAGCUAGAUUGUGCACAUAAGUGCAGAGGCCAUUAGUUAUGUUGUUCAAGCUAUGUUGGUAUCUGUUUGAAGAUUAAUUCCAGUCGGAUAUGUUCCAUUGUCAUCUGACAUUUAAUAGUAAAAUAUACUAUUGAAAAUUAGUAAAAUAUACAUUGAACAGUUCAAAUAAAGAAAUGUCAUGUCAGAUAAGUUAAGCUGACUACAUAUUUGUCAAUGGCUUUCUCAAAUGUAGGUUUCAAAUCAAAUGUCAUUCAGAACUCAUCCUUGAAUUACUUUUAUACUUGAAUAACCAGACUACAUCAUGGAUUUGUCGUCUUUGAAGUUUGAUGAAAUAAGGCCCAUGGUUGUUUGCUUUCCACUCUUAAAUUGCCUUUAGUUUGAAAUAAGGCCCAUGAUUGUUUGCUUUCCACUCUUAAAUUGCCUUUUUGACAGCAACAAAAAACUAUACUAACACUAGUAGAAAACAGGGCUAUGGUCCAGGCCGGCUCAGCCCAUUAGUCCCGGUUCAGUGUAGAACCGGGACCAAUAUGGGCAUUGGUCCCGGUUCGUGAGCCCAGGGGGCCGGUCGGGCCACGUGGGCCAUUGGUCCCGGUUCGUCAAUGGGCCUCGCUCCUGGCCCACCACCAUUGGUCCCGGUUCAUGCCACCAACCGGGACCAAUGAGGUGCCUAUAUAUACCCCCUCGCAUAAGAGCAGAGCACACUGCUCUGUUUUUUCUGGCCGAGGGGGAGAGGGCUUGGUGGUGCUCUAGCUCACCUCCUAUGCACACAAGGUGUUCGAUGGAAUGCCCAAGCCACAUUACUUAAGCUUUCUCCUCUCGAAGCUCGACCUCCAAGCUCCAUUUUCCUCGAGAUUUGUCUAGAUUUAGCGGUCCGUCACGCCCCGUCCGCGUCUUCACCGCCGUCGAUCACCCGCGCCGAUCUCAUCACCGACACCACCGUGGUGAGCCUCUUGUUCUUAUCUUCUUUCUGAAAGGAAAAAUAUUCUUACUUGUAUGUUUAGAUAGAUACUUGUAUCAUUUUUUUACAUUUAUUAUUGCAUCUUAUAUAGUGCGAUGGUUUUGGUAUCCGCCCCCGUCGGCCCUCAUCCUGUCUAUGAUUCGGAUUUGGUAUGUAUAUUAUCUUUAUAACUAUUGGUUCAUUUAUUGUUUAUGAAAAUUAUGCCGACCAACAUGACAUAGAUUUUAUUUAUCUAGGAUGUAUGUGAAUCGGAAAUGCCAACCGACCCUAUUGUCGAGAGGUUAAAUUUAGUUGAAGAAGAAAACAAUUUGUUGAAGGAAAAAAACUUGAGGAGGAGAAGAUGAUAUUGGAGUUGCAUGUUGCGGAUGUCGUCGAUGAUCACAAGAUCAAGAUGGAUGCAAUGCGCUUGAAGAUUAGAAAGAUUAGAAAAUAUGCCAUUCAUACCGAGGCUUGGUAUCAUUAUGCCAUUGGAUCAAUUGUUACCUUGGUUGCGAUUAUGAUCGCAUUUGUUUUCGCAUUGAAAUGUUUUACAUAGUUUCAAUGUAUGGUUUAAUUAAUUAGAUGCUCUGGAGAGCUAUAUGUUGUUAGAUGGGAACUAUGUAUGCACUUUGGUUUUAACGUGAUGAUGAACUUCUAUUAAUUUGGACACUUAAUUAUAUAUAAUGCACGCAGAUGAACCGACAAUGGAUGUACGGUGACAGACACACCCGCGAGUACAUUAAGGGCGUGCAUGAGUUUCUCGAUGCGGCUGAGGCAAACAAGCAGAAUGGUUUUAUGUGUUGUCCAUGCACUAAAUGUGGGAAUACGAGGUCUUACUCUAACCGGAAAAUCCUUCACUCCCACCUGCUUUACAAGGGUUUCAUGCCACACUAUAAUGUUUGGACGAGGCACGGAGAAAUAGGGGUUAUGAUGGAAGACGGCGAAGAAGAAGAGUACGAUGACAACUAUGUGCCCCCUGAAUACGGUGAUGCUACAACGGGGGGAGCUGGUGAACAUCAAGAGGAACCAGACGAUGUGCCCAAUGAUGCUGCCACGGGUGAAGCUGCUGAAGAUCAAGAGGAACCAGACGAUGUGCCCGAUGAUUAUGAUCUCCGCCGGGUCAUUGUCGAUGCAAGGACGCAAUGCAUUAGUCAAAAGGAGAAGCUGAAGUUCGAUCGCAUGUUAGAGGAUCACAAAAAAGGGUUAUACCCCAAUUGCGAAGAUGGCAACACAAAGCUCGGUACCGUACUGGAAUUGCUGCAGUGGAAGGCAGAGAAUGCUGUGGCUGACAAAGGAUUUGAGAAGCUACUGAAAAUAUUGAAGAAGAAGCUUCCAAAGGAUAACGAAUUGCCCGACAGUACAUACGCAGCAAAGAAGGUCGUAUGCCCUCUAGGAUUGGAGGUGGAGAAGAUACAUGCAUGCCCUAAUGACUGCAUCCUCUACCGCGGUGCAUACAAGGAUCCGAACGCAUGCCCGGUAUACGGUGCGUUGCGGUAUAAGAUCAGACGAGAUGACCCUGGUGAUGUUGAUGGUGAGCCCCUCAGGAAGAGGGUUCCUGCGAAGGUGAUGUGGUAUGCUCCUAUAAUACCACGGUUGAAACGUCUGUUCAGAAACGAAGAGCAUGCCAAGUUGAUGCGAUGGCACAGUGAGAAUCGAAAGAAAGAUGGGAAGUUGAGAGCACCCGCUGACGGGUCGCAGUGGAGAAAAAUCAAGAGAAAGUAUCGGGAUGAGUUUGCGAGGGACCCAAGGAAUGUAUGGUUUGCUUUAAGCACGGAUGGCAUUAAUCCUUUCGGGGAGCAGAGUAGCAAUCACAGCACCUGGCCCGUGACUCUAUGUAUGUAUAACCUUCCUCCUUGGAUGUGCAUGAAGCGGAAGUUCAUUAUGAUGCCAGUUCUCAUCCAAGGCCGUAAGCAACCCGACAACGAAAUUGAUGUGUACCUAAGGCCAUUAGUUGAAGAACUUUUACAGUUGUAGAAUGGAAACGGUGUACGUACGUGGGAUGAGCACAGACAGGAGGAAUUUAACCUUAAGGCGUUGCUGUUCGUGACCAUCAACGAUUGGCCCGCUCUCAGUAACCUUUCAGUACAGACAAACAAAGGAUUCCACGCAUGCACGCACUAUUUAGAUGAUACUGAAAGUAUAUACCUAGACAAAUGCAGGAAGAAUAUGUACCUGGGCCAUCGUCGAUUUCUUCCGACCAACCAUCAAUGUCGAAAGAAAGGCAAGCAUUUCAAAGGCGAGGCAGAUCACCGGAAGAAGCCCGCCAUGCGCACCGGUGAUCACGUGCUUGCUAUGGUCAAUGAUUUACACUACGUAAUCUUCGGAAAGGGUCCCGGUGGACUAGCUGUUCCGAAGGACGCUAAGGGACAUGCACCCAUGUGGAAGAAGAAAUCUAUAUUUUGGGACCUACCCUACUGGAAAGACCUAGAGGUCCGCUCCUCAAUCAACGUGAUGCACGUGACGAAGAACCUUUGCGUGAACCUGCUAGGCUUCUUGGGCGUGUAUGGGAAGACAAAAGAUACACCUGAGGCACGAGAGGACCUGCAACGUUUGCACGAAAAAGACGGCAUGCCUCCGACGCAGUAUAAAGGUCCUGCCAGCUACGCUCUUACGAAAGAAGAGAAAGAAAUCUUCUUUGAAUGCCUGCUCAGUAUGAAGGUCACGACUGGCUUCUCGUCGAAUAUAAAGGGAAUAAUAAAUAUGCCAGAGAAAAAGUUUCAGAACCUAAAGUCUCAUGACUGCCACGUGAUUAUGACGCCACUGCUUCCGGUUGCAUUGAGGGGGCUUCUACCGGAAAACGUCCGAUUAGCCAUUGUGAAGCUAUGUGCAUUCGUCAAUGCAAUCUCUCAGAAGGUGAUCGAUCCAGAAAUCGUACCAAGGCUAAGGAGUGAUGUGGCGCAUUGUCUUGUCAGUUUCGAGCUGGUGUUCCCACCAUCCUUCUUCAAUAUCAUGACGCACGUCCUAGUUCAUCUAGUCGACGAGAUUGUCAUCCUGGGGCCCGUAUUUCUACACAAUAUGUUCCCCUUUGAGAGGUUCAUGGGAGUCCUAAAGAAAUAUGUCCGUAACCGCGCUAGGCCAGAAGGAAGCAUCUCCAUGGGCCAUCAAACAGAGGAUGUUAUCGGGUUUUGUGUUGACAUCAUUCCUGGCCUUAACAAGAUAGGUCUCCCUAAGUCGCGGUAUGAGGGGAGACUGACUGGAAAAGGCACUCUUGGAAGAGACUCAAUAAUAUGCAGGGACGGAUAUUCUUGGUCUCAAGCACACUACACAGUUCUACAGAACUCUACGUUGGUGACCCCGUAUGUCGAUGAACACAAGAAUAGUUUGCGCUCCAAACACCCGGAGCAGUGGGACGACUGGAUUACAUGUGAACACAUCAGGACUUUCAGCAGUUGGUUGGAAACACGUCUCAGAGGUGACAACACUGUUUGUGAUGAGUUGUACUUGUUGUCCAGGGGACCAUCUUUGACUAUAUUGACUUACAAAGGAUACGAGAUAAAUGGGAAUACAUUUUACAUGAUCGCCCAAGAUCAAAAGAGCACCAACCAAAAUAGCGGUGUCCGCUUUGAUGCAGCAACCAAGAGCGGAAAGGACACAUAUUAUGGUUACAUAGUGGACAUGUAUGGGAACUUGACUAUGGACCUGAUUUUAAGGUCCCUUUGUUUAAGUGCAAAUGGGUCAAUCUGUUAGGUGGCGGGGUACAGGUAGACCCAUAGUACGGAAUGACAAUAGUGGAUCUGAAAAAUCUUGGGUACACUGACGAACCGUUCGUCCUAGCCAAUGAUGUGGCACAGGUUAUCUAUGUGAAGGACAUGUCUACCAAACCGAGAAAAAGAAAAGAUAAGGAAGCGAAUACAUCAUACGAUGAGCCAAAGCGCCACAUAGUUCUUUCAGGAAAAGGGACAUCCUGGGAGUGGACGGCAAGAUAGACAUGUCUGAAGAUUAUGAAAAGUUUCAUGAAAUUCCUCCCUUCAAUGUCAAGGCUGACCCAAGCAUCCUGAUAAACAAUGAAGAUUAUCCAUGGUUACGACGCAAUAAGCAAAUGACACAAGCAAGGAAAAAGUGAAUACUUUCUCCCACAACUAUUAUGAUGAUACCAUGCCAAAUUUGUAACAGACGGACAUCCUACCAUUGUCCGUUUUGUACAUGCACAUGCUAUGUGGGUGAAAUUAUGAUACCAUCCCAACUUUCAACUUUUUCAGAGUUCAUUUGAAAUGCUUUCAUGUCUUAUGGUUUGAAACUUUGAUACUUCGAAAGUGAUUGUCCAUUUUGUACACGAAGUGCAUCAAGUUUUUGUCGUAACCCUCUCUACUUUUUGGAACAUGCUAUGUGGGUGAAAUGAUUAUACCAUGCCAACUUUCAACCUUUUCAGAGUUCAUUUUGAAAUGCUUUCCAAUUUCAGAGUCAUUUAGCUCAAAGAAUGAAUUAAUAGCAAACAGAAUAAACUACAAAACUUUUAUGAAAAUAAAAACAAUUAAUUAAAAUAUUAUGUUAUGAUCAACUAAAAUAAAACUAUAAUAUUCUUCAAUAGCAAAAAGAAUAUAAUUUUUGUGACCUAAAAUCAAACUAUAAGUAUUUAAUUGUAAGUAUAAAUAAAAAAUAAAUAGCAAAGAAGAAAAAAUUUCUAAUUUUAUAGUAAAGUUAUUCAUAAACUACUGAUUCACACAAAUUUUUAAAAAUUUAAAUUUAAACUAUUUAAAAUUUAAAACUAAUGGCACUAACAGAAAGUUUAUAAUUUUUGUGACCUAAAAGCAAAAAGAAAUCACUAAAAAACUGUAAGUAUUUAGUUGUAAGUNNNNNNNNNNNNNNNNNNNNNNNNNNNNNNNNNNNNNNNNNNNNNNNNNNNNNNNNNNNNNNNNNNNNNNNNNNNNNNNNNNNNNNNNNNNNNNNNNNNNNNNNNNNNNNNNNNNNNNNNNNNNNNNNNNNNNNNNNNNNNNNNNNNNNNNNNNNNNNNNNNNNNNNNNNNNNNNNNNNNNNNNNNNNNNNNNNNNNNNNNNNNNNNNNNNNNNNNNNNNNNNNNNNNNNNNNNNNNNNNNNNNNNNNNNNNNNNNNNNNNNNNNNNNNNNNNNNNNNNNNNNNNNNNNNNNNNNNNNNNNNNNNNNNNNNNNNNNNNNNNNNNNNNNNNNNNNNNNNNNNNNNNNNNNNNNNNNNNNNNNNNNNNNNNNNNNNNNNNNNNNNNNNNNNNNNNNNNNNNNNNNNNNNNNNNNNNNNNNNNNNNNNNNNNNNNNNNNNNNNNNNNNNNNNNNNNNNNNNNNNNNNNNNNNNNNNNNNNNNNNNNNNNNNNNNNNNNNNNNNNNNNNNNNNNNNNNNNNNNNNNNNNNNNNNNNNNNNNNNNNNNNNNNNNNNNNNNNNNNNNNNNNNNNNNNNNNNNNNNNNNNNNNNNNNNNNNNNNNNNNNNNNNNNNNNNNNNNNNNNNNNNNNNNNNNNNNNNNNNNNNNNNNNNNNNNNNNNNNNNNNNNNNNNNNNNNNNNNNNNNNNNNNNNNNNNNNNNNNNNNNNNNNNNNNNNNNNNNNNNNNNNNNNNNNNNNNNNNNNNNNNNNNNNNNNNNNNNNNNNNNNNNNNNNNNNNNNNNNNNNNNNNNNNNNNNNNNNNNNNNNNNNNNNNNNNNNNNNNNNNNNNNNNNNNNNNNNNNNNNNNNNNNNNNNNNNNNNNNNNNNNNNNNNNNNNNNNNNNNNNNNNNNNNNNNNNNNNNNNNNNNNNNNNNNNNNNNNNNNNNNNNNNNNNNNNNNNNNNNNNNNNNNNNNNNNNNNNNNNNNNNNNNNNNNNNNNNNNNNNNNNNGCCGUCGCCUCGAGCUCCCCUGCUACGGGCUUGCCGUCGCCGCCCCGUGCUCGCCGUCGCCCAGCCCCUGCCCCGUCCCGCCCCUGCGAGCCGGCGCCCUCGCCUGCCCCCGCGCUGUGAGCCGCCGCCCGGCUCUGUUUUUUUUAUUACUUUAAUUUUUUUGUUCAUAUGUGAUGUAUAUGUGUAUGUGGCUAUAAUGUAUAUGUGUAUGUGAACAAUGCAAAAGAUUGUUUUUUAGAAAAAUUAGGAUUUUUUUCUGUUCAUAGAUUUUUUUGGUGAUAUUAAUUAUUGUAAAUAUGCAAAUGUUUGUAUAUUCAUAUGAACAAUGAAUUAGGCAAUACUACUUCUUGUAUUUUUAAGAAGGAAGAAGAAGAAAAAGAAUGAGAGGAAAAAGGAAAUAAGAAGAGGAAGAAAGGAGAAGAAGAGGGGAGAGGAAGAAGAGGAGAAAUAAAUGAGAGGACCCUGGAGGAGAACGCCGAGAUCGCGCGAGAAGAAGUGAGGAACUUCUUUGAAGGGGUGAAAGCAAAGAAACAUCCACCUCCGGAGGAGAAGGUAGAUCGGGUGAAAGUGAAGCGCACUCUGGCUGCCCUGACAAAACCACCGAAGUCUGAUCCGCCGAAAGGAAACUAUAACCGCAUUAUUGGAAAGGAAUUUGCCGAAGCGGAGCGGUCGGAAAGUACUGUCAGUGAUCAAAGGCUGAAAGAACAACGAGCUGGGAAACAAAUUGCCCAGCUCGGCGAACAAGCGAAGCAAUCGUGCCCCCCGCUCAAGGUGCCUAGCCACAAUGUCGAUAAUGAUCCGAGGAUGGUGCCCGGUUAUAGCAAUCUUGCAGAUUACCUGCCCGACAAAGUACAUUAUGAACCCAUGGAGGUGCAGAUACAAAGAUACGAGUACGGGAAGCCUCUCGUCAAAGAUGAAAGAUCUCUAUUAACGAUGAUGCGAAGAUUGCAUGAUUGGUACUUGAAAAUCUGCAGAGACUCUGGGGGGAGGAGUACUUUGUAUGUGAAAGUUAAAAAGGAGCAUGACCUCGUUGGAAUUGAUCUGUUGCCUGUUCCAUUUGAGGAGUUCUAUCAGUUUUUCAAUCAAUUGGCCCUCGAUAAAACAACGGUCGCCUGCUACUGUCUGUAAGUAGUACUACUUCUAUCAUUAAGAUUCUCUAUAUAGCUUAGCUCUUUCAUUGCAUGUAUUUAUAGUCAUCCUCACUAUAUUAUGCAGAUUGAAGAUCGCCGAAUUGAAGAAAAGACAAGUCGGUGAUACUGGGUUCAUUAACACACAUCUCAUAGAUGCAACUCAGGUUAAACUUCAUGCCGCAGCUACCGAGGCCAACUUGCUACGAUCGUUCGUAAUAAAUCAAAACAAAGAUAUAAUACUCUUUCCUUGCAACUUCAGGUGAGUGUUACUGUCUUGCGUAUUCAGUUUCCCUUAUAUAUUAGUCAAGGUUAUAGUAAUGUAAUUCAUGAGUUAUGCAUGUGUGUGCAGUUUCCACUAUAUUCUCCUAGAGAUUAAGCUUGAGCAGGGAGUAGUAACCGUCUUGGACUCUAAACGAAAAGAUCCCAAGGAGUAUGCGGACAUGACUGAAAUCCUCAAGAAGUAAGUUAAAUCGAUCAUUAUCCACCAUAUCAGCAACUUUGUUCAUUUCCUGAUAUCAAGUAAUUGUUUUCUUUGUCCGGCAGGGUUUGGAGAAAAUUCACCAAAACAGUUCCGGGACUGCCGAAGGAGCUGGAAUUUAGACACCCGAAAGUAAGUACUAUAGUAGCAUGUUCCGCGCAUCUCCUAGUGAUUCAAGCGCUAGUUUCAUCAAUACCAUUUAGCAUUCUUGCUUAUCAGUUUGAUCGACCUCUAUUUCUUGUAAAGUGGUUGUGGCAGGAACAAGGGAAUGAUUUCUGUGGAUACUACAUCUGCGAGUCCAUCCGCCACACGACCUGUGAGCGGGGCGGGUACUCUAACGAACAAUAUGAAGUACGUAAAUAACAACAUUCACAAUUUUAUUUUAUUACCAUCAUUUGUGUUGAGUUUCAUUCAUUUAUAUAUAUAUAUAUAUAUAUAUAUAUAUAUAUAUAUAUGUAUGUAUGUAUGUAUUGACCCCCUUCUUCAAAUUAGAUGUUUCGGAAGCAGGAUGAACUCCUAGCACCAGCUCGCAUGCGAGCAAUUCAAGAGGAAUUGGCGGCAUUCUUUCUUGACCACGUGAUCCCUGAAGACGGAGAAUUCUAUGUGGACCCUGAGUCCGUAUGAUUAUAGUUGUAAGAGAUAAUUAUUGUAUAUAUGUAGCCGGUAGUGUCAGAUAGAUAUACGAGAACUUGUUGUUCGACCAAUCUCUCAGAGAAGGAGAGGUGGUCGAUAUCACUUCUCUCUGUAUGCAUAUAUGUUCAUGACGAUCUUCUGUUUCCUUCGUUUGCUUACUAGCUAGCUAGCGUGUCUAGUCCUCUCUAUACGUAUGUAUAGUACGUAGCGUCGACCAAGCACGGACAUAAGAGAGGACACUUCUCUCUAUUAAUUAUANNNNNNNNNNNNNNNNNNNNNNNNNNNNNNNNNNNNNNNNNNNNNNNNNNNNNNNNNNNNNNAAAACAAAAAACAUCAGCCACAGAAGUGCUGACGCGUGGAUGCCUAUUGGUCCCGGUUGGUGCCACCAACCGGGACCAAAGGGUCUCCUGACUGGGCUCUGCGCACUGCCCACGUGGAGGGCCUUUAGUCCCGGUUCUGGAUUGAACCGGGACUAAAGGGGGGAGGUAUUAGUACUGACACUUUAGUCCCGGUUUCGGAACCGGGACUAAAGGCCCUUACGAACCGGGACUAUAGGCCCUUUUUCUACCAGUGUAAUAGGAGUUUUGAUUUCCAUUCUUCCUGUACUUUUUCUAUAUCACAAAGAAUUGUUCAUGCCUUAUCUUUCCAUUUCAUGUUGACAUUUCAACUUGACCAUUACGAGAGCAUCAUGAUUUUAUUUAUGAUUAUUGUUGUUGUAGAGGUGUUAAAUAUAUAAAGUAUGAAAGGUGUAAUUUCAUGAAAGUACUUAGUAAUAUCAGCUUCCUUUGCCUGAUUGAUGUUGCUUUACAGUCUUAUUUGUCGGCGUUUUGUUCGGCAAGUUAAUGCUUUUUCCAUGCUGUGAGGUCAUAUAUGUUGCAGGCACAGAGCAGCAAAGAUUUUUCCAUAGACACAAAAGCAGUGCUCCGGCUGUAGCAUUAAUUACACACACUCGUAUUUCCUAGGCCGCUAUAUAAAUAUGCACAAAAGGAUUGCUAUAUCAAAUACACGUUUAUGAUCAGUGCGUAUUUUCUUCCUCCUGACAAUGCUUACCCUGCUUACAGUUAUCUACAUGGGUCUGGUUCCUUUUAAUAUCAAUAUUUGUCAUCAGAUUCUGAUAUACAUUGUUUCAGUCCAAAAUAUACAGGGUGCACAUUUUCUACAUUUAAUUUCCAGUAAGACUUUCUUUUCUUGGUGGUAUGAUCACUUACCAGUAAUUUGAUGGUUAUCUAUCUAUCUAUAUAUAUAUAUAUAUAUAUAUAUAUAUAUAUAUAUAUAUUGAAUUUUCAUAGCAUUUUAACCUCCGAUAUCAACAUAUUUUCAUAAUAUAAAUUGUUUAAUUUCAUUUCCAAUGUAUUUUACUCAUAUAUUUUUAUUAUUUCAUAAUAUGAAUGGUAUGACAAAUAUAUGAUUUAGUCGUUUGCAAAAAAAAUUCUUGACUCGUGUAUUUUUCAAAAUUCCUUCCAUUCUUUUAAAAAUAGACGGGCGCGGCAAGACGCGCCAUGAAUGAUCUAGUCAUAAGUGAUGUCCCGACCAGAUUCUUUCAAUGUCAAUGACUUUACUUUUUGGCAAGAUACUUUGGAGGUACGUAAAGCUAUAGAUCAGCGAUGGAUCAACGUUGAGGUCAGGUGAAGAGGCGAUCUGUCCACUUCUUCUAGGGUGGCCGUUACGGUGGUGCCGGAGUUGAGUGACGGACAUUGGUAUCUUGCUCAAGGCUUUCUUCAGCCAAUAUUGUAAUUUUCUUUCUCGACUAGCUAAGGGUUGUUUUUGCAAUAGCUAGGGUUGUCCUAUAUUUUUUGGUUCUGUCAAGUCGGUCUUUAAGUGAUUCGUAAUUUGAUAUUUAUUUUAUAAUUGAGACACACAUUACAUCAUGAAAGAAAAAAAUCAAGGCUACAUAUCAACAUGACCUCGUGUGUCCCGCAUGACCGCCUAGGACCUGUGUAGUGCGUACGCCGGAUCGUAGGCUCAUACACGAUAUUAGAGUAACUCUAGCAGACCCCGCAUCCCGCCUCGAUCCGCAAAAUAACUGCCAAAGUGCGGGUCGGGGCGCGAAAAACGUCCCGAUCAGACCCCGCAUCAAGCCCCGGCCCGCAAAUUUUUUUGCGGGGCACGGCAAAACAUCUCCCCCAACCUCUAGAUUCACGGGCUAGAGGGACGACCCGAGCUCAGCCCCCAUCCGCAACGAGAUUUGGUGGGAGGGACAUUUCCGCGUGGCCGUUCCCGCUCCCCCCGCCCUCCGCCACCAUUGCCUCGCCACCGUACGCUCCCCAGCCGUCCUUUACCAUCAUGGAUGACUCCGUGCUAUCCCCCGUCACCGUCGAGGUCGCUGGCGCUCCUUCUCCUCGGGCGGAUCUGGUCGCCGGCCCUAUUGGCCCCGCUGUGGGCCAAGGUCAAUCNNNNNNNNNNNNNNNNNNNNNNNNNNNNNNNNNNNNNNNNNNNNNNNNNNNNNNNNNNNNNNNNNNNNNNNNNNNNNNNNNNNNNNNNNNNNNNNNNNNNNNNNNNNNNNNNNNNNNNNNNNNNNNNNNNNNNNNNNNNNNNNNNNNNNNNNNNNNNNNNNGCUGUUGCGCGAUCUCGGCCGGCGGCGGAGAAGCUCGCGAAGGUCGCCGGCGUCAAGAGCAAGAAGAUUCUGGCCACAAAGAAGCCGCCUCCUUCAUCCGCUCACUCCGUCCUGGAGAGAGGUGCCCCGGGGAUGCCGCUCAACGGUGCCGCUCCCCCCACAAGCGAGGUGUUUGACGAAAUUGUGACACUCCAAAAUUUUAAUUUGGUUUUUAUCAGAAAACUUUGUGGUUUUUGAAAAGAGGACAUUUAAAUUUUUUCAGAAAACCUUCCUCUUAAAAACUUCCUUUGCUUUGGCAAGGAUUUUAUUUUUUUUCAAACUUUGGUGUUUGACCUUUUGAAACUUCUUCUCUGUUGGUUCCCUCUCAAAUUCAUUUUGGGAGUUUAAUCUUUUUCUUUUAAAAUGAAACUCUAUGAAAAACUUGGGAUUUUCAUAUCUUGAAAACCACCCAUGACUUUGCAUUUUUGCCCAUGUGAUAAAACCCCUCCAAAACCUCCCCUACUCCUUGUGAUCAACCUAAGUUCUCUGUCCCAACUAAUCCAAGCAAGUUUUGGAUUUUAUUCUAAUUAUUUUUCCUCUCAAAUCAAUUCUGAAAAUUAUUUGGAGCCUGAGUGAUUUUCAAAGCAAGUACCCUAUUGCAUUUGAGUUUUGACCUCAAACCAACUCUCCUGGAUAGUCCUUUGUACCCACAACCCAGAACCAUCUUGAUCCACUCCUCCUCUUUUCAAAUUUUUCAAAAUUCAGUCUCUGCAAGUUUGGACCAGAUUUGCCAAAUUUGAUGAAAUUCAUAUCUACACUGCUCCAAAAAUUCCACCAAAAUUCAGGCAGCCUACUGGAGCAAUGAGUAGCCACUCCACCAAAAAUCAGCUCAAGGAAAAAUCCCCAGAUGCCAAAUUCAUUCUGUCGAGCACCUUGCAUGCACUGUUGCUGUUCAAAAUUCAGAAAGUUCAGAGAUUCAGUCGUUUUCCCUUCGUCAGACUCGAUCACGCGGCCACAGUGCGCCCUGGCGCGUUUCACGCAGCCUCUUCUCACUGGCCAGCACCCCGCACGCACGCUUGGCCGAUUCCUGGCGUCGGUAGCGGCGAGCCUCGCCGGCGUUGGAAGCUUCUGCGGUGGCUGCACCUUCUGUGGCGGCCAACAAGGGCCCGAGCCCUCUCGCCACGCCACCCGGCGCCGCCCAACACCCCCUAGCUCUCCGCGUGUCCCUGCCAUGCCAGCGCACGCCCGUGGCACCGUCGCCGUGGCCCGGCAAGCACGGAACGUCCUCCCUGCCGCCGACGGGCCGCGCCACCCCCGUUCCAUCGAGCUCGCCCAUAGCACCAAAUCCCAGCCCGUUUAGCACCUAAAUGGAACCGGUGGACCUCAACGAUGAUGCCCAAGCCCCUAAUCCCACUUCACAUCAACAACACCGCCGUAAUCACUCGCCGGAGAUCCCCGUUCACGGCAACCGCCUCGGGCCGCCUAUAAAAAGGGCCCCCGAGCUCACCCUCAUGCACGCAUCAUCACCACUCCUCACCAACGCCCCGCCAGGCCACUAGGAGGUCCUCGAGGAGGUCUCCUCCCCCAACUCCGGCCGCCCCGAUCCGCCUCGGCCUCCACCACGAUUCGCUCCGGUGAGGCCAUCUCCGGCGCCCAAACCCCGUCCGUUACUCCCUCUAGCUACCAGGAGCCUAAUCCCCUCUUCAAUUUGAUCUUCACAGCUCUCUCCGAUGAGUCCCUCGACCACCCGAGCCGCCGUCCGCCGGAGCAAAGCUCGCCGUCGACGUGGUACUCGCCGGCGACCACCACCACCACCAACCGACACGGAAUGGCGCCCUGAGCACGGAGGUACCCUCCGAUCCCCCUGCCUCGCCGUGGAUCGCCGCCGGUGACCACCGCGGCUCUCGGGCGCCGACGAGCUUCAUCCCCCCCGCCCUUUUUGAAAGUUCAAACCUGACGAGUGGGACCCCACCGUCAGCCUCUCUGCCCUCUCUAUUGAAUCGUUUUCUGAAAGCGCCUUCGGGCAAAAUGCGUUUUCCCUUUGGGCUGGCGUAGUUUCUGCCGAAGCGUUUAUGUUUUUAUAAGCUAGCCCCUGGAAACUUUCUAUUUCAUUACAGAUGAGUCCCUGGGCAAAAACCUUUAUAACUUUUAAUCAGAAAAGUAUUUUUGAUUGAUUCUUUUUCUGUUCUCUUUAAAAUUUUGUCUAGUUUUUUAUCAUAUUUAUUUGAAAAAUAUUUGGAAUACUUUUUGUGCACUCCUUGGUAUUUAAGAUAGCACAUAUAUUUUCUUUAUACCGUAGAUACCGAAGGAGGUGACGGAGCCGCGAACUUCCCCGAGCUAGGCUCCGACUACUCUGAACCAGGCAAGCAUGUUUGAACUUUUGAUAUGAUGAGUGUCUUGGCAUGUUUUGCAUUUAGUUAGUUUCAUGGCAUGUUGAGGAACAUAUCGAUGAACGUUAUUUUAUGCAAUAUUGAGGUAAGUGAGUUCGAUGAUCCAUAAGUGGAUGGAUGUGAGUAUGAAUGGCCAUGUGUUGGCAUGAGGAUGGGUAAGAUGGCAGUGUCGUAGCAUGCCAGUCUUAUGCCAGACUAUGUGACUUCAGCGUCAAACCGUAUCGGUCCAGUUCCUCUCAUUUCCUUCCCUGUACUACCACAUGUUUUCCGCAAGGAAUAUGGUUUAGUAAGUUGCAAACUGCUUUUCUGGUACACACCAAAAGGAGAGGCCGUGAUGAUGGUUCCAUGGCCCUGGAUUAAAGCCAGUCAUCCGGUCAGGGGGCAUGGGUGUUUCCGGUUGGGACCGAGAGGGGGGCACCCCUUAGAGCGCGCGUAUAUAAAUUUGAUCCCAUGCUAUUCGAGAUUGUGAUCUCCCCAUCUCAAAAGUUUUUCUUGGACGAUGUCUAGGGUGAUUCCUAGCAUCGAGAGGUAGGAUGGGUGUGUACUGGUUAGCUAUGUUUUCUUCCGAAAUACCGUAAACGGAACUAGUCCUUCGUGACUACGGAAAUCCGUUGGCUGUGGGAAAAUUUUUGUACAAACUCUGCAGAGUCAUAUAUUCCUCCAAAUCAUCUAUUCCCUGUCCUAGAUCGAUAUUAUCUUAUCCUAAUCAAAUGUCAGUUUUGAUGACAGAGACUCCGGUGAUUCGCAUGAGUGCUAAUUCCUGUUAAAUGAUUAUUCCUAUGGAUGGACUAACCCAUUUAUUCUCAUGAAUUAAAUGUUUAUUAUGAGUAUUAUUUACUUGUGAAUAAAAGCCCUUUCUGCGAUGUUGCUCAGAUGUCCGACUAUGGCAUUGUUGUAUUUUACUUUCUUUUCAAGCCCUUUCUGUGAUGUCGCCCCGACGUCCGACUGUGGCAUUUCUUUUAAAGCCCUUUCUGUGAUGUCGCCCCGACAUCCGACUGUGGCAUUUCUUUUAAAGCCCUUUCUGUGAUGUCGCCCCGACGUCCGACUAUGGCAUUUCUUUUAAAGCCCUUUCUGUGAUGUCGCCCCGACGUCCAACUGUGGCAUUUCUUUUAAAGCCCUUUCUGUGAUGUCGCCCCGACAUCCGACUGUGGUAUUUCUUUUAAAGCCCUUUAUGUGGUGUCGCUAAGACGCCCGACUGUGGCAUCAUUUCCUUAUAUUUAUUUGUUCACCUUUCGAGGCGUUGCUUCAGACACCCGAUCGGUAGUUAUUUAUGUUUUGUUGGGAUUUUAGGAGGACUACCGCCGUUUCCCUUUUACUUACCUUGUUAUGCUAAUUUUUGAAUGUACAUUGGUGAAUUAAUCAUGACGCAUCCAUGCAUGCAUUUGUUAUAUCUUACGUCCGAACUUUCUUGCGAGUACUUUCAAAGUACUUACUGGCUUGUUGAUUUGGCCAUAUGCUGACGAAGGCGAUCUCAUGGAUGAAGAGUUUGAUAGUGAGUCCGACACUUAGAGGAGUCCCAGUCAGUCUCGUGCGACCCUGGAUUUGGUCACUGUUUUAUAUCCGCUUCCGCUACCAAAUAAAUUCAUCGAGCCUCACCUCGACGCUCGAUGAGAUGACAGACUUAGAGUCUUGUAUUUCUCUCCCCGCUGUGUUUCUCCACCACCGCCCUAUCCUCGAGUCAGUAGUAUGCCUCCACACCACUGUGUCAUGUCCGCCAUUAUGUAUAAUUAUUGGCGUGCUUGUAAUAAUUUGGUUGAGCAACCGUAGUUCGACCCUGUAAUAUAUUUUAUGCUACUGGCUUAUUGUAUCAAGAAUCUGUCUACCAGUGAGGAGGAUUUCUCUCAUACUGGACUCAAAAGAUUGGUUUCUCAAUAAAUAUUUUUAUUGGAAAACCGGUCGUGACAAGCUUGGUACCAGAGCCAGGCUGACUGUAGGAAGCCACUAGAUGCGAUCGCUAAUUGGUUAUUAGCAUCAUAGAGCUAAUUUAUAUUUUUGCAAUUGUAGUCAUUUUCUGUCAGUCAGCAUAAAUUUAUGAUCUGACCAUGCAUAAUUUUUGCCUACUUUUGUAGAUGGCCGACAACAGCUGCGAGUCUCAGACCUUCGCCAACGUGCUCGAUGGGUUCGUCAAGCUUCUUUCCUUCAUCGUUCAGGUCGCGAUGGGGCCAUCUGUGCGCCCAGUUUUCACACUCUGCCAGCACCGAGUCAACGACAGUCUGACCAUGCACCAGGCCGCGGUGCAGUUCAAGGGAGGGCGUGGUGAGUUACGCCGCUUCCGGUUCGUGGGAAGAGCCAUGCCUACGGAGAGGCAUGCUAUGCAGAUGGCAGCCCGCGAGGCGAUAGCUCGUCUCAGGGAUGUCCUUCCCGUGAUGAAGACUCGUCGUUACCGUUAUCUUCCGUGCCAUGUGCCUUACACCUGUCACUACGCAUACUCCUGCCCUGGAGGCUUUUGAGAUGCUCAUUGAGUAUCUCCGGGCCCUGGAGGCAGCCUUCGACAACCUGGUGGACGACUUCGUAGCUACCCGCAUGGACUCAGUUCAUGGCUGUGCUGCCAACAGGAGGGAGCUCCUACCCAUCGCACCGCCACUGACUUUGGUCUCGUCCUCAGCAUCUUUUACGCAUACUCGUCGCCUGCCUUCUACCGAAGAAUUCAACCAAGUCAUUGCACCCACUUCAGCGCGCACUACACCACCCUUCGCGCCCACUCCUGUACGUGUUGCUCCGCCCCUGGCAACCGCUCCGUCCACUCUGCGCAACACUGCACGUAUGGAGCCCAUUAGCGAGGAGGAAGUCGAGUCCCCAACCUCGCUACGCCUCGCCCUCAGCAGGGCAAAGGAGGUCAUCAACAUCUCUGCCUAAGUACGCCUAGCUGCCAUGUAAUGUACCGCUUUGUAAGAUAUGUACAUAGGUUGUGAGAAGUAGCAUGUUUGCGCAUCAUGUAGGAUCUGGAGAAGUGCACUAGCCUUAAUAACAUGUCAGGAUUAUGUACGCAUAUCCUGAGUGACGUAUUGUAUAAAUUACCGCCCGCGUGUAAGAUAUGUAAUGAGCAGUCCUUCUCCGUGCGCAAGUCGAUUUGUUUUUCUUAAGUAAGCUGGGUUAUUUAGUUUUAUUUGCCAGCUUUAUGCAUUUUUUUUGGAAUUGUUUUUGCGACUCGUUCCGCUUUUCUUAUGAGUUUUACAAAACUAUUUCCCCAGAGUGAAAAAUGUCUCGUCCUUGGACUCGCUCCAUGCCAACUCCACCAGAGGAAAAUUAUGAUGCACAACCCAGCAACGAGUUCACUCAGGGACAGUCAAGCCAACAGGGCAGUGAAUCGGCACUUUCACAAAUGUGCCGCCUUUAUGAGCAGAGUCAGCAACAACAUCGGGAAAUGAUGAACCAAGUCAUCAACAUGGGAAAUCACCAUGGACAGUAUCAGCAGCAUUCCAAGUUAUCUGAGCUACAGAAGACACGUCCUCAAACAUUUUCUCACACUGACAAACCUCUUGAAGCCGAGGACUGGCUUCGAGAUAUGGAGAGAAAAUUAAUUAUUGCAAAAUGUUCAGACCCCGAGAAGGUAUUGUAUGCUCCGCACUAUCUCACAGGAGCAGCCGCAUCGUGGUGGGAGAAUUUUCUGCACAUGCAUCCCCACAAAAAUGACAUAACCUGGGAUGAUUUCAAGGAAGGUUUCCGUGGUGCACACAUUCCUAAGAGUAUUAUGAAAAUCAAAAAGAGAGAGUUCGAUGACCUCAAACAAAGGAACAUGACAGUGUCAGAUUACAACAGUCAAUUUACUCUAUUGUCCCGCUACGCCAAUGAAGAGCGUAUGACUGAAAUCAAGAAGAUGGAGAAAUUCCUUGACGGUCUGGCGCCCGCGCUUAAAUGCCAACUGGUCGUGCACACUUUUCCUGAUUUUAAAACACUGGUGGACAAAGCCAUUACUCUGGAAAAUGAGAGACGCAGUCUGGAAGAUAUCCGCAAGCAAAAAAGGGACCAGAAUAAUCAUGCUCGCAAUCACCGAAGCAAGAUAGAUUUUCAAAAGGGUGGGACACACAAAUCCUCAUCCAAUGUCUCACGCCCAAUCAAGAAUUUUCAUGCAAGGGCCAAGGAAUUCACAUAUCGCCCUGGCGUUACUUGUUACGCUUGUGGAGAAGAAGGGCACUAUGCCAAACAGUGCCCCAAGCCAAGGAAUUCAACCCCAAAGCCGAACAACGGCGGCAACAAUUCCGCGCCCAAGCGAAACAAUUUCAAUCCCAACAAUAACCACAGGAAGGGUCAUCUGAACCACGUAACCAAAGAGGAGGCACAAAAUGCUCCAGAUAUCGUACUCGAUACGUUUCCUAUCAACACAAUACCUGCAAUGGUUUUGUUUGAUUCUGGAGCUUCUCACUCUUUCAUUUCGAAAAAUUUUGCUUUGCAAAAUAAUUUUUUGAUGCUUCCUUUGGAGAAAACCAUGAUCAUCAAGUCCCCUGGGAUUCAGCAAGUUACUCAGAAUUACUGUCAGAAUGUGGUCAUUGAGUUCGUAGGAUUGGAGUUCCACGCAAAUCUUAUUGUGUUGGAAAAUAAAGGACUGGAUGUCAUCCUAGGGAUGGAUUGGCUAACCACCAAUAAGGGUUUUAUCGACUGUUUCAACAGGACCGUAAUUCUCACACACCACCAAGGGAAGACAAUAAGAGUAUCAGCCAAGGAAGGAAAAAUACCCCGGCAACCGAGAUUAAAUAAGGUGGGCGUUUCUGAGCUAAACAAGGUUCCAGUAGUGUGUGAAUUUUCAGAUGUAUUCCCUGAAGAACUACCAGGCAUGCCACCAGACCGGGAAAUAGAAUUCCGCAUUGAGCUAGCACCAGGAACCACCCCCAUAUACAAGAAACCAUACAGAAUGGCACCAUCCGAGUUGAUUGAGUUGAAGAAGCAAAUAAAGGAAUUACUGGAAAAAGGAUACAUUCGAGCCAGCUCCUCACCUUGGGGAUCACCAAUUUUAUUUGCCAAAAAGAAGGAUGGAAUGCUGAGAUUGUGUAUUGACUAUCGAGCACUUAACAUGGUCACAGUCAAAAACAAAUACCCGAUGCCAAGGAUAAACGAUUUGUUUGAUCAACUCGCUCAGGCCAAGGUAUUCUCAAAAAUUGACUUAAGGUCAGGAUACCAUCAAUUGAAGGUACGAACGGAAGAUAUCCCCAAAACAGCCUUCACCUCCAGAUAUGGACAGUACGAGUUCACAGUGAUGCCAUUUGGAUUAACUAACGCCCCAGCAUAUUUUGUUCACCUCAUGAACAAAGUAUUUAUGAAGUUUAUGGACAAGUUAGUCGUGGUAUUCAUCAAUGAUAUUCUGGUAUACUCCAAGACACCAGAAGAGCACGCAGAACAUCUCAGGAUUGUGCUAGGAGAGCUAAGAAAACACCAAUUGUAUGCCAAGUUCAGCAAGUGCGAAUUUUGGCUAAGGCAAGUAGGCUUUCUAGGCCACGUGCUGACCCAAGACGGUAUCGCAGUGGACCCAGAGAAAGUCAAGGCCGUACUUGGCUGGAAGUCACCAGCCAGCGUAACGGACAUACGGAGUUUCUUGGGAAUGGUAGGAUAUUACCGCAGAUUUAUUGAAGGAUUUUCCACUAUAGCCAAGCCUAUGACACAGUUGCUCAAGAAAGAUAAGAAGUUUGAAUGGACAGAAGCCUGCGAGAAAAGUUUCCAAGAGCUAAAGAGGAAGUUAACAACAACACCGGUAUUAAUUGUACCCGACAUACACAAGAAUUUUGAAGUAUAUUGUGACGCGUCCAGAAAGGGUCUCGGAUGCGUGUUGAUGCAGGAAGGCAAGGUUGUCGCCUACGCUUCAAGGCAACUGCGCAAGCAUGAGGAAAAUUAUCCCACUCAUGACUUAGAAAUGGCAGCAGUUAUUCAUGCACUCAAGGAAUGGAGGCAUUUCUUACUUGGGAAUCGAUGUGAAAUAUAUGCGGAUCACAAAAGUCUCAAAUAUAUUUUCACACAACCAGAACUAAACUUACGGCAACGACGUUGGUUGGAGUUAGUAAAGGAUUAUGAUGUUGGUACCCAUUACCAUCCAGGGAAAGCAAAUGUAGUGGCCGAUGCCCUUAGUCGGAACCCCAGCUCCGACGAAAACUAUCUGCACAGCUUGAGGCCCGAAUUCCAUCAAGAAUUUGCCAAGCUCAACUUGAUAAUGGUAGCAAAAGGCACCAUAUCAAACCUGGAAAUACAACCCGACCUUGUGGAGAAAAUCAAAGAAGCUCAGCCCGGUCACACCAGCAUCGAAGGCAUCAAAAGAAAGUUGAGUAUGGGCAAGGCCUCGAAAUUCGUCAUAGACAAUGAAGGAAUAUUAUGGUACGGAGAAAGGCUCUGCGUGCCAAACAUAGAAGACCUUAAAUAGAAAAUUUUAGCUGAAGCACACACCACUCCAUAUUCAAUCCACCCUGGAGGAACCAAAAUGUAUAAGGAUAUUCAGGAAAGAUUUUGGUGGCACGGUAUGAAGAGGGACAUAGCCACCUUCAUUGCAUAUUGCGACUCAUGUCAACGCAUAAAAGCUGAGCAUCAGAGACCAGCCGGACUACUGCAACCGAACAAAAUACCUGAGUGGAAAUGGGAUGAAAUAGGGAUGGAUUUUAUUGUCGGACUACCUCGGUCACGACACGGGAAUGAUGCCAUAUGGGUCAUCACCGAUAGAUUAACCAAAGUGGCACACUUUAUUCCAAUAAAGACGACCCACAACACUCAGAGGCUUGCCAGGAUUUAUCUUUCCCGCAUAGUUUGUCUGCAUGGUGUCCCGAAGACUAUAAUAUCCGACAGAGGCACUCAGUUCGUCUCAAGAUUUUGGGAGCAUUUACAACAGGCUCUGGGAACCCAACUAGCCUUCAGUACCGCAUACCACCCACAGACUGAUGGACAGACUGAACGCGUAAACCAGGUUUUAGAAGACAUGCUGAGAGCAUGUGUCUUCACAUAUGGAACCAGUUGGGAAGAAAGCCUGCCAUACGCCGAGUUCGCGUAUAACAAUAGCUACCAGGCCAGCCUACAAAUGGCACCAUUUGAGGCUUUAUACGGACGAAGAUGUCAUACCCUAUUAAAUUGGUCAGAGACCGAAGACAGCCGCAUCUUCGGACCAGACAUACUCAGAGAAGCCGAGGAAAAGGUCAAGCUAAUCAGAGACCGACUUAAGACCGCUCAAAGUCGACAGAAGAGUUAUUAUGAUCAGAAACAUUGUAGAGUCAGCUUCGAACCCGGUGAGUUCGUAUACCUGAGAGUAUCCCCUAUGAGAGGACUGCAACGGUUUAAGAUUAAAGGAAAGUUAGCACCAAGAUUCAUUGGACCAUUCUGCAUAGUGGCACGAAGAGGCACUGUAGCCUACCAGCUAGACUUACCCGAAGACUUGUCCGACAUUCACGACGUGUUCCACGUCUCUCAAUUAAGGAAGUGUGUAAGCAACCCAGAGAAACAAGUAUCCCAUGAAAACAUUGACGUGCAGCCAGACCUCACUUAUCGGGAACGUCCCGUAAGAAUAUUAGAGGAGUCUGAAAGGAGGACCCGACAGAAGACCAUCAAGUUUUUCAAAGUCCAAUGGAGCAAUCACAACGACAGCGAAGCAACUUGGGAAAGCGAGGAUUUUCUUCGGGCAGAGCAUCCACACUUAUUUAAGGACCAGCUGAAAUCUCGGGGACGAGAUUUUUCCUAAGGGGGUAGGUGUUGUGACACUCCAAAAUUUUAAUUUGGUUUUUAUCAAAAAACUUUGUGGGUUUUGAAAAGAGGACAUUUAAUUUUUUUUAGAAAACCUUCCUCUUAAAAACUUCCUUUGCUUUGGCAAGGAUUUUAUUUUUUUUUCAAACUUUGGUGUUUGACCUUUUGAAACUUCUUCUCUGUUGGUUCCCUCUCAAAUUCAUUUUGGGAGUUUAAUCUUUUUCUUUUAAAAUGAAACUCUAUGAAAAACUAGGGAUUUCCAUAUCUUGAAAACCACCCACGACUUUGCAUUUUUGCCCAUGUGAUAAAAACCCUCCAAAACCUCCCCUACUCCUUGUGAUCAACCUAAGUUCUCUGUCCCAACUAAUCCAAGAAAGUUUUGGAUUUUAUUCUAAUUAUUUUUCCUCUCAAAUCAAUUCUGAAAAUUAUUUGGAGCCUGAGUGAUUUUCAAAGCAAGUACUCUAUUGCAUUUGAGUUUUGACCUCAAACCAACUCUCCUGGAUAGUCCUUUAUACCCACAACCCAGAACCAUCUUGAUCCACUCCUCCUCUUUUCAAAUUUUUCAAAAUUCAGUCUCUGCAAGUUUGGACCAGAUUUGCCAAAUUUGAUGAAAUUCAUAUCUACACUGCUCCAAAAAUUCCACCAAAAUUCAGGCAGCCUACUGGAGCAAUGAGUAGCCACUCCACCAAAAAUCAGCUCAAGGAAAAAUCCCCAGAGGCCAAAUUCAUUCUGUCGAGCACCUUGCAUGCACUGUUGCUAUUCAAAAUUCAGAAAGUUCAGAGAUUCAGUCGUUUUCCCUUCGUCAGACUCGAUCACGCGGCCACAGUGCGCCCUGGCGCGUUGCACGCAGCCUCUUCUCACUGGCCAGCACCCCGCACGCACGCUUGGCCGAUUCCUGGCGUCGGUAGCGGCGAGCCUCGCCGGCGUUGGAAGCUUCUGCGGUGGCUGCACCUUCCGUGGCGGCCAACAAGGGCCCGAGCCCUCUCGCCACGCCACCCGGCGCCACCCAACACCCCCUAGCUCUCCGCAUGUCCCUGCCAUGCCAGCGCACGCCCGUGGCACCGUCGCCGUGGCCCGGCAAGCACGGAACGUGCUCCCUGCCGCCGACGGGCCGCGCCACCCCCGUUCCGUCGAGCUCGCCCAUAGCACCAAAUCCCAGCCCGUUUAGCACCUAAAUGGAACCGGUGGACCUCAACGACGAUGCCCAAGCCCCUAAUCCCACUGCACAUCCACAGCACCGCCGUAAUCACUCGCCGGAGAUCCCCGUUCACGGCAACCGCCUCGGGCCGCCUAUAAAAAGGGCCCCCGAGCUCACCCUCAUGCACGCAUCAUCACCACUCCUCACCAACACCCCGCCAGGCCACUAGGAGGUCCUCGAGGAGGUCUCCUCCCCCAACUCCGGCCGCCCCGAUCCGCCUCGGCCUCCACCACGAUUCGCUCUAGUGAGGCCAUCUCCGGCGCCCAAACCCCGUCCGUUACUCCCUCUAGCUACGAGGAGCCUAACCUCCUCUUCAAUUUGAUCUUCAGAGCUCUCUUCGAUGAGUCCCUCGACCACCCGAGCCGCCGUCCGCCGGAGCGAAGCUCGCCGUCGACGUGGUACUCGCCGGCGACCACCACCACCACCAACCGACGCGGAAUGGCGCCCUGAGCACGGAGGUACCCUCCGACCCCCCUGCCUCGCCGUGGAUCGCCGCCGGCGACCACCGCGGCUCUCGGGCGCCGACGAGCUUCGUCCCCCCCCUUUUUGAAAGUUCAAACCUGACGAGUGGGACCCCACCGUCAGCCUCUCUUCCCUCUCUAUUGAAUCGUUUUCUGAAAGCGCCUUCGGGCAAAAUGCUUUUUCCCUUUGGGCUGGCGUAGUUUCUGCCGAAGCAUUUCUGUUUUUAUAAGCUAGCCCCUGGAAACUUUCUGUUUCAUUACAGAUGAGUCCCUGGGCAAAAAGCUUUAUAACUUUUAAUCAGGAAAGUAUUUUUGAUUGAUUCUUUUUCUGUUCUCUUUAAAAUUUUGUCUAGUUUUUUAUCAGAUUUAUUUGAAAAAUAUUUGGAAUACAUUUUGUGCACUCCUUGGUAUUUACGAUAGCACAUAUAUUUUCUUUAUACCGUAGAUACCGAAGGAGGUGACGGAGCCGCGAACUUCACCGAGCUAGGCUCCGACUACUCUGAACCAGGAAAGCAUGUUUGAACUUUUGAUAUGAUGAGUGUAUUGUCAUGUUUUGCAUUUAGUUAGUUUCAUGGCAUGUUGAGGAACAUAUCGAUGAACGUUAUUUUAUGCAAUAUUGAGGUAAGUGAGUUUGAUGAUCCAUAAGUGGAUGGAUGUGAGUAUGAAUGGCCAUGUGUUGGCAUGAGGAUGGGUAAGAUGGCAGUAUUGUAGCAUGCCAGUCUUAUGCCAGACUAUGUGACUUCAGUGUCAAACCGUAUCGGUCCAGUUCCUCUCAUUUCCUUCCCUGUACUACCACAUGUUUUCCGCAAGGAAUAUGGUUUAGUAAGUUGCAAACCGCUUUUCUGGUACACACCAAAAGGAGAGGCCGUGAUGAUGGUUCCAUGGCCCUGGAUUAAAGCCAGUCAUCCGGUCAGGGGGCAUGGGUGUUUCCGGUUGGGACCGAGAGGGGGGCACCCCUUAGAGCGCGCGUAUAUAAAUUUGAUCCCAUGCUAUUCGAGAUUGUGAUCUCCCCGUCUCAAAAGUUUUUCUUGGACGAUGUCUAGGGUGAUUCCUAGCAUCGAGAGGUAGGAUGGGUGUGUACUGGUUAGCUGUGUUUUCUUCCGAAAUACCGUAAACGGAACUAGUCCUUCGGGACUAUGGAAAUCCGUUGGCUGUGGGAAAAAUUUUGUACAAACUCUGCAGAGUCAUAUAUUCCUCCAAAUCAUCUAUUCCCUGUCCUAGAUCGAUAUUAUCUUAUCCUAAUCAAAUGUCAGUUUUGAUGACAGAGACUCCGGUGAUUCGCAUGAGUGCUAAUUUCGGUUAAAUGAUUAUUCCUGUGGAUGGACUAACCCAUUUAUUCUCAUGAAUUAAAUGUUUAUUAUGAGUAUUAUUUACUUGUGAAUAAAAGCCCUUUCUGCGAUGUCGCUCAGACGUCCGACUGUGGCAUUGUUGUAUUUUACUUUCUUUUCAAGCCCUUUCUGUGAUGUCGCCCCGACGUCCGACUGUGGCAUUUCUUUUAAAGCCCUUUCUGUGAUGUCGCCCGGACGUCCGACUGUGGCAUUUCUUUUAAAGCCCUUUCUGUGAUGUCGCCUCGAUGUCCGACUGUGGCAUUUCUUUUAAAGCCCUUUCUGUGAUGUCCCCCCGACGUCCGACCGUGGCAUUUAUUUUAAAGCCCUUUCUGUGAUGUCGCCCCGACAUCCGACUGUGGUAUUUCUUUUAAAGCCCUUUAUGUGGUGUCGCUAAGACGCCCGACUGUGGCAUCAUUUCCUUAUAUUUAUUUGUUCACCUUUCGAGGCAUCGCUUCAGACACCCGAUCGGUAGAUAUUUAUGUUUUGUUGGGAUUUUAGGCGGACUACCGCCGUUUCCCUUUUACUUACCUUGUUAUGCUAGUUUUUGAAUGUACAUUGGUGAAUUAAUCAUGACGCAUCCAUGCAUGCAUUUGUUAUAUCUUACGUCCCAACUGUCUUGCGAGUACUUUCAAAGUACUCACUGGCUUGUUGAUUUGGCCAGAUGCUGACGAAGGCGAUCUCAUGGAUGAAGAGUUUGAUAGCGAGUCCGACACUUAGAGGAGUCCCAGUCAGUCUCGUGCGACCCUAGAUUUGGUCACUGUUUUAUAUCCGCUUCCGCUACCAAAUAAAUUCAUCGAGCCUCACCUCGACGUUCGAUGAGAUGACAGACUUAGAGUCUUGUAUUUCUCUCCCCGCUGUGUUUCUCCACCACCGCCCUAUCCUCGAGUCAGUAGUAUGCCUCCACACCACUGUGUCAUGUCCGCCAUUAUGUAUAAUUAUUGCCGUGCUUGUAAUAAUUUGGUUGAGCAACCGUAGUUCGACCCUGUAAUAUAUUUUAUGCUACUGGCUUAUUGUAUCAAGAAUCUGUCUACCAGUGAGGAGGAUUUCUCUCAUACUGGACUCAAAAGAUUGGUUUCUCAAUAUAUAUUUUUAUUGGAAAACCGGUCGUGACAGAAAUUGCCGGCAGGUAUGUGUCUUCGGUCAUGGCAAUUUUCUUUGCUUUUCGCCAUUUUGCGAUAGCUCGUGACUUGUUGUGCUUCACUAUAGCGGUGGUUCGAACAAUGCAACUGCCGAGUUCGUGAACUUGUUGGACACCAACGCCGUUGAGAUUGAUCAAGUCCCGUUUGAAGCAUUCGACUACAAUGAAACGGAGGCCGGCGUGGACGAUCAUGGUUUUCAGGACGAUUUAGAGGAGAUCGAAGAGGAAGCAUAUGAGCAAUCGCAAACAAAAACUGGGAAAAGCCAGAGAUUGAAGAACUACACGAUCUUGGAAGAUCAAGUUCUCAUCAAUGCAUGGAGUGCGGUGUCUCUUGAUGCAUGCACGGGUACUUCUCAAACCGCCAAGAGGUAUUGGCAAAGGAUCGAAGAUCAAUACUUCCGCAUGAUGGCAAAGUACCCCAAUAGGACUCCACGCACAUUUCGGUCUCUUCAAGGUCAUUGGGAGAAUAUCAAGCCUAUGUGUAGCCGUUGGGCAGCUUGCUUGGAGAGCAAGUAUGCAAUGCACCUCCAAGUGGAUCCGUGGAAUCCGACUAUGUGAGUUUGUUUUGCCUUUGUUCAACUUGUGCAUCAUCUACAUCAUAUGAAAUGAUUGCAUCAUUUCACUUUGUUCACAUUGUGUAAAAAAUUGCCCAACAUAGAUACAAAGACAUGGAAGCUUCGGAAGACAAAUUCUUCAAACUAGAGCAUUGUUGGGAGUUGCUCCAAGAGUGCGAUAAGUGAAAGUUGAUCGAGAAAGAAUCCCCACAGAAGAGAGGCUCACUUACAAACAUGGAUGAUGAUGAGGAUGAUGAUGGCCCAAGAAAUUUGAACAAGCCCGGUGGCGACAAGAAGACAAAGGAGAAGAUGAAGAGAGAGCAUGAAGCAUCGAGGUUGAGGGAGAAGAUUGAUGCCAUGGUGUAACAAAAUGAGUUGAUGUUGUUGAAGUCGUUGGAGAUCAAGAAGGAGUUGGCCGAGAAGAAGGCAAUGGAGAAGCAAGAAAAGUGGCAGUUGCUCAAGGAAGAGGGGCUGCACAAAGCGGCCAUUGAGGAUAGAAGAGCACGGGCCGAUGGAAACAAAUCCAUGUCCAAGUUGCUCGCCGAAGAGAAUAAGAUCAUGUCAAUGAACCGCAAUGACAUGGACGACCUCACCAAAACAUGGCAUGAUAUGGCAAGGAGAGAAAUCUUGAAGAGGAGAAUGGUUGUGUCGGCCGGUGCGUGUUACAGUUCCGGAGAUGUUUUCUCGGCUGGCAAUGUCGAUGAUUUCGGUGUGGGAGUUGGAACAAGCGCCGGAGGUGGAUUCGGUGGUGGUGAUGAACUUCAAGAUGGACUCGAUGGCGUGGAGUGAAGAUCGACCAAGAUGAUGUCAGACGUGGUCGUCACUUUUGCAAGAUCCUAUUUUGCGUUUGUCCUACUAAACUGAGGCUUUUAUUUGCGCGUAAACUGUGUUAUGUUGUUUGAAUUUAACUUAUUUGUGGGCAACAAUGUCAAAUUUGAGAAUUGGGCGUUUUCUGUUUGCGGGUCGACGCGGCGGUGCCCGUGCAGACACCGCAAAAGCCAACCCUUAAAAAAGUAUAUUCCGCGAAUAUCCUUUUAUAUGGGUCCAUUUGGUUUGUCUGCAUCCGCGGCCGUGCGAGCCAGCGUGCAAAAGCCGUUUUCCAUGAACUUCAAACGCGUUUUGCGGGCCGGAAACACAACCUGUAUAACUAGAGCAUGGCUGCUAUAAAGCACCCAACCUGUAUAGAUCCAUUGAACAUCCACAAAGAUAGAAAGCUACAGAUACAACCGCCGGAAACACAACUCCUAAGUAAAACAAAAACCUCCUACAUAACAUAGUUUUUCUACAAAUCAAGGAUGAAGACUGUCUAGGUGGUGCUCAUAUGUCGUGUCCUUUCAGUGCUCUGUUCAGGUAUUUUGCCGCUAUGUUUUUCUCCACCACACUUGUAGGAAAUAUAUUUCGGCUUAUCCAUGCUCCUGCUCUCGAAACCCCGCAGGCAUCGUUGCUCGCUGUGACCAGUACAACGUCUCCAAGGCAUGUCCAAGUAUAGCUUCAUGCAUAGCACUGUGCACCUAUAAAUAUAAGGCGGACACGGUUUAUGGUGUAUGUGCUGAUAACAGAUGUUGGUGCGUAGUCUGCGUGAUACCACCUGCAGCUCAAUCUGCGUCUGCAGCCCAGAUUGCGCCUGCAGGGAAUUAAAGGAUAUCGCUUGCUUCCCUUUCUGCCUAAAUAGAAUAAAACAAUGUCUGAUUAAUGUAUUUUUCUCGUACCGACAACAUUGUAUUGGUGUAUCAUGUAGCAAGGACCUGCGAGGCAAAAUAACAUCCUAUUAAUAUUGAGCGCUCUUUGGUGAAAUGCAUGAUUAAUCAAUUGGACACCGUAGAGGAUGUAUAAAUACGUUGCAUGUGGAUUCUUUUUUUCUCUCCAUGGUGAGAACAUUACCAAACCAUCGGAACCGGUCCUCCAUACAAGUUGCAUGUGGAUGGGAGAUUCAUAGCCAAGAUAGUGAAUAAACAGCUCCAUAAGCUACCUUGUUCUGAUCUCAUCAAAACUAUCAAACCCAUCACUUCACACCAUAAACCUGGCAAGCCGGUUCAAAUCUGGUCGAGAAGAAGCCCUUGGGUCCUCGAUGGUCGUCUGAAAGGCAACUUGAAUCACAAAGAGAGUGUCCCUGACGGACCUACAGGGUCUACAGCGAUGAUCAUCAGCAUGGCAGAUCGAUCAUGAGAUGAAUUCUAAAGCGGCAAUAGCAACAAACUAAACGAUCAAGUGCUAUGCUAACGGAAUGGGUCAAGUCAAUCACAUCAUUCUCCUAAUGAUAUGAUCCCGUUAAUCAAAUGACAACUCAUGUCUAUGGUUAGGAAACAUAACCAUCUUUGAUCAACGAGCUAGUCAAGUAGAGGCAUAGUAGUGAGACUCUGUUUGUCUAUGUAUUCACACAUGUAUUAUGUUUCCGGUUAAUACAAUUCUAGCAUGAAUAAUAAACAUUUAUCAUGAUAUAAGGAAAUAAAUAAUAACUUUAUUAUUGCCUCCAGGGCAUAUUUCCUUCAGUCUCCCACUUGCACUAGAGUCAAUAAUCUAGUUCACAUCGCCAUGUGAUUUAACAUCAAUAGUUCACAUCACCAUGUGAUUAACACCCAUAGUUCACAUCGUCAUGUGACCAACACCCAAAGGGUUUACUAGAGUCAAUAAUCUAGUUCACAUCGCUAUGUGAUUAAUACCCAAAGAGUACAAAGGUGUGAUCAUGUUUUGCUUGUGAGGGAAGUUUAGUCAACGGGUCUGCUACAUUCAGAUCCGUAUGUAUUUUGCAAAUUUCUAUGUCAACAAUGCUCUGCAUGGAGCUACUCUAGCUAAUUGCUCCCACUUUAAAUAUGUAUCCAGAUUGAGACUUUGAGUCAUCUGGAUCAGUGUCAAAACUUGCAUCGACGUACCCCUUUACGACGAACCUUUUGUCACCUCCAUAAUUGAGAAACAUAUCCUUAUUCCACUAAGGAUAAUUUUGACCAAUGUCCAGUGAUCUACUCCUAGAUCACUAUUGUACUCCCUUGCCAAACUUGGGGCAGGGUAUACAAUAGGUCUGGUACAUAGCAUGGCAUACUUUAUAGAACCUAUGGCUAAGGCAUAGGGAAUGAUUUUCAUUCUCUCUCUAUCUUCUUCCGUGGUCAGGUUUUGAGUCUUACUCAACUUCACACCUUCUAACACAGGCAAGAACUCCUUCUUUGACUGUUCCAUUUUGAACUACAUCAAAAUCUUUUCAAGGUAUGUACUUACUGAAAAACAUAUCAAGCGUCUUGAUCUAUCUCUAUAGAUCUUGAUGCUCAAUAUGUAAGCAGCUUCACCGAGGUCUUUAUUUGAAAAACUCCUUUCAAACAUUCCUUUAUGCUUUGCAGAAUAAUUCUACAUUAUCUCCGAUCAACUAUAUGUCAUUCACAUAUACUUAUCAGAAAUGCUGUAGUGCUCCCACUCACUUUCUUGUAAAUACAGGCUUCACCGCAAGUCUGUAUAAAACUAUAUGCUUUAUUCAACUUAUCAAAGCGUAUAUUCCAACUUCGAGAUGCUUGCACCAGUCCAUAGAUGGAUCGCCAGAGCUUGCAUAUUUUGUUAGCACCUUUAGGAUUGACAAAACUUUCUUGUUGCAUCAUAUACAACUCUUCUUUAAUAAAUCCAUUAAGGAAUGUAGUUUUGUUUAUCCAAUUGCCAGAUUUCAUAAAAUGUGGCAACUGCUAACAUGAUCCGGAUAGACUUAAGCAUAGAUACGAGUGAGAAACUCUGGUCGUAGUCAACACCUUGAACUUGUCGAAAACCUUUUGCGACAACUCUAGCUUUGUAGAUAGUAACACUACUAUCAGCGUCCGUCUUCCCCUUGAAGAUCCAUUUAAUCUCAAUUGCUUGCCGAUCAACAGGCAAGUCAACCAAAGUCCACACUUUGUUCUCAUACAUGGAUCUCAUCUUAGAUUUCAUGGCCUUAAGCCAUUUUGCGGAAUCUGGGCUCAUCCUAGCUUCCUCAUAGUUCGUAGGUUCAUCAUGGUCAAGUAAGAUGAACUCCAGAGUAGGAUUACCGUACCACUCUGGUGCGGAUCUCACUCUGGUUUACCUACGAGGUUCGGUAGUAACUUGAUCUUAAGUUACAUGAUCAUCAUCAUUAGCUUCCUCACUAAUUGGUGUAGUAGUCACAGGAACAGAUUUCUGUGAUGAACUACUUUCCAAUAAGGGAGCAGGUACAGUUACCUCAUCAAGUUCUACUUUCCUCUCACUCACUUCUUUCGAGAGAAACUCCUUCUCUAGAAAGAUGCAUUCUCAACAACGAAUAUCUUGCCUUCGGAUCUAUGAUAGAAGGUGGACCCAACAUUUUCUUUUGUGUAUCCUAUGAAGACGCACUUCUCCGAUUUGGGUUUGAGCUUAUGAGGUUGAAACUUUUUCACAUAAGCAUUGCAACCUCAAACUUUAAGAAACGACAGCUUAGGUUUCUUGCCAAAGCAUAGUUCAUACGGUGUCGUCUCAACGGAUUUAGAUGGUGCCCUAUUUAACGUGAAUGUAGCUGUCUCUAAUGCAUAACCCCAAAAAGAUAGUGGUAAAUUGGUAAGAGACAUCAUAGAUCACACCAUAUCUAAUAAAGUACGGUUACGAUGUUCGGACACACCAUUACACUGUGGUGUUCCAGGUGGCGUGAGUAGUGAAACUAUUUCACAUUGUUUUAACUGAAGGCCAAUCUCGUAACUCAAAUAUUUUACUUCUGCGAUCAUAUCGUAGAAACUUUUAUUUUUGUUACGAUGAUUGUCCACUUCACUCUGAAAUUCUUUGAACUUUUCAACUGUUUCAUACUUGUGUUUCAUUAAGUAGAUAUAUCCAUAUCUGCUCAAAUCAUCUCUGAAGGUCAGAAAAUAACGAUACUUGCCGUGAGCCUUAACACUCAUCGGACUGCAUACAUCAGUAUGUAUUAUUUCCAAUAAGUCAGUUGCUCGCUCCAUUGUUCCGGAGAACGGAGUCUUAGUCAUUUUGCCCAUGAGGCAUGGUUUGCAAGCAUCAAGUGAUUCCAAAAGUCCAUCAGCAUGGAGUUUCUUCAUGCGCUUUACACCAAUAUGAACUAAACGGCAGUGCCACAGAUAAGUUGCACUAUCAUUAUUAAUUUUGCAUCUUUUGGUUUCAAUAUUAUGAAUAUGUGUAUCACUACGAUCGAGAUCCAACGAACCAUUUUCAUUGGGUGUGUAACCAUAUAAGGUUUUAUUCAUGUAAACAGAACAACAAUUUAUUCUCUUACUUAAAUGAAUAACCGUAUUGCAAUAAACAUGAUCAAAUCAUAUUCAUGCUCAACGCAAACACCAAAUAACACUUAUUUAGGUUCAACACUAAUCCCGAAAGUAUAGGGAGUGUGCGAUGAUGAUCAUAUCAAUCUUGGAACCACUUCCAACACACAUCGUCACUUCACCCUUAACUAGUCUCUGUUCAUUCUGCAACUCCCGUUUUGAGUUACUACUCUUAGCAACUGAACCAGUAUCAAAUACCGAGGGGUUGCUACGAACACUAGUAAAAUACACAUCAAUAAUCUGUAUAUCAAAUAUAUCUUUGUUCACUUUGCCAUCCUUCUUAUCCGCCAAUACUUGGGGCAGUUCCGCUUCCAGUGACCAGUCCCUUUGUAGUAGAAGCACUUAGUCUCAGGCUUAGGACCAGACUUGGGCUUCUUCACUUGAGCAGCAACUUGCUUGUUGUUCUUCUUGAAGUUCCCCUUCUUCCCUUUGCCCUUUCUCUUGAAACUAGUGGUCUUGUCAACCAUCAACACUUGAUGUUUUUCUUGAUUUCUACCUUCGCCGAUUUUUGCAUCACGAAGAGCUUGGGAAUCGUUUCCGUUAUCCCUUGCAUAUUAUAGUUCAUCACGAAGUUCUACUAACUUGGUGAUGGUGACUAGAGAAUUCUGUCAAUCACUAGUUUAUCUGGAAGAUUAACUCCCACUUGAUUCAAGCGAUUGUAGUACCCAGACAAUCAGAGCACAUGCUCACUGCUUGAGCUAUUCUCCUCCAUCUUUUAGCUAUAGAACUUGUUGGAGACUUCAUAUCUCUCAACUCGGGUAUUUACUUGAAAUAUUAACUUCAACUCUUGGAACAUCUCAUAUGGUCCAUGACAUUCAAAAUGUCUUUGAAGUCCCGAUUCUAAGCUGUUAAGCAUGGUGCACUAAACUAUCAAGUAGUCAUCAUAUUGAGCUAGCCAAACAUUCAUAACGUCUGCAUCUACUCCUGCAAUAGGUCUGUCACCUAGCGGUGCAUCAAAGACAUAAUUCUUCUGUGCAGCAAUGAGGAUAAUCCUCAGAUCACGGAUCCAAUCCGCAUCAUUGCUACUAACAUUUUUCAACAUAAUUUUUCUCUAGGAACACAAUAAACUGGGAGCAACAUCGUGAGCUAUUGAUCUACAACAUAGAUAUGCUAAUACUACCAGGACUAAGUUCAUGAUAAAUUAAAGUUCAAUUAAUCAUAUUACUUAAGAACUCCCACUUAGACAGACAUCCCUCUAAUAUUCUAAGUGAUCACGUGAUCCAUAUCAACUAAACCAUGUCCGAUCAUCACGUGAGAUGGAGUAGUUUCAAUGGUGAAAAACACUAUGUUGAUCAUAUCUACUAUAUGAUUCACGCUCGACCUUUCGGUCUCCGUGUUCCGAGGCCAUAUCUGUUAUAUGCUAGGCUCAUCAAGUUUAACCUGAAUAUUCCGCAUGUGCAACUGUUUUGCACCCGUUGUAUCUGAACGUAGAGCCUAUCACACCCGAUCAUCACAUGGUGUCUCAGCACGAAGAACUUUCGCAACGGUGCAUACUCAGGGAGAACACUUGUACCUUGAUAAUUAGUGAGAGAUCAUCUUAUAAAGCUACCGUCGAAAUAAGCAAAAUAAGAUGUAUAAAAGAUAAACAUCAUAUGCAAUCAAAAUAUGUGACAUGAUAUGGCCAUCAUCAUCUUGUGCCUUUGAUCUCCAUCUCCAAAGUAUCAUCAUGAUCUCCAUCUUCUCCGGCAUGACACCAUGAUCUCCAUCAUCUUGAUCUAUAUCAAUGUGUCGUCACAUGGUUGUCUCGCCAACAAUUGCUCUUGCAACUAUUGCUAUCGCAUAGCGAUAAAGUAAAGCAAUUAUUUGGUGCUUGAAUCUUAUGCAAUAGAGGGAUAACCAUAAGGCUUUUGCCUGUUGCUGAUAACUUCAACAAAACAUGAUCAUCUCAUACAACAACUUAUAUCUCAUCACGUCUUGACCAUAUCACAUCACAACAUGCCCUGGAAAAACAAGUUAGACGUCCUCUACUUUGUUGUUGCAAGUUUUACGUGGCUGCUACAGGCUUAGCAAGAACCGUUCUUACCUACGCAUCAAAACCACAAUGAUAGUUUGUCAAGUUGGUGCUGUUUUAACCUUCGCAAGGACCGGGCGUAGCCACACUUGGUUCAACUAAAGUUGGAGAAACUAACACCCGCCAGCCACAUGUGUGCAAAGCACGUCGGUAGAACAAGUCUCGCGUAAGCGUACGCGUAAUGUCGGUCCAGGUCGCUUCAUCCAACAAUACCGCCGAACCAAAGUGUGACAUGCUGGUAAGCAGUAUGACUUAUAUCGCCCACAACUCACUUCUGUUCUACUCGUGCACAACAUCAACACAUAAAACCUAGGCUCUGAUACCACUGUUGGGGAACGUAGUAAUUUCAAAAAAUUUCCUACGGACAUGCAAGAUCAUGGUGAUGCAUAGCAACGAGAGGGGAGAGUGUUGUCUACGUACCAUCGUAGACCGGAAGCGGAAGCGUUAGCACAAUGCGGUUGAUGUAGCCGUAAGUCUUCACGACCCGACCGAUCAAGCACUGAAACUACGGCACCUCCGAGUUCUAGCACACGUUCAGCUCGAUGACGAUCCCCGGACUCCGAUCCAGCAGAAUGUCGGGGAAGAGUUCCGUCAGCACGACGGCAUGGUGACGAUCUUGAUGUUCUACCAUCGCAGGGCUUCGCCUAAGCACCGCUACAAUAUUAUCGAGGAUUAUGGUGGAGGAGGGCACCACACAUGGCUAAUAGAUCUUAAGGAUCAAUUGUUGUGUCUAUGGGAUGCCCCCUGCCCCCGUAUAUAAAGGAGCAAGGGGGGAGGCGGCCGGCCUAGGAGGAGGGCGCGCCAAGGGGGGAGUCCUACUCCCACCGGGAGUAGGACUCCUCCUUCCCUUGUUGGAGUAGGAGAGAAGGAAAGAGGGGGAGAGGAACAAGGAAAAGGGAGCUGCACCCCUUGUCCAAUUCGAACCAGAGGGGGGGCGCGCGCCUCCUUCAUUUUGGCCUCUCUCCUCUAUUCCCGUAUGGCCCAAUAAUGCCCAUAUACUCCCCGGCGAAUUCUCGUAACUCUCCGGUACUCCGAAAAAUACCCGAAUCACUCGGAACCUUUCCGAUGUCCGAAUAUAGUCGUCCAAUAUAUCGAUCUUUACGUCUCGACCAUUUCGAGACUUCUCUUCAUGUCCCUGAUCUCAUCCGGGACUCCGAACUCCUUAGGUACAUCAAAACUCAUAAACUCAUAAUAUAACUGUCAUCGAAACCUUAAGCGUGCGGACCCUACAGGUUCGAGAACAAUGUAGACAUGACCGAGACACGUCUCCAGUAAAUAACCAAUAGCGGAACCUGGAUGCUCUUAUUGGCUCCCACAUAUUCUACGAAGAUCUUUAUGAGUCAAACCGCAUAACAACAUACGUUGUUCCCUUUGCCAUCGGUAUGUUACUUGCCCGAGAUUCGAUCGUUGGUAUCUCAAUACCUAGUUCAAUCUCGUUACCGGCAAGUCUCUUUACUCGUUCCGUAGCACAUCAUCCCGCAACUAACUCAUUAGUUGCAAUGCUUGCAAGGCUUAUAGUGAUGUGCAUUACCGAGUGGGCCCAGAGAUACCUCUCCAACAAUCGGAGUGACAAAUCCUAAUCUCGAAAUACGCCAACCCAACAUGUACCUUCGGAGACACCUGCAGAGCACCUUUAUAAUCACCCAGUUACGUUGUGACGUUUGGUAGCACACAAAGUGUUCUUCCGGUAAACGGGAGUAGCAUAAUCUCAUAGUCAUAGGAACAUGUAUAAGUCAUGAAGAAAGCAAUAGCAACAAACUAAAUGAUCAAGUGCUAUGCUAACGAAAUGGGUCAAGUCAAUCAUAUCAUUCUCCUAAUGAUGUGAUCCCGUUAAUCAAAUGACAACUCAUGUCUAUGGUUAGGAAACAUAACCAUCUUUGAUCAACGAGCUAGUCAAGUAGUGGCAUACUAGUGACACUCUGUUUGUCUAUGUAUUCACACAUGUAUUAUGUUUCCGGUUAAUACAAUUCUAGCAUGAAUAAUAAACAUUUAUCAUGAUAUAAGGAAAUAAAUAAUAACAUUAUUAUUGCUUCUAGGUCAUAUUUCCUUCAAUUAAUUGAUUCCACUUAGUAUAACCAGAGCAUGACUGCUAUAAAGCACCCAACCUAUAUAGAUCCAUUGCACAUCCACAAAGAUAGAAAGCUACACAUACAACCGCUGAAAACACAACUCAUAAUUAAAACAAAAACCUCCUACAUAACAUAGUUUUUCUACAAAUCAAGGAUGAAGACUGUCCAGGUGGUGCUCAUAUGCCUUGUCCUUUCGGUGCUCUGUUCAGUUAUUUUGCCGGUAUGUUUUUCUCCACCGCACUUGUAGGAAAUAUAUUUCGGCUUAUCCGUGCUCCUGCUCUCGAAACCCCGCAGGCAUCGCUGCUCGCUGUGACCAGUAAAACGUCUCCAAGGCAUGUCCAAGCAUAGCUUCAUGCACAACACUGUGCACCUAUAAAUAUAAGGCGGACACGGUUUAUGGUGUAUGUGUUGAUAACGGAUGCUGGUGCGUAGUCUGCGUGAUACCACCUGCAGCUCAAUCUGCGUCUGCAACCCAGAUUGUGCCUGCAGGGAAUUAAAGGAUAUCGCUUGCUUCCCUUUCUUCCUAAAUAGAAUAAAACAGUGUCUGAUUAAUGUAUUUUGCUCGUACUGACAACAUUGUAUCGGUGUAUCAUGUAGCAAGGACCCGCGAGGCAAAAUAACAACCUAUUAAUAUUGAGUGCUCUUUGGCGAAAUGCAUGAUUAAUCAAUUGGACACCGUAGAGGAUGUAUAAAUAUCCUUUCAUUGCGAGUGGCCAUGAAAAUACAUUUGUGGAUUUUUUUCUCCAUGUUGAGAACAUUACCAAACCAUCGGAACCGGUCCUCCAUGCAAGUUGCAUGUGGAUGGGAGAUUCAUAGCCAAGAUAGUGAAUAAACAACUCCAUAAGAAACCUUGUUCUGAUCUCGUCAAAACUAUCAAACCCAUCACUUCACACCAUAAACCUAGCAAGCCGGUUCAAAUCUGGUCGAGAAGAAGCCCUUGGGUCCUCGGUGGUCAUCUGAAAGGCAACUUGAAUCACAAAGAGAGUGUCCCUGAUGGACCUGCAGGGUCUGCAGCGACGAUCAUCGGCAUGGCAGAUCGAUCAUGAGAUGAAUGCUAAAGGGGCAAGCUAACAUUUGGCAAACGCUGGGUGAAGACAACUGAUGAAAAGUACCCACACGGAUAAUCCAUGCUAACCGAGGCCAGCAGCCGCAUGCAUGGCCAGCACGAGACCUGGGUACACUAGUAGAAAAAGGCCCAUUUGUCCUGGUUCCAGAGGCCCUUAUGUCCCGGUUCUAGACCCGUGACUAAAGGUUCGGGACUAAAGCACAUGACCUUUAGUCUCGGUUCGCUUAUGAACCGGGACAGAUGGGCCCCCAAGUGGCCUCUCCGCCGAGCCCAGGCAGGAGGGCCUUUGGUCCCAGGUUGUAACACCAACCAGGACCAAAAAGUGUCCAUGCGUCAGCAGCUCAGGAGCUGGGGUUUUUGUUUUUUUGGAAGGGGGGGGUUGGUGUUUUGGAGUCGUUAAUUGGCCCAUACAUCCCAUCUAAGGAAGCCACAGGAGGCGGUCGACAGAGCCCAAUCGCGCGAGUGGAUCAAGCACCAAGAUCCCAACCGAGGCGAGCGAGGAGGCGCGCGAGGAUCGAACGCGACGCCUCUCAGCCGAGGUUGCAAGGGAAGCCGAUCCAGCCGACGAGGGAAUCCAGCGGACACGCCGGACGUGGGCGAUAAUGGUCGGCAACCCAUCUGCUGGGAACUGAUCACAAUCGUACUUCAGUUUCUAAGAGCGCAUUCUUGGCGAUUGUUGUGCCCAUCGUUUCCGCUGUCGAGUGGUACUUCUAUAUUGUUCCUCCCAUAACAAUCCUCGGUCACCUUCUCUUCUCUGAUAGCACAAGCAUCUUUCAUCAUCAUGCUCUGGUAUUACUUAUGCAUGAUUCCUUAAGAUUCGUCAUUGAGGUUUACAAUCGUUCAUUAUUUUAGUUGUUCUUUCAGAUUCGUCAUUGUGCCCUACAUGAGUCUCUGUCAAAAUUUGCAUGUGUUAACUCUGUAAGUAUGUAUGUAUGCAAUUUGAUAUUUUAUAAUACUAACAUUUGUCCACUUUGUCCUAAAGUAGUUUUUGCUGCUUGGAGGUGAGCAAAGCGAAGGUAUCCCAUUAUCAUGAUUCAGAUGACUCAUGUUAUUCUCUUUAUUGUCAAUGCAACCGAUUCCGGUUUAUGUCUCUUCUUGGAAUAAAAAAAUGCAUAUAUGAACCUGACUUCUCAUGGGUUAGAUUUUUUAGUUGAAUACAGUUUUGCAAACAGAUUAUUUAUGUAUGUUUCUUAGAAAACAUUGCUCCUUGAAUAAUACCCCAUGAUACUUAAACAAGCUCUAUGUCAUUUUUACUAGUUCAGUUUGGUGGUGGUUUAUAUUGAGGACUUGAUCAUUUCUCAUGCAUGCUAAAAGAUUUAUCUAACAUGCAGUUUUGUUCAGGUACAUUUCAUUCUUUUGUACAUUGAAAACUAGUGUUGGUAUAUUUUAUAGCUAGACUGUGCACAUAAGUGUAGAGGCCAUUAGUUAUGUUGUUCAAGCUAUGUUGGUACCUAUUUGAAGAUUAAUUCCAGUCUGGUAUGUUCCAUUGUCAUCUGACAUUUAAUAGUAAAAUAUACUAUUGAAAAUUAGUUAAAUAUACAAUGAACACUUGAAAUAAAGAAAUGUUAUGUCAGAUAAGUUAAACUGACUACAUAUUUGUCAAUGGCUUUCUCAAAUGUAGGUUUCAAAUCAGAUGUCAUUCAAAACUCAUCCUUGAAUUACCUUUAUACUUGAUUAACCGGACUACAUCAUGGAGUUGUCGUCUUUGUAGUUUGAUGAAAUAAGGCCCAUGGUUGUUUGCUUUCCACUCUUAAAUUGCCUUUAGUUUGAAAGAAGGCCCAUGGUUGUUUGCUUUCCACUCUUAAAUUGCCUUUUUGACAGCAACAAAAAACUAUACUAAUAGGAGUUUUGAUUUCCCUUCUUCCUGUACUUUUUCUAUAUCACAAAGAAUUGUUCACGCCUUAUUUGUCCAUUUCGUGUUGACAUUUCAACUUGACCAUUACGAGAGUAGCAUGAUUUUAUUUAUGAUUAUUGCUGUUGUAGAGGUGUUAAAUAUAUAAAGUAUGAAAGGUGUAAUUUCAUGAAAGUACUUUGUAAUAUCAGCUUCCUUUGCCUGAUUGAUGUUGCUUUACAAUCUUAUUUGUCGGCAUUUUGUUCAGCGAGUUAAUGCCUUUUCCAUGCUGUGAGGUCAUAUAUGUUGCAGGCACAGAGCACCCAAGAUUUUUCCAUAGACACAAAAGCAGUGCUCCGGCUGUAGCAUUAAUUACACACACUCGUAUUUCCUAGGCUGCUAUAUAAAUAUGCACAAAAGGAUUUCUAUAUCAAAUACACGUUUAUGAUCAGUGCGUAUUUUCUUCCUCCUGACAAUGCUUACCCUGCUUACAGUUAUCUACAUGGGUCUGGUUCCUUUUAAUAUCAAUAUUUGUCAUCAGAUUCUGAUAUACAUUGUUUCAGUCCAAAUUAUACAGGGUGCACAUUUUCUACAUUUAAUUUCGACUAAGACUUUCUUUUCUUGGUGGUAUGAUCACUUACCAGUAAUUUGAUGGUUAUCUAUAUAUAUAUUGAAUUUUCAUAGCAUUUUAACCUCCGAUAUCAAUAUAUUUUCAUAAUAUAAAUUGUUCAAUUUCAUUUCCAAUGUAUUUUACUCAUAUAUUUUUAUUAUUUCAUAAUAUUAAUGGUAUGACAAAUAUAUGAUUUAGUCGUUUGCAAAAAAAUUCUUGACUCGUGUAUUUUUCAAAAUUCCUUUCAUUCUUUUAAAACUAAACGGGUGCGGCAACACGCGCCAUCAAUGAUCGAGUCAUAAGUGAUGUCCCGACGAGAUUCUUUCAAUGUCAAUGACUUUACUUUUUGGCAAGAUACUUUGGAGGUACGUAAAGCUAUAGAUCAGCGAUGGAUCAACGUUGAGGUCAGGUAAAGAGGCGAUCUGUCCACUUCUUCUAGGGUGGCCGCCACGGUGGUGCCGGCGUUGAGUGACGGGCAUUGGUAUCUUGCUCAAGGGUUUCUUCAGUCAAGAUUGUAAUUUUCUUUCUCGACUAGCUAAGGGUAGUUUUUGCAAUAGCUAGGGUUGUCCUAUAUUUUUUGGUUCUGUCAAGUCGGUGUUUAAGUGAUCGUAAUUUGAUAUUUAUUUUACAAUUGAGACAUACAUUACAUCAUGAAAGAAAAAAAUCAAGGCUACAGAUCACAUGACCUCGUCUCUCCCGCAUGACCGCCCAGGACCUGUGUAGUGCGUACGCCGGAUCGUAGGCUCAUACACGAUAUUAGAGCAACUCUAGCAGACCCCGCAUCCAGCCCCGAUCCGCAAAAUAACUGCCAAAGUGCGGGUCGGGGCGUGAAAAACGCCCUGAUCAGACCCCGCAUCCCGCCCCGGCCCGCAAAUUUUUUUUCGGGGCACGGCAAAAUAUCUCCCCCAACCUCUAGAUUCAUGGGCUAGAGGGACAUUUCCGCGUGUCCGUUCCCGCUCCCCCCGCCCUCAUAAGGGCCUUUAGUCCCGGUUCAUAAGGGCCUUUAGUCUCGGUUCUGGAACCAGGACUAAAGGGUCGGUACUAAAGCCUCCCCCUUUAGUCCCGAUUCAUAUACGAACCGGGACUAAAGGCCCUCCACGUGGCCGCUGCCUGGAGGUCCACCUUUAGUCGCGGUUGGUAACACCAACUGGUACUAAAGGAAAUUUUAUGAUUUUUCUGAAUUUUUUUUUUGAAUUUUUCUUGAUUUUUUUUGUUUUCAAAUUUCUGAAUUAUUUUAACCUCUAAUCUCUAAUCACCCCUCAUCACUGCUCAAUUUAACCUUUAAUCUCUAAUCACCCCUCAUGAUUCCAAAUCAUCUAACUUCCUGAACGGUCGCCCAUCCUCUCACUACUCCAGCCUGAGCACGCUUAACUUCCGGGUUCUAUUCUCCCUCGUUUCCAAGUCUGCACUUGUUGUUUUCCUGACAAUAGUAAGAUGUCAAUCCUAUUAACCCUCAGGAAUUUAGCUUGAGCAUGAAGUCACACAUUUCACUGUUUGAGUUUGAAACUAUUGUUCUAAGAAACAAUAAUUAUUUAGUAACACUAAUAUUUCUUGAAUAAAUAGUUUGACCCUAGUUUGACCCUAGUUUGACCAUAGUUUGACCAUAGUUUGACCAGAUUUGACCAAAAUUCAAAAAAGCUGAAAUAAUUAUUUAGUAACACUAAUAUUUCUUGAAUAAGUAGUUUGACCAUUGUUUAACCACAGUUUGACCAUAUUUGACCAAAAUUCAAAAAAAUGAAAUAAUUAUUUAGUAACACAAAUAUUCUUGAAUAAUUAUUUAGUAAGACUAAUACUUCUUGAAUAAGUGGUUUGACCAUAGUUUGACCAGAUUUAAAAAAUUCAAAAAAACCUGAAAUUUGAGCAUAAUUUGGCCAUAGUUUGACCAGAUUCGUUCUGAACAUUUUGAUAUAUUAUACGUUUUUCCCGACAUCGUAUGCAAAAGUUAUAGCCGUUUUACAUUUUCCCUACACUUUUUGCAAAACAUGUCCAAAUAUAAGUUUUUAAAUUUUCCUAACUAGUAGAUGUAGUAAUAUAACUACCUCUAGAAGGAUUUUAUUUUUUGAAGUUUUUAUCAUUUUCUUUUGAUUUUUUNNNNNNNNNNNNNNNNNNNNNNNNNNNNNNNNNNNNNNNNNNNNNNNNNNNNNNNNNNNNNNNNNNNNNNNNNNNNNNNNNNNNNNNNNNNNNNNNNNNNNNNNNNNNNNNNNNNNNNNNNNNNNNNNNNNNNNNNNNNNNNNNNNNNNNNNNNNNNNNNNNNNNNNNNNNNNNNNNNNNNNNNNNNNNNNNNNNNNNNNNNNNNNNNNNNNNNNNNNNNNNNNNNNNNNNNNNNNNNNNNNNNNNNNNNNNNNNNNNNNNNNNNNNNNNNNNNNNNNNNNNNNNNNNNNNNNNNNNNNNNNNNNNNNNNNNNNNNNNNNNNNNNNNNNNNNNNNNNNNNNNNNNNNNNNNNNNNNNNNNNNNNNNNNNNNNNNNNNNNNNGGCAUCGCACCCUUUAGUCUCAGUUCGUGUCUCAAACCUGGACUAAAGGGCUCAGGUGAACCGGGACUAAUGCCUUAGCCGCAUGAACCGGGACCAAUGCUCACAUUAGUCCCGGUUCGUGACUGAACCGGGACUAAUGUGAAUAUUGCCCCGUGACCAAAGCCCUGUUUUCUACUAGUGAUUCCCCGCCACCGCACGCUCCCCAGCCAUCCUUCACCACCAUGGAUGACUCCCUGCUGUCCCCCGUCACCGUCGAGGUCGCUGGCGCUCCUUCUCCUUGGGCGGAUCUCGUCGCUGGCCCUACUAGCCCCGCCGUGGCCCAAGGUCAAUCCGCGCCUGCCCGCAAGAGGCAAGGCAACGUGGUCGUGCAGGGCAGCGCUCCGGCAGCCCCUCCCCCGCGAGGGCCCACGCUCGAGGCGCCAACGCUGAUGCGCGAUCUCGGCCGACGGUGGAGAAGGUCGCCAAGGUCGCCGACGUCAAGAGGAAGAAGAUUCUGGCCACAAAGAAGCUUCCUCCUUCAUCCGCUCACUCCGGCCUAGAAAGAGGUGCCUCGGCGAUGCCGCUCAACGGUGUCGCUCCCCCCACAAGCGAGGUGUUUGACGAAAUGGCCGGUAGGUAUGUGUCUUCGGUCAUGGCAAUUUUUCUUUUCUUUUUGCCAUUUUGCGAUAGCUCGUGACUUGUUGUGCUUCACUAUAGCGGUGGUUCGAACAAUGCAACUGCCAAGUUCGUGAACUUGUUGGACACCAAUGCCGUUGAAAUUGAUCAAGUCCCGUUUGAAGCAUUCGACUACAAUGAAACGGAGGCCGGCGUGGACGAUCAUGGUUUUCAGGAUGAUUUAGAGGAGAUCGAAGAGGAAGCAUAUGAGCAAUCACAAACAAAAACUAGGAAAAGCCAGAGAUUGAAGAACUACACGAUCUUGGAAGAUCAAGUUCUCAUCAAUGCAUGGACUACCAUGUCACUUCAUGCAUGCACGGGUACUUCUCAAACCGCCAAGAGGUAUUGGCAAAGGAUCAACGAUCAAUACUUCUGCAUGAUGGCAAAGUACCCCAAUAGGACUCCACACACAUUUCAGUCUCUUCAAGGUCGUUGGGAGAAUAUCAAGCCUAUGUGCAGCCGUUAGGCAGCUUGCUUGGAGAGCAAGUACGCAAUGCACCUCCAAGUGGAGCCGUGGAAUCCGACUAUGUGAGUUUGUUUUGCCUUUGUUCAACUUGUGCAUCAUCAUAUUACAUCAUAUGAAAUGAUUGCAUCAUUUCACUUUGUUCACAUUGUGUAGAAAAUUUUUGCCCAACAUAGAUACAAAGUCAUGGAAGCUUUAGAAGGCAAAUUCUUCAAACUAGAGCAUUGUUGGGAGUUGCUCCAAAAGUGCGAUAAGUGGAAGUUGAUCGAGAAAGAAUCCCCAUAGAAGAUAGGCUCACUUACAAACAUGAAUGAUGAUGAGGAUGAUGAUGGCCCAAGGAAUUUGAACAAGCCCGAUGGCGACAAGAAUACUAAGGAGAAGAUGAAGAGAGAGCAUGAAGCAUCGAGCUUGAGGGAGAAGAUUGAUGCCAUGGUGUAAUCAAAUGAGUUGAUGUUGUUGAAGUCAUUGGAGAUCAAGAAAGAGUUGGCCGAGAAGAAGGGAAAGGAGAAGCAGGAAAAGUGGCAAUUGCUCAAGGAAUAGGGGCUGCGCAAAGCGGCCAUUGAGGAUAGAAGAGCACGUGUCGAUGAAAACAAAGCCAUGUCCAAGUUGCUCGCCGAAGAGAACAAGAUCAUGUCAAUGGCCGCAAUGACGUGGACGACCUCACCAAAACAUGGAUUGAUAUGGCAAGGAGAGAAAUCUUGAAGAAGAGAAUGGUUGUGUCGGCCGGUGCGUGUUACAGUUCCGGAGAUGUUUUCUCUGUUGGCAAUGUCGAUGAUUUCGGUGCGGGAGUUGGAACAAGCGCCGGAGGUGGAUUCGGUGGUGGUGAUGAACUUCAAGAUGGACUUGAUGGUGGGAGUGAAGAUCGACCAAGAUGAUGCCGGACGUGGUCGUCACUUUUUCAAGACCCUCUUUUGCGUUUGUCCUACUAAACAGAGGCUUUUAUUUGCGCGUAAACUCUGUUAUGUUGUUUGAAUUUGAACUUAUUUGUGGGCACCAAUGUCAAAUUUGAGAAUUGGGCAUUUUUUGUUUGCGGGUUGACACGGCGGUGCCCGUGCAGACACAGCAAAAGCCAACUCGUAAGAAGGUAUAUCCUUUUAUACGGGUCCGUUUGGGGGUCUGCAUCUGCGGCCGUGCGAGUCAGCCCGCAAAAGCCGUUUUCCACGAACUGCAAACGCGUUUUGCGGGCCGGCCAGAUGCGGGGUCUGGUAGAGUUGCUUGUCAGUACUUCAUAUGUUCAUAUCCAUAACCAAAAUAAUAGGUGCGGAUAUGCAUGUCUUAAUUAACCACCAUAAAAUGGGAUACUAAUAGGAUCCAGUUUAUCCCCUAUACUUAGCAAAACUAUAAAUUUAUACUAAUGAACUAGAAUAAUAAUAAGCUUCACGUCCACCCAUUUACCUUUUUUAAUGUUUCAAUAUAUGUUAUUAAUGUUGGGGAACGUAGUAAUUUCAAAAAAAUUCCUACGCACACGCAAGAUCAUGGUGAUGCAUAGCAACGAGAGGGGAGAGUGUUGUCUACGUACCCUCGUAGACCGGAAGCGGAAGCGUUAGCACAACGCGGUUGAUGUAGUCAUAGGUCUUCACGGACCGACCGAUCAAGCACCGAAACUACGACACCUCCGACUUCUAGCACACGUUCAGCUCGAUGAUGAUCCCCGGACUCCGAUCCAGCAGAAUGGGAAGAGUUCCGUCAGCACGACGGCGUGGUGACGAUCUUGAUGUUCUACUGUCGCAGCCCUUCACCUAAGCACAGCUACAAUAUUAUCGAGGAUUAUGGUGGAGGAGGGCACCGCACGGCUAAUAGAUCUCAAGGAUCAAUUAUUGUGUCUAUGGGGUGCCCCUGCCCCCGUAUAUAAAGGAGCAAGGGGGAGGCGGCCGGCCUAGGAGGAGGGCGCGCCAAGGGGGGAGUCCUACUCCCACCGGGAGUAGGACUCCUCCUUCCCUUGUUGGAGUAGGAGAGAAGGAAAGAGGGGGAGAGGAACAAGGAAAAGGGGGCUGCACCCCUUGUCCAAUUCGGACCAGAGGGGGCGCGCGCGCGUCCUUCCUUUUGGCCUCUGUCCUCUAUUCCCGUAUAGCCCAAUAAGGCCCAUAUACUCCCCGGCGAAUUCCCGUAACUCUCCGGUACUCCGAAAAAUACCCGAAUCACUCAGAACCUUUCCGACAUUCGAAUAUAGUCAUCCAAUAUAUCGAUCUUUACGUUUCGACCAUUUCAAGACUCCUCGUCAUGUCCCUGAUCUCAUCCGGGACUCCGAACUCCUUAGGUACAUCAAACUCAUAAACUCAUAAUAUAACUAUCAUCGAAACCUUAAGCGUGCGGACCCUAUGGGUUCGAGAACAAUGUAGAAAUGACCGAGACACGUCUCCGGUCAAUAACCAAUAGCGGAACCUGAAUGCUCAUAUUGGCUCCCACAUAUUCUACGAAGAUCUUUAUCGGUCAAACCGCAUAACAACAUACGUUGUUCCCUUUGCCAUCGGUAUGUUACUUGCCCGAGAUUCGAUCAUUGGUAUCUCAAUACCUAGUUCAAUCUCGUUACCGGCAAGUCUCAUUACUCGUUCCGUAACACAUCAUCCUGCAACUAACUCAUUAGUUGCAAUGUUUGCAAGGCUUAUAGUGAUGUGCAUUACCGAGUGGGCCCAGCGAUACCUCUCCGACAAUCGGAGUGACAAAUCCUAAUCUCGAAAUAUGCCAACCCAACAAGUACCUUCAGAGACACCUGUAGAGCACCUUUAUAAUCACCCAGUUACGUUGUGAUGUUUGGUAGCACACAAAGUGUUCCUCCGGUAAACGGGAGUUGCAUAAUCUCAUAGUCAUAGGAACAUGUAUAAGUCAUGAAGAAAGCAAUAGCAACAAACUAAACGAUCAAGUGCUAUGCUAACGGAAUGGGUCAAGUCAAUCACAUCAUUCUCCUAAUGAUGUGAUCCCGUUAAUCAAAUGACAACUCAUGUCUAUGGUUUGGAAACAUAACCAUCUUUGAUCAACGAGCUAGUCAAGUAGAGGCAUACUAGUGACACUCUGUUUGUCUAUGUAUUCACACAUGUAUUAUGUUUCCGGUUAAUACAAUUCUAGCAUGAAUAAUAAACAUUUAUCAUGAUAUAAGGAAAUAAAUAAUAACUUUAUUAUUGCCUUUAGGGCAUAUUUCCUUUAGUCUCCCACUUGCACUAGAGUCAAUAAUCUAGUUCACAACGCCAUAUGAUUUAACAUCAAUAGUUCACAUCACCAUGUGAUUAACAACCAUAGUUCACAUCGUCAUGUGACCAACACCCAAAGGGUUUACUAGAGUCAAUAAUCUAGUUCACAUUGCUAUGUGAUUAAUACCCAAAUAGUAGUAAGGUGUGAUCAUGUUUUGCUUGUGAGGGAAGUUUAGUCAAUGGGUCUGCUACAUUCAUAUCCGUAUGUAGUUUGCAAAUUUCUAUGUCAACAAUGCUCUGCAUGGAGCUACUCUAGCUAAUUUCUCCCACUUUAAAUAUGUAUCCAGAUUGAGACUUUGAGUCAUCUGGAUCAGUGUCAAAACUUGCAUCGACGUAACCCUUUAUGACGAAACUUUUGUCACCUCCAUAAUUGAGAAACAUAUCCUUAUUCCACUAUGGAUAAUUUUGACCAAUGUCCAGUGAUCUACUCCUAGAUCACUAUUGUACUCCCUUGCCAAACUCAGGGCAGGGUAUACAAUAGCUCUGGUACAUAGCAUGGCAUACUUUAUAGAACCUAUGGCUAAGGCAUAGGGAAUGACUUUCAUUCUCUCUCUAUCUUCUACCGUGGUCGGGUUUUGAGUCUUACUCAACUUCACACCUUCUAACACAGGCAAGAACUCCUUCUUUGACUGUUCCAUUUUGAACUACUUCAAAAUCUUGUCAAGGUAUGUACUUAUUGAAAAACUUAUCAAGCAUCUUGAUCUAUCUCUAUAGAUCUUGAUGCUCAAUAUGUAAGCAGCUUCACCGAGGUCUUUCUUUGAAAAACUCCUUUCAAACAUUCCUUUAUGCUUUCCAGAAUAAUUCUACAUUAUCUCCGAUCAACUAUAUGUCAUUCACAUAUACUUAUCAGAAAUGUUGUAGUGCUCCCACUCACUUUCUUGUAAAUACAGGUUUCACCGCAAGUCUGUAUAAAACUAUAUGCUUUGAUCAACUUAUCAAAGCAUAUAUUCCAACUCCGAGAUGCUUGCACCAGUCCAUAGAUGGAUCGCCGGAGCUUGCAUAUUUUGUUAGCACCUUUAGGAUUGAAAAAACUUUCUUGUUGCAUCAUAUACAACUCUUCUUUAAUAAAUCCAUUAAGGAAUGUAGUUUUGUUUAUCCAUUUGCCAGAUUUCAUAAAAUGUGGCAAUUGCUAACAUGAUUCGGAUAGACUUAAGCAUAGAUACGAGUGAGAAACUCUCAUCGUAGUCAACACCAUGAACUUGUCGAAAACCUUUUGCGACAAUUCUAGCUUUGUAGAUAGUAACACUACUACCAGCGUCCGUCUUCCUCUUGAAGAUCCAAUUAAUCUCAAUUGCUUGCCGAUCAAUGGGCAAGUCAACCAAAGUCCACACUUUGUUCUCAUACAUGGAUCCCAUCUUAGAUUUCAUGGCCUCAAGCCAUUUCGCGGAAUCUGGGCUCAUCAUCGCUUCCUCAUAGUUCAUAGGUUCGUCUUGGUCAAGUAACAUGAACUCCAGAGUAGGAUUACCUUACCACUCUGGUGCGGAUCUCACUCUGGUUGACCUACGAGGUUUGGUUGUAACUUGAUCUGAAGUUACAUGAUCAUCAUCAUUAGCUUCCUCACUAAUUGGUGUAGUAGUCACAGGAACAGAUUUCUGUGAUGAACUACUUUCCAAUAAGGGAGCAGGUAUAGUUACCUCAUCAAGUUCUACUUUCCUCUCACUUAAUUCUUUCGAGAGAAAUUCCUUCUCUAGAAAGGAUCAAUUCUCAGCAACAAAUAUCUUGCCUUCGGAUCUGUGAUAGAAGGUGGACCCAACAUUUUCUUUUGUGUAUCCUAUGAAGACGCACUUCUCCGAUUUGGGUUUGAGCUUAUCAGGUUGAAACUUUUUCACAUAAGCAUUGCAACCUCAAACUUUAAGAAAUGACAGCUUAGGUUUCUUGCCAAACCAUAGUUCAUACGGUGUUGUCUCAACGGAUUUAGAUGGUGCCCUAUUUAAUAUGAAUGUAGCUGUCUCUAAUGCAUAACCCCAAAACGAUAGUGGUAGAUUGGUAGGAGACAUCAUAGAUCGCACCAUAUAUAAUAAAGUACGGAUACGAUGUUCGGACACACCAUUACACUAUGGUGUUCCAGGUGGCGUGAGUAGUGAAACUAUUUCACCUUGUUUUAACUGAAGGCCAAACUCGUAACUCAAAUAUUUUACUUCUGCGAUCAUAUUGUAGAAACUUUUAUUUUUGUUAUGAUGAUUCUCCACUUCACUCUGAAAUUCUUUGAACUUUUCAACUUUUUUAGACUUGUGUUUCAUUAAGUAGAUAUACCCAUAUCUGCACAAAUCAUAUGUGAAGGUCAGAAAAUAACAAUAAUUGCCGUGAGCCUUAACACUCAUCAGACCGCAUACAUCAGUAUGUAUUAUUUCCAAUAAGUCAGUUGCUCGCUCCAUUGUUCCGGAGAACGGAGUCUUAGUCAUCUUGCCCAUGAGGCAUGGUUCACAAGCAUCAGGUGAUUCAUAAUCAAGUGAUUCCAAAAGUCCAUCAGCAUGGAGUUUCUUCAUGCGCUUUACACCAAUAUGACCUAAACGGCAGUGCCACAAAUAAGUUGCACUAUCAUUAUUAAUUUUGCAUCUUUUGGUUUCAAUAUUAUGAAUAUGUGUAUCACUACAAUCGAGAUCCAAUGAACCAUUUUCAUUGGGUGUGUAACCAUAUAAGGUUUUAUUCAUGUAAACAGAACAACAAUUUAUUCUCUUACUUAAAUGAAUAACCGUAUUGCAAUAAACAUGAUCAAAUCAUAUUCAUGCUCAACGCAAACACUAAAUAACAUUUAUUUAGGUUCAACACUAAUCCCGGAAGUAUAGGGAGUGUGCGAUGAUGAUCAUAUCAAUCUUGGAACCACUUCCAACACACAUCAUCACUUCACCCUUAACUAGUCUUUGUUCAUUCUGCAACUCCCGUUUCGAGUUACUACUCUUAGCAACUGAACCAGUAUCAAAUACUAAUGGGUUGCUACAAGCACUAGUAAAAUACACAUCAAUAAUCUGUAUAUCAAAUAUAUCUUUGUUCACUUUGCCAUCCUUCUUAUCCGCCAAAUAAUUGGGGCAGUUCCGCUUCCAGUGACCAGUCCCUUUGCAGUAGAAGCACUUAGUCUCAGGCUUAGGACUAGACUUGGGCUUCUUCACUUGAGCAGCAACUUGCUUGUCGUUCUUCUUGAAGUUCCCCUUCUUCCCUUUGCCCUUUCUCUUGAAACUAGUGGUCUUGUCAAACAUCAACACUUGAUGUUUUUCUUGAAUUCUACCUUCACCGAUUUUUGCAUCAUGAAGAGCUUGGGAAUCGUUUCUGUUAUGCCUUGCAUAUUAUAGUUCAUCACAAAGUUCUACUAACUUGGUGAUGAUGACUAGAGAAUUCUGUCAAUCACUAUUUUAUCUGGAAGAUUAACUCCCACUUGAUUCAAGCGAUUGUAGUAGCCAGAUAAUCUGAGCACAUGCUCACUUCUUGAGCUAUUCUCCUCCAUCUUUUAGCUAUAGAACUUGUUGGAGACUUCAUAUCUCUCAACUCGGGUAUUUACUUGAAAUAUUAACUUCAACUCCUGGAACAUCUCAUAUGGUCCAUGACAUUCAAAACGUCUUUGAAGUCCUGAUUCUAAGCCGUUAAGCAUGAUGCACUAAACUAUCAAGUAGUCAUCAUAUUGAGCUAGCCAAACGUUCAUAACGUCUGCAUCUACUCCUGCAAUAGGUCUGUCACCUAGCUGUGCAUCAAAGACAUAAUUCUUCUGUGCAGCAAUGAGGAUAAUCCUCAGAUCACGGAUCCAAUCCGCAUCAUUUCUACUAACAUUUUUCAAGAUAAUUGUUCUCUAGGAACACAAUAAACUGGGAGCAACAUCGCGAGCUAUUGAUCUACAACAUAGAUAUGCUAAUACUACCAGGACUAAGUUCAUGAUAAAUUAAAGUUCAAUUAAUCAUAUUACUUAAGAACUCCCACUUAGACAGACAUCCCUCUAAUAUUCUAAGUGAUCACGUGAUCCAUAUCAACUAAACCAUGUCCGAUCAUCACGUGAGAUGGAGUGGUUUCAAUGGUGAAAAUCACUAUGUUGAUCAUAUCUACUAUAUGAUUCACGCUCGACCUUUCGGUCUCCGUGUUCCGAGGCCAUAUCUGUUAUAUGCUAGGCUCGUCAAGUUUAACCUGAAUAUUCCGCGUGUGCAACUAUUUUGCACCCGUUGUAUUUGAACAUAGAGCCUAUCACACCCGAUCAUCAGGUGGCGUCUUAGCACAAAGAACUUUCGCAACGGUGCAUACUCAGGGAGAACACUUGUACCUUGAUAAUUAGUGAGCGAUCAUCUUAUAAAGCUACCGUCGAACUAAGCAAAAUAAGAUGUAUAAAAGAUAAACAUCAUAUGCAAUCAAAAUAUGUGACAUGAUAUGGCCAUCAUCAUCUUGUGCCUUUGAUCUCCAUCUCCAAAGUAUUGUCAUGAUCUCCAUCGUCACCGGCAUGACACCAUGAUCUCCAUCAUCUUGAUCUAUAUCAAUGUGUCGUCACAUGGUUGUCUCGCCAACAAUUGCUCUUGCAACUAUUGCUAUCGCAUAGAGAUAAAGUAAAGCAAUUAUUUGGUGCUUGCAUCUUAUGCAAUAGAGAGAUAACCAUAAGGCUUUUGCCUGUUGCUGAUAACUUCAACAAAACAUGAUCAUCUCAUACAACAACUUAUAUCUCAUCACGUGUUGACCAUAUCACAUCACAACAUGCCCUGCAAAAACAAGUUAGACGUCCUCUACUUUGUUGUUGCAAGUUUUACGUGGCUGCUACGGGCUUAGCAAGAACCGUUCUUACCUACGCAUUAAAACCACAAUGAUAGUUUGUCAAGUUGGUGCUAUUUUAAGCUUCGCAAGGACCGGGCAUAGCCACACUUGGUUCAACUAAAGUUGGAGAAACUAACACCCGCCAGCCACAUGUGUGCAAAGCACGUCAGUAGAACAAGUCUCACGUAAGCGUAUGCGUAAUGUCGGUCCGGGCCGCUUCAUCCAACAAUACCGCCGAACCAAAGUGUGACAUGCUGGUAAGAAGUAUGACUUAUAUCGCCGACAACUCACUUGUGUUCUACUCGUGCACAAGAUCAACACAUAAAACCUAGGCUCUGAUACCACUGUUGGGGAACAUAGUAAUUUCAAAAAAAUUCCUACGCACAUGCAAGAUCAUGGUGAUGCAUAGCAACGAGAUGGGAAAGUGUUGUCUACGUACCCUCGUAGACCGGAAGCGGAAGCGUUAGCACAACGCGGUUGAUGUAGUCGUAAGUCUUCACGGCCCGACUGAUCAAAGCAUCUAAACUACGGCACCUCCGAGUUCUAGCACACGUUCAGCUCGAUGAUGAUCCCUGGACUCCGAUCCAGCAGAAUGUCGGGGAAGAGUUCCGUCAGCACGACGGCGUGGUGACGAUCUUGAUGUUCUACCGUCGCAGGGCUUCGCCUAAGCACCGCUACAAUAUUAUUGAGGAUUAUGGUGGAGGAGGGCACCGCACACGGCUAAUAGAUCUCAAGAAUCAAUUGUUGUGUCUAUGGGGUGCCCCCUGCCCCCGUAUAUAAAGGAGCAAGGGGGGAGGCGGCCGGCCUAGGAGGAGGGCGCGCCAAGGGGGGAGUCCUACUCCCACCAGGAGUAGGACUCCUCCUUCCCUUGUUGGAGUAGGAGAAAAGGAAAGAGGGGGAGAGGAACAAGGAAAAGGGGGCUGCACCCCUUGUCCAAUUCGGACCAGAGGGGGGGCGCACGCUUCCUUCCUUUUAGCCUCUCUCCUCUAUUCCCGUAUGGCCCAAUAAGGCCCAUAUACUCCCCGGCGAAUUCCCAUAACUCUCCGGUACUCCAAAAAAUACCCGAAUCACUCGGAACCUUUCCGAUGUCCGAAUAUAGUCGUCCAAUAUAUCGACCUUUAUGUCUUGACCAUUUCGAGACUCCUCUUCAUGUCCCCGAUCUCAUCCGGGACUCCGAACUCCUUCGGUACAUCAAAACUCAUAAACUCAUAAUAUAACUGUCAUCGAAACCUUAAGCGUGCGGACCCUACGGGUUCAAGAACAAUGUAGACAUGACCGAGACACGUCUCCAGUCAAUAACCAAUAGCGGAACCUGGAUGCUCAUAUUGGCUCCCACAUAUUCUACGAAGAUCUUUAUCGGUCAAACCGCAUAACAACAUACGUUGUUCCCUUUGCCAUCGGUAUGUUACUUGCCUGAGAUUUGAUUGUUGGUAUCUCAAUACCUAGUUCAAUCUCAUUACGGGCAAGCCUCUUUACUCGUUCCGUCACACAUCAUCCCGCAACUAACUCAUUAGUUGCAAUGCUUGCAAGGCUUAUAUUGAUGUGCAUUACCGAGUGGGGCCAGAGAUACCUCUCCGACAAUCGGAGUGACAAAUCCUAAUCUCGAAAUACGCCAACCCAACAAGUACCUUCGGAGACACCUGUAGAGCACCUUUAUAAUCACCCAGUUAUGUUGUGACGUUUGGUAGCACACAAAGUGUUCCUCCGGUAAACGGGAGUUGCAUAAUCUCAUAGUCAUAGGAACAUGUAUAAGUCAUGAAGAAAGCAAUAGCAACAAACUAAACGAUCAAGUGCUAUGCUAACAGAAUGGGUCAAGUCAAUCAUCUCAUUCUCCUAAUGAUGUAAUCCCGUAUAUCAAAUGACAACUCAUGUCUAUGGUUAGGAAACAUAACCAUCUUUGAUCAACGAGCUAGUCAAGUAGAGGCAUACUAGUGACACUCUGUUUGUCUAUGUAUUCACACAUGUAUUAUGUUUCUGGUUAAUACAAUUCUAGCAUGAAUAAUAAACAUUUAUCAUGAUAUAAGCAAAUAAAUAAUAACUUUAUUAUUGCCUCUAGGGCAUAUUUCCUUCAAUUAAUUGAUUCCACUUAGUAUAACCAGAGCAUGGCUGCUAUAAAGCACCCAACCUGUAUAGAUCCAUUGCACAUCCACAAAGAUAGAAAGCUACACAUACAACCGCCGGAAACACAACUCAUAAUUAAAACAAAAACCUCCUACAUAACAUAGUUUUUCUACAAAUCAAGGAUGAAGACUGUCCAGGUGGUGCUCAUAUGCCUUGUCCUUUCGGUGCUCUGUUCAGGUAUUUUGCCGGUAUGUUUUUCUCCACCGCACUUGUAGGAAAUAUAUUUCGUCUUAUCCAUGCUCCUGCUCUCGAAACCCCACAGGCAUCGCUGCUCGCUGUGACCAGUACAACGUCUCCAAGGCAUGUCCAAGCAUACCUUCAUGCACAACACUGUGCACCUAUAAAUAUAAGGCGGACACGGAUUAUGGUGUAUGUGCUGAUAACGGAUGCUGGUGCGUAGUCUGCGUGAUACCACCUACAGCUCAAUCUACGUCUGCAACCCAGAUUGCGCCUGCAGGGAAUUAAAGGAUAUCGCUUUCUUCCCUUUCUGCCUAAAUAGAAUAAAACAGUGUCUGAUUAAUGUAUUUUUCUCGUACCAACAACAUUGUAUCGAUGUAUCAUGUAGCAAGGACCCGCGAGGCAAAAUAACAACCUAUUAAUAUUGAGCGCUCUUUGGCGAAAUGCAUGAUUAAUCAAUUUGACACCGUAGAGGAUGUAUAAAUAUCCUUUCAUUGCGAGUGGCCAUGAAAAUACAUUUGUGGAUUUUUUUCCUCCAUGUUGAGAACAUUACCAAACCAUCGGAACCGGUCCUCCAUGCAAGUUGCAUGUGGACGGGAAAUUCACAGCCAAGAUAGUGAAUAAACAGCUCCAUAAGCAACCUUGUUCUGAUCUCGUCAAAACUAUCAAACCCAUCACUUCACACCAUAAACCUAGCAAGCCGGUUCAAAUCUGGUCGAGAAGAAGCCCUUGGGUCCUCGGUGGUCAUCUGAAAGGCAACUUGAAUCACAAAGAGAGUGUCCCUGAUGGACCUGCAGGGUCUGCAGCGACGAUCAUCGGCAUGGCAGAUCGAUCAUGAGAUGAAUGCUAAAGCGGCAAGCUAACAUUCAAACACUGGGUGAAGAAAGCUCAUGAAAAGUACCCACACGGAUAAUCCAUGCUAACCGAGGCCAGCAGCAGCAUCCAUGGCCAGCAUGAGUCCUUGGUGCACUAGUAGAAAAAGGCCCAUUUGUCCUGGUUCCAGAGGCCCUUAUGUCCCGGUUAUGGACCCGUGACUAAAGGGUCGGGACUAAAGCACAUGGCAUUUAGUCUCGGUCCUGGACAGAUGGGCCUCCAUGUGGCCUCUCCGCCGAGCCCAGGCAGGAGGGCCUUUGGUCUUGGUUUGUAAUACCAACCGGGACCAAAAAGUGUCCAUGCGUCAGCAGCUCAGGAGUUGGGGUUUUUCUUUUUUUUGGAAGGGGGGUUGGGGUUUUGGAGUUGUUAAUUGGCCUAGACAGCCCAUCUAAGGAAGCCACGGGAGGCGGUCGACAGAGCCCAAUCGCGCGAGUGGAUCGAGCACCAAGAUCCCAACCGAGGCAAGCGAGGAGGCGCGCGAGGAUCGAACGCGACGCCCUUCAGCCGAGGUUGCAAGGGAAGCCGAUCCAGCCGACGAAGGAAUCCAGCGGACACGCCGGAUGCGAAUGAAUUAGGGGCCAGGUCGAUAUGUCUAUGAACUGGGAAGGGGGACGCGGGCGAUGAUGGUCGGCAACCCAUCUGCUGGGAACUGAUCACAAUCGUACUUCAGUUUCUAAGAGCGCAUUCAUGGCGAUUGUUGUGCCCAUCGUUUCCGCUGUCGAGUGGUACUUCUAUAUUGUUCCUCUCAUAACAAUCCUCGGUCACCCUCUCUUCUCUUACAGCACACGCAUCUUUCAUCAUCAUGCUCCGGUAUUACUUAUGCAUGAUUCCUUAAGAUUUGUCAUUGAGGUUUACAAUCGUUCAUUAUUUUAGUUGUUCUUUCAGAUUCGUCAUUGUGCCCUACAUGAGUCUCUGUCAAAAUUUGCAUGUGUUAACUCUAUAAGUAUGUAUGUAUGCAAUUUGAUAUUUUAUAAUACUAACAUUUGUCCACUUUGUCCUAAAGUAGUUUUUGCUUCUUGGAGGUGAGCAGAGCGAAGGUAUCCCAUUAUCAUGAUUCAAAGGACUCAUGUUAUUCUCUUUAUUUUCAAUGCAACCGAUUCUGGUUUAUAUCUCUUCUUGGAAUAAAAAAAUGCAUAUAUCAACCUGGCUUCUUAUGUAGCUAUGUUCAAUCAACACAGCAGCAUGUUUUUGUUGGGUUGCAGACAUCCCUGUUCUGCGACAGGUGAUAGAUAGGGAAUUAGGAUUUUAGAAAAUUUGCAUACAGAAAUCUUCGGAAGUAAAACAUGUAAAUGUGGACAAGUAUGAAAGCAAUACAAAAGACAACAUUUUUAUUUUCAAGUUAUAAAGUGGAAUCCAUAGAUUACACAGGAAUGUUGUCUCCUAGAAGUGAAUAAUAACAAGACAUCCGUUCAUUCAAAUUGGUGAAUAUUUCUCAAGAUGGGUAAGAUUGACUUUCUCACAUAGAGUGCAGUAUUGUGACGGUCCCUUUGACUACAUACAUGUUUGUCUCUCUGUUGUGAACUUGCAAGACCUGGAAGAACCAGCAUAUUUGUUUAAAUUUCGAAAUCUUGGUGAUGUUGUUUUUUCCUUCUUUGCGCAUACUUCUCCUAUUGUUUUGGUGACAAACACUUCAUUGCUAAUCUGCCUUUCAAUGAAUAUAUCCUUUUUGGCUGAUAGUCCUCUUAAACCUUUAAAUCAGUUUUUUAACUGGUGCUCAAUAUAAUGGAUUGUAAUGGUCAGCUGCUUAAUAUAAGAGCUUGGUAACUUGACUUUAUGAAUUUAUCGUCCCUUUUUUGAAAUAUUUACUGUCAAUUAUAAGGUGGUGGGCGGCCUAGUGGAGGCUUAGGUAUGUUGAUGGUCCGUCUCCCUUGAUUCCAUUAUUUACAUCCUCUCGACUGCUAGCUCUCACUAGCUACCUGUAGGCAAAUAUUUCUCCUAGCCACGCCACACAUGGUGCUCGAGAACUGAUGCUGGUGAGCUUAUCGUUGCGUACAUUCUACUCAUCAGUUGGCUUUUUUAGUUGAAUACAGUUUUGCAAAUAGAUUAUUUAUGUAUGUUUCUUAGAAAACAUUGCUCCUUGAAUAAUACCCCAUGAUACUUAAACAAGCUCUAUGUCGUUUUUACUAGAUCAGUUUGGUGGUGGUUUAUAUUGAGGAUUUGAUCAUUGCUCAUGCAUGCUAAAAGAUUUAUCUGACAUCCAGUUUUGUUCAGGUACAUUUCAUUCUUUUGUACAUUGAAAACUAUUGUUGGUAUAUUUGAUAGCUAGACUGUGCACACAAGUGUAGAGGCCAUUAGUUAUGUUUUUCAAGCUAUGUUUGUAUCUGUUUGAAGAUUAAUUCUAGUCUGAUAUGUUCCAUUGUCAUCUGACAUUUAAUAGUAAAAUAUACUAUUGAAAAUUAGUUAAAUAUACAUUGAACAGUUGAAAUAAAGAAUGUCAUGUCAGAUAAGUUAAGCUGACUACAUAUUUGUCAAUGGCUUUCUCAAAUGUAGGUUUCAAAUCAGAUGUCAUUCAAAACUCAUCCUUGAAUUACCUUUAUACUUGAUUGACUGGACUACAUCAUGGAGUUGUCGUCUUUGAAGUUUGAUGAAAUAAGGCCCAUGGUUGUUUGCUUUCCACUCUUAAAUUGCCUUUAGUUUGAAAUAAGGCCCAUGGUUGUUUGCUUUCCAUUUUUAAAUUGCCUUUUUGACAGCAACAAAAAACUAUACUAAUAGGAGUUUUGAUUUCCCUUCUUCCUGUACUUUUUCUAUAUCACAAAGAAUUGUUCACGCCUUAUUUGUCCAUUUCGUGUUGACAUUUCAACUUGACCAUUACGAGAGCAGCAUGAUUUCAUUUAUGAUUAUUGUUGUUGUAGAGGUGUUAAAAAUAUAAAGGAUGAAAGUUGUAAUUUCAUGAAAGUACUUUGUAAUAUCAUCUUCCUUUGCCUGAUUGAUGUUGCUUUACAGUCUUAUUUGUCGGCAUUUUGUUCAGCGAGUUAAUGUUUUUUCCAUGUUGUGAGGUCAUAUAUGUUGCAGGCACAGAGCACCAAAGAUUUUUCCAUAGACACAAAAGCAAUGCUCCGGCUGUAGCAUCAAUUACACACACUCGUAUUUCCUAGGCUGCUAUAUAAAUAUGUACAAAAGGAUUGCUAUAUCAAAUACACAUUUAUGAUCAGUGCGUAUUAUCUUCCUUCUGACAAUGCUUACCCUGCUUAUAGUAAUCUACAUGGGCCUUGUUGGGGAUAUCACUACUGGGCGUAAACCGGCCUAUCUGGGCUGGGUUAACUUCGUCAGUAGUUAAGUAUGUUAAAGCCCAAGAAGGCAGAUGAGGGCUCAAGGCCCAUAGUCGGUUCAAGGCCUGUAGCCGUAAACCGGCGUUGGUAUUUAACUUGUAUUGUAAGUUCGGAAUAAGUAGAGACCAAACCGGACAUAUCUAUGAGCCGGUAUUGGGCCUCUGUGAACCGACGGACGUCACCCGUGUAUAUAAGGGGACGACCCGGCGGCGGUUCAUGGACAACAGACAACAACUCGAGACAUAGGCGAAGCUUGUUUGCUCCCUGGUCAUCGAAACCCCAUCAAUUCCAUCACAACUAGACGUAGGCUUUUACCUUCAUCGAAGGGGCCGAACUAGUAUAAACUCUCUUGCGUCCCUGUGUCUGCUUUAACCCCUUCAAGCUAACCCGCUGCGAUGGCUCCAAGACUAAGUCCUUUCUCUCGGACAUCUGCCGUGACAAAACCACGACAGUUGGCGCCCACCGUGGGGCUAUCGCACGAUGGUUUCAAGUUUUUGGAGGGCCGCUCUGAAGGACUUGAGGGCUACGCUGUAGGCCGGAUGAUUAAGAGUCGUCGCGGCAAGCUUUACAUCGACGAUGCAGGCUGGGGCCCCGAGGCCGGCUCAGUUGAGUACGGGUACCGGGUCCCCUUUGGUGGCAUACACGUUUUCAUCGGUAAGAUCAGAGAACCGGGCCCUGAGCCGGAUAUCUGCACCGACCUCGUCGAAACGGCUCAGCGUGCGCGAUCUGCCCGGGUUAAACCGUCCAUGAAGCGUGCCUUCGUGGGAGUCAUCCAUGUUGGAGGUCAUGAGGAUGGAUCGGGAUCUGGCGGCAAGACCGUCAUUUACUCCGGCGAUGAGUCAUCAACCGGAGAAACCGAAUCUCUAUAUCAGCUACAAGAUGGCCGGAUUGGUGGCUGUUCCGACGGCGACAGUAUUCCGGACCCCUCUGAUCUGCCCAACCGAGUUGGAAUAUUCAUGGCCGGCACACAAGCAGUGCUUCAUUCUUCGACCGCUGUGGCAACAACCUCCAGUUCAGCAGCGGCGACGGCUGCCGGGGCAGGAGGCCCUGUGCGCCCGCCGGCUCAAGUUCUAUCAGAGCUAUUUGAUGCAUUGGCUGUGCUUAUGGCGGAAGCUAAUCCGGCGGAUCAGGACGUCCACAACACGGAGAUUGCAAAGGUAAGGGAACAGAUCACCCAGGCCAAGGCGGACUUGGCAGCUGAGGAUACCAGGAUGGCCACAGAGCGGGCCGCUCUAGACGCACAAGUCUACAGGCUCAUGUUGGACCAGAACGCGUCGCAUGAAGUCAUGAGGAGGAAGUACCGAUCCCGUUUGCCUCCGGUUUUUGAGGCCAGAGACCUUUUCAACACCCCGGGAGCAGGAACCAGUAAUCCGCUGGAGGGAAACCGGGUGGAAGCUCCUGGGACUGGUGCGCCGGUUCAGCCUCGUCGGAUGGAUCCGCCUCGUCAAAACACCGUUAUACCUCAGGCUGUUUCAACACCUCCGGGUCACUACUCCAACCCAAUGGACAAUCUUGUCGCCGCUGCUGCACGGUUGGAGGCUAUUCCAAUUGAAGGUGACUCACCACAAGCGAUAGAGACGCGACGGGUCAAGGAGCUUCUUAGGACAGCUUUGGACCAAUAGGAAGCAUACUCGUACAACCGCGACCGGAUCCACUCGACCCCUCGCCCAAGCCGGAGCUAUAGGAGGCGUAUGGAGGAACCGGCAGUGUCAAGUAAUGAACGAUGUGGAGCACCCCGCGGCAACAACCCGGCGGGUGGUGCUGAUAACGCUCAGGAAGUGGUGAACCGGGCCCGAGCAUGCAGGGAGGCCGAGUUAGCCGCACAAUAUCAGGCUCGGCAGCUGACGCCGGUUUGUCCAACUAUUUCGGUCGAACCCGGUAUUACUUCUAGCUCUUUGGGGGUGCCUUGCCGUGUCCCCGCUUUAUGCAAUGUGCACCUGCCCAAGGAUUUCAAGGGCCCGCGCAAGGUACCAAAUUACACGGCGGAUCAACCCCUAGAGACAUGGGUGGAGAGCUAUGAGAUGGCCAUGGAGAUGCUGGAUGUGGAAUUAUGCGGCAUGUGCGAAAUACUUCACCAUGAUGCUUGAAGGAACGGCCCGCACUUGGUUAAAAAGCUUACCGGCCAAUUCUAUCAGUUCAUGGGCCCAAUUACGAACCCGGUUUAUCAAUAAUUUCAAGGAUACAUGUAAGCAGCCAAUGUCGAUAGUAGACUUAGCUGCCUGUGUCCAGGAGGAAGGAGAAUCGACGACUCAUUGGGUGCGCCGGGUCUCACAAGUGUUGCAUUCAUCAGACCUCAUCAACGCUGACACCGCAGUCUUAACCCUAGAAGGCAACUGCCGGUUUGGGCCCCUAAAGCUGAAGUUGGGACGGAUGAAGCGCCAUUGCACUGACAUGGGGACCCUCAUGGCUGCUUUGGUAAAGUAUGCUGAUUCUGAUAGUACCAAGGAUCUCGAAUCUGAUGAUGACAAGGCAGGGAAGGGAAAGAGGAACAGCAACUCCAAAGGUCAGCAGCAUCACCGGGUAGGCAAUGGUGGUGGAGGCAGGCGUAAAGAGGAUGGUAACAUGGACUUUGUGGCUAAUACCAACGCGCAGGACAAUGGCCAGCGAUGCAAGGGUAAACCGAAAAAUCGCAGUGGGGCACCCAACCCUAACCCGGACCGUCUAAAUUAUCUACUGAGCCAGCCCUGUCCAAGACAUGGGACGAAGGAGGUUCCAGCAAACCACCUUUGGAAGGAUUGCUUCAUUAUGCAGGAGUUCAAGAAUUCUAAUGCUUUCCGGUAUGAUCACGGCUCCGACGGUGGCUCAGGAUCCGGGCCGGGUUACGGUGGAGGAAAUCCCGGUUCAGGAUUUAACGGUAAUCCGGGCGGACAUAACAGUCAAAAUAAUCAUAACAACCAGGGUGGUUACAACCAGCAGCAGCAACAGUCAGGUUACUAGAGCAGCCCAAAGCAAUUGAGUAGUGGGCAGUACCAUGUCUUUACCACUAGCUUGGACAAGCGAGACCGGAAGGUUCAGAGGCGGGCAGUCAACUCUGUUGAACCGGCCGUGCCCUGUUAUCUACGCUGGUCUGAACAGCUAAUCAUAUGGAGCAGAGAAGAUCACCCUCCCUAGGUUGAUAAUCCGGGUCAGUUGGCUCUGGUGGUGGUGCCUCGGGUGGGAGGUUACAAGUUCACCAAAGUGCUCAUGGAUGAAGGGAGCAGCAUUAAUAUCUUGUACUAUGAGACCUUCCGUCGUAUGGGACUAAAAGAUAAAAAUCUCAAACCGUCUAAUACGGUGUUCCACGAUGUGGUACCUGGCAAGUCAGCAUAUCCUGUUGGUAAGAUAGCUCUAGAAGUGGCCUUUGGAGAUGACCAUGAUUCCAGGUCGGAAACAUUGACGUUUGAAGUGGUGAAAAUCCAAAGUCCAUAUCACGCCCUAUUUGGGCGACCGACCUACGCCAAGUUUAUGGCACGGCCAUGUUAUGUGUAUUUGCAGCUCAAGAUGCCGGGUCACAAGGGGACAAUAACGGUUCACGGAAGGCGUAAAAUUGCUUUGGAGUGCGAGGAAGAAGAUGCGGCCUACGCAGAGUCGGUUUGUGCCACCGAGGAGCUGAAGUAUUAUAAGGACAAUGUUGAUUCGGCGGACAUGACUCCAUUAAAGAAGCCAACUACGGAGCAUGAUCUAGCCCUGAAGUUCAAAUCGGCAGCAGAAACUAAGCUUGUUGACUUCGUACCUGGCGAUUCGUCCAAGCAGUUCAGCAUCAGUGCCAACUUGGAUCCAAAAUAGGAAAGCGCGCUCAUCGAGUUCAUCCGUGAGAAUCAGGACAUUUUUGCAUGGAAGCCCUCUGACAUGUCAGGUGUACCGAGGCAACUCGCUGAGCACACCCUUAAUGUGGAUCCUAAAUACAAAUUGGUGAAACAGUUCCUCCGCCGGUUUAACAAAGAAAGACGCAAGGCGAUUGGAGAAGAGGUAGCCAGGCUCUUAGCAGCUGGCUUUAUUGUUGAAGUUUUUCACCCUGAGUGGCUUGCCAAUCCGGUGCUGGUCCUUAAGAAAAACGGCACCUGGCGCAUGUGUGUGGAUUACACAGAUCUUAAUAAGGCUUGUCCAGCAGAUCCUUUUGCCCUCCCCCGUAUUGAUAAAAUUAUUGAUGCUACGGCGGGUUGUGAGCGUUUAAGUUUUUUGGAUGCAUAUUCUGGCUAUCAUCAAAUCAAAAUGGCAGUUAAGGACCAGGAGAAGACGGCAUUCAUAACUCCCUUUGGAGCCUUCUGUUAUGUGUCUAUGCCCUUUGGGCUCAAGAGUGCCCAGGCAACUUAUCAACGGUGUGUACAAAAUUGUCUUCACAAGCAGAUUGGCCGUAAUGUACAUGCUUACGUGGAUGAUAUCGUGGUUAAGUCCAGGGAAAAGGAGACUCUGGUUGACGAUUUGAAGGAAACCUUUGAUAACCUAAGGACGUACAAGAUGAUGCUUAAUCCGGCCAAGUUUGUCUUUGGUGUACCUGCAGGCAAGUUAUUGGGUUUUCUGGUGUCCAACUGGGGAAUUGAGGCUAAUCCGGAGAAGAUCACCGCCAUCACUUCCCUGGCUAAACCGAAGUGUAUCAAUGAUGUUCAACGACUGGCAGGCCGGAUUGCCGCGUUAAGCCGGUUUAUCAGCCGCCUUGGGGAGAAGGCAAUCCCUUUGUAUCAGAUGUUGAAGAAGACGGAUUAGUUCGUGUGGAGUUCCGCUGCUGAUGAAGCAUUUGAGGACUUAAAGCGGCAAUUGGCCAAUCCGCAUGUGCUUGCCGCUCCUAUUGACAAGGAGCCGUUACUGCUAUAUGUUUCUGAUAAUGCUCGUGCGGUCAGCGUCGCUAUUGUGGUGGAGCGAAAGGAGGCAGGUAAGGAGCAUCCGGUUCAACGUCCGGUCUAUUAUAUCAGUGAGGUACUCAUUGAGUCCAAGCAAAGGUAUCCGCAUUGGCAGAAGCUGGUGUACGGAGUUUUUAUGGCAAGCCGGAAGCUUAAGAAAUACUUCCAAGGGCACCCAAUUACGGUGGUCAGUUCUGCUCCUUUGGGGGAUAUCAUCCAGAACCGGGAAGCAACUGGCCGGAUUGCCAAGUUGGCUAUAGAGCUUGGGCCGCACGGAUUGAAGUAUGUGCCUCGGACGGCGGUUAAGUCUCAAGCACUUGUUGAUUUCAUCAAUGAUUGGACAGAACUGCAAGCACCUAAAGAAAAGCCGGAUCACACAUAUUGGACCAUCCAUUUUGACGGAUCCAGGCAAUUGGAAGGCUCGGGGGCUGGAGUCGUAUUAACUUCCCCACGAGGUGAUAAGUUUUGUUACGUUCUCCGCUUAAUGUUCCCUUGUACUAACAAUGCAGCUGAGUAUGAAGCCUUGCUCCAUGGUCUCCGGAUGGCUAAGGAGAUGAAUCUAAGUCGAGUUAAGUGCUUCGGUGACUCGGACCUCGUGGCUCAACAAGUGUCCAGCACUUGGGACUCCAGGGACCCACUCAUGGCAGCAUAUCAUCGUGAGGUGGAUACUGUUGCAGGUCACUUUAAGGGCUAUCAGGUGGACCACGUGGACCGACGGAAGAAUGAAGCGGCGGACGCCUUAAGCCGGCUAGGCUCUCAGCGCAAAUCGGUCCCGCCCAACGUUUUUCUGGAUGUGCUGCACAACCCGUCGGUCAAGCUCCCUGGUGAAGCGGAUUUGGCUAUUCCUGAUCCGGAGGCUCAAUUGGUGGCAGCUCUUCAUGUCAUUCCGGAUUGGAUGCUUCCUUACCUGGCAUACAUGAACCGGGGCGAGUUACCAGAGGAUGAGAUUCUGGCCCGACAGAUAAUCCGGUGGUCCAAGUCCAUGACUAUUGUCAAUGGCGAGUUGCAUCAUUGCAGUGUAUCAGGGGCGUUUCAACAUUGUGUGUCUCCUGAAGAAGGCUGUGAAAUUUUGCGUGAGAUCCACGAAGGAGAUUGUGGUCACCAUGCCGGUUCAAAAUCUUUGGUAGUUAAAGCGUUUCGCCAUGGCUUCUAUUGGUUAACUGCCCAUGCUGAUGCGGAGGAUCUGGUCAGACGAUGUGACGGUUGCCAAAAGUUUUCAAGACGUGCUCAGGUGUCGGCUCAAGAAUUGAGAAUGAUUCCAAUUACUUGGCCGUUUGUGACUUGGGGGCUGGAUAUGGUUGGGCCUUUCAAAAGGUCCAAAGAUAAGAAGACUCACCUCUUGGUGGCGGUUGACAAGUUUACAAAGUGGGUGGAGGCAGAACCUGUUAGCAAGUGUGAUGCAGCCACAAUGGUUCAGUUCAUCAAAAAAGUGAUUUUCCAGUUUGGCUUUCCACACAGUAUCAUCACAGAUAAUGGUACCAAUUUGUCCAAGGGUGCCAUGAUGGAGUUCUGCGAACGGGAGCAUAUCCGGCUUGACGUUUCAUCAGUGGCACACCCAUAGUCCAAUGGUCAAGCAGAAAGGGCUAAUCAAGAGAUCUUGAGAGGCAUCAAGCCCCGGCUCAUGGUUCCUUUGCAGAGAACGCCAGGUUGUUGGGUAGAAGAAUUACCAUCUGUGUUAUGGAGCAUCAAUACCACACCCAACAGAUCAACAGGAUACACAGCGUUCUUCAUGGUUUAAAGAGCGGAGGCGGUUCUCCCCAGUGAUAUCCAUCAUGAUUCACCUCGUGUGAUGGCUUAUGUUGAAGCGGACAACAAGACAGCACGGCAAGAUGCUUUGGACUGGUUGGAUGAAGAGCGUGACAUAGCAGCCGCCCGAUCGGCGAUUUACCAACAGGAUCUUCGUCGUUAUCACAGUCGCCGAGUCAGAACCAGAACCUUUCAGGAAGGAGAUUUGGUGCUUCGGCUCAUCCAAGAUCAGACUGAUAUGCAUAAGCUAUCCCCACCUUGGGAGGGGCCUUUCAUGGUCAGCAAGAAUCUGCCCAACGGGUCAUACUAUCUGAUCGAUAUUCGAGACAUAAAGACUCACGUACAUCAGAGGAGGAGACCAACAGGCCGUGGAACAUAGCUCAUCUUCGGCCUUACUAUACCUGAGCCAUUGGCUCUACUUAUGUACAUAUUACGACGAUGUAUAUAUUAUGAUUAAAUAUAAUAAACCGGAACCUCAGCUAAAGCGGGGUAUCUGUUCUUUUACAUCAUGUGUGGUUACACGGAGUAGUUCUAAAGCGGCCUCCGGUUUACCCCUUGGGUUAGCUUUUCAAAAGCAUCUUGUCAUAUCACUUGGGGGCUUGGUUGUGUCCGAACCAAUGCAAUACCUCUUGAUAGGCGAGAGCUACCAGAUCACUUGGGGACUUGGUCACGUCUGAACCAGUCAUGCCUCUUGAUCGGCCUAAGGCCACAGAAUCACUUGGGGGCUUGGUCGAACCCGAACCAUUGCCAUGCCACUUGAUCAGCAUAAAUGCCACGGUUUCAUUUGGGGACCUGGCUGACUUGAACCAUAGCUACACCUAUCGGGAGCUUGGUCGUGUUCGACCAUGGUAACGCCAUCUGAUCAGCUCAAAUAAGCCUCUUUUUGCAAACGGUUUUGCCAUUGCCUUUUCUUUACACUUUUCUUUGAAAGAUAUUUCUUUCUUUUUAUUGCGUUUUUUAAACCGACAAAAUUUUAAACCAGUUCACACUGUCUAUUGACGGAACAUGGUCCAUUUUUAAUCUGGAGACUAUUUGCUCGGUUUGAUUUUUUUUCCUAUUACGGAGUAACAUGGUGUUUAUUACAACCCGGCACGAUUUACACGGUAAACCGGCAUCAUAUAUAUAUAAGAGCUGCUAUCUCCUCCAAUAGUGUGGGUUUAUAAACCUCCGCUUCAAGAUUGGCCAAGCCAACUUCACGCCCAACGAUGGCAGGUAUUAUGUAUCUCAAAAAUUUGGUCAUAUACUUAAAUUUCAGAUGUUUUGAUUUCAUAUAUGCAGACAUCAUAUUCCGCAUGACGAUACAACCACGGUGGCACUUUAAGAUUUUUUAUUGCAGAAAGUACUUUGGAAAGUUCAUCACCCAAAGGAAGAGCAAGUUGCAGUAAUUAUGCACGAAGGCAUAUCAACAUCAAGAGUAUCAGCUAGCCUAUUACAAGGCAACACGGUGCCCACAAAUAAGAUCAUUUUUUCGCAAGGGAGAAGCAGUUUUAAACCAGCUUCCGGUUCAAGCUUGGUCACCAGCCUGGCCUGAUGGUUGUGGGUCAUCCGGCACCGCUUCAACUUCAGUUUCUCUACCCAGCGGCUGGAAAUCAACAGUUGUCCAGUCGAUUCCCAUUAAUGCUCGAAAGAUAGCUUCAUCAUGGAUCAGCAAUGACGGUUCAAUAUCGGGAGCGUAAGUACGCUUACGGAUUGGAGGGAUAAGAUUUUCCGUUUCAUGAGUUGGUGGAGCUACUCGCUUGUUUUGCUUGUCAUAUUGGGCCUGAUAAUGAGACAAGUCUGCUUCUUCAACCAAUUGACAAGCUAGCGGACGCACCUCUCGGUUUAUUGCUCGCAGAUCCGCUUCACUAAACUCUGACCCGUGUUCCUUCAAGCUGGGAUAGCCCUGAGCCGCUUCAAUAGGAUCAAAAUCCGACACCCAAGCUUUUGCCCAGAUUAAGGCAUUGAUCGCCGGUUCGAGCAGCAGAUUUCUUCAGCUCUUCAACCCGGGCAGGAAGCAUCGACAGUUUCGUCAGAGUGGGCGCCGGUUUGUUGUGGGAUGUAGUACAGAUGAUACGCUGUGCACCAGUGUACAGUUGUUCGAUCAACAUAUAGGCGGCUUUCAAUUUCUUCCGCACAUCUGACCCCAAGUGACCAAUGCGUUUCCCUGAAAUAUCAUAAAGGGUUAACAAACUGGUAGCUCUGUAAGACGGCACAAUCAAUUCAGAAGUCAAACCGGCUUACCAAAGAUAGCAGUGGUCAUGGCAUGCACGUGCCGCUUUAUGCUGGUCAGUUCAUCCGCCACCGGUUUUAGUGCAGCCUCGGCAUCUUCUGCUCGUUUGAUUAAAGUGGAUUUUUCAGUGGCCCAAUCCGCCCGCUUCUUCUUGAAGCUCUCCUUAAGUUGUUCCAUGACGCUUAAAGCGCUGGUUAAUUCUUCUUUUGCUUUGGAGGUUUCAGCUUGUUGGGAUUUCAGAUUUUCUUGGAGAUCGGCGACUUGGCUUUCUUUCGUCUUCAGCUCAGCCUGCAUGCAGACAGUUAUAUGAUUCAGCAAAACGGUACAAGGAUUGAAGUACCAACCACAUAACAAGUUAUGCACUUGGCACUUGGGGGCUAAUGCAUAUUCGAUCUUCAUCUUUCAAUUGCUUACAAAGUCCCAAGAUCAAUACAAGUAUUCAACUUGGCACUUGGGGGCUAAUGGCUAUUUGCUCGUAUAUAUUCUAAUGCCGCGAUAUCAAUUACUUAAAGUCCCGGUUUAACUACGCUAAGUUGAACCGACCCUUGGGGACUACAUCAGCGAAUUUCAAAGCAUUAAGAUUUAUAUUAGUAAGUCCCGGUUUGAAAGAAGAUUACAAAACGGCCCUCGGGGGCUAGGAGCGUCAACAAGAAUUGAAAUAUACAAGCAGGAAAGAGCAUAUGGAAGUUACCUCAUAUUUAUCUUUCAUCAUGUUAACCAGACCGGCUUCAUAGUCACGACUGGUAUACAGCCGGUUCAGGUAGCCGGAAUGGAUAGCUUGGGCGUUCAGAGUAGUGUAAGUCGCCAGAUCAGCAUUCCACUUGCCUUUGCCAAAGGCAGCAAAUUCUUCCUUGGCAGUAUGUUUGGACAAAGCGACAGGAUUGCUUGGCUCUGUAUGGCCAAUGCCAGUAAUGACAACCUCAUCAUCCUUGGCAUCGCCGGUUUGCAGUGGGGCUGUUGGCUUGUCAGUAGGCUUUGUCAGACCGGUGGAUUUCUCAAUCCGGAUGGAGCUUGUGGGCUGAUUGACAGGACUUGAGGUAUCAAUAGGUCUUUCUUCAGCAAUAAGAUCGUCGUCUUGCUGCGGUGGAUAAUUGGGUAUAUCCUCAGGAAUAGCCGCUUCAAGAUCUGGUGUUUUGCCCGGUUCAAGGACGGCAUUCUCUUCGGCCGCUUUGUCCAGGCGAGCCUUCUUGCUUGGCCUAGGCUUGGCCCUGAAAGGAAUAACAAAAUCAAAUACAGCAUAUGUUCCAAGGUGAUGUACUGCAAAUAUUAUGAUAAGUAUAGCUUACCCAAGCACCAUUUUGAGCGGUGGCAGCUGAGUAGCCGAUGACUCGCCAGAGGAUGAGUGGGAAGUAACCUGGUAAUCGGAGUCACAUGGAUUAAGAGGUUGACGAAAGCAGCCCACUUUAGGACAAGCACUGACAAGCAAAUUAGAGACCUCUGAACGGCGUUUCCGAACCGGACUGUUCGGUAAACCGACGGAGGUAACUACAUGGCUGCUGUGCCGGGUUGUGCGACGAGCUUUGUGCUGUUGGGUCUUCAUAAGAAAUUUGGGAUCCAAAUAAGCAAGAAGAUGAGAAAAUUUAACUUUCCGGUUUGCCUGACGGAUUUUUAGUGAAGGCAGAGGUUCUGAAUCGGAAGAGAGAAUAAUUACCUCUGCAGCAUCAGCAUGUCUGGCUUCGGCAUCAUCCUGACAAAUAUCAUCAUCAAUAAGACGCAUGAAAAAUAAGCCAAGUAAGUCAAGCCCUACCUCAAGGUUCGGAUCAUCCACAUCAUCAUCACAGCUUUAGUCUUUUGCCGGGUUGCUCUUUCCGGUUUGUCUGGUUUUUCUGGUUUCUCCUGCGGCAGUUUCUUGCUCCAAAACGGAUCAUUGCCCUGGUUACACAGACACUGAUAUUAAACAAUGACCAGAUAUAUCAAUAACAGACUCAGCAAAAAGAAAAAUCAAACUCUUACAGCUGGCGGUUUGUUGGUUGCACAGAAGGGAAGCAGGCCGGUUUUAGCACAGAUGUGUUCCGGUUCAUUCAGCAUCUUAUUCACAGCCUCUGUGAUUUCUUCGUCGGUGAGCUGGAUAUUGGCAUGUCGCAGUGGGUCAUCAACACUGCCAAUAUACUCGCACAUCAAACCGGAGCGCUGACUAAGGGGUAGUAUGCUCCAUGAUAUCCAACAGCGAGCGAGAUCAACCCCUGUUAAACCGUUGGCCAUAAAGGCUCUGAGCUUGGACAGUUGGGGAGCGUAUUUGCUUCUCUCUUUGGCAGUCAACCUUUGCGGAAAGGGGUGUGUAUUGCUAAGCCGCUCCGGACGAAAGCCAGGCAAAGGAUUUUCACCAGCAGGGGAGGUGUCUUUGCAAUAGAACCAUGUUUGAUUCCACUCUUUGGGGUCGCUAUGUAGCUUGGCAUGAGGGUAUGUGACAUCUUUCCUUUUCUGAAUCGCCACACCGCCCAAUUCCGUAUUGGAACCAUCAGAAAACUCAGUACGGCAGUUUAGAUGGAAACAGUCUCUGAACAACUCCACUGUGGGCUCCUCUUGAAAGAACGCCUCACAGAGCACUUGGAAGUGACACGUGUUUGUAACAGAGUUGGGACCAGUGUCUUGUGGGUGGAGUUGAAAAUCGGCUAAAACGUCCCGGUAAAAUUUAGAACCGGGCGGCUUAAAGCCCCAGGCUAAGUGAUCUACGAAAACGAUGACCUCUCCUUCUUGAGGUGUGGGAGGGCAUUCUUUGCCAGGAGCCCUCCAAUGGAUGGUAUCUUUGCUGCCUAAGGCGCCGAUCAGGACUAAAUCGUCCAGUUGAGCCUGUGUGACGCGAGAAGGAACCCAGUUGCACUCAUAUAUUUGCUUGGCCAUGAUGAAAUCUACAAGGUAGAUGAUCCCGGUUCAAAAAUGCAUUGAUUAAGGUACAUUGGUAUAUGCAAUGUUAAACCGGAGACAGAUCUAUCUAAACCAGAGUUUUAUGAAGCAACAACAUCUGGCGGUUCAACAAGGGGACUAAUGGUAUAUACAGGUAUGGCAAUUUUUUCUACAAAGUUAAACCGCCUGGUCUAAACAUUGAAGCAGAUGAGUAAGUUUAUAGAAACAGAUUUCAUAAGACUUCUCUAUAGCGACGGAUCUGAAGCAAGUUCAGAAAAUAAGGAAAAUAUUCAAGGUUCAAAAAAGAACAGUACUGAAUCAAUGGGCAGAGAUACAUAUAGAUCUAUGAUCUUGAGGCAUGAAACUGAAGGCGGAUGCUAAAAGCUACCGCUACACAGAGUAAGGAUUCACAGAUGCAUCUAGGAGUUAUCGUAUGAACAUGAAACAGGCGAUGAACACUAGAAGAACAUGAAGCCCUAGAGCAGAUAUGUGUUGAAAAGAACAGAAGACUUACUGGAGAUGAGAAAGACGCGGAAGGUUGCCGCGAUGCUCUGGUGCGCCCAGGUUGAUGCAGCGGCCAAGGUUGAUGCAGAGGUUGACGGUGGCGGCGGAGCUCCGAAGCUGGGCGACGCGAGGAAGACGAAGCAGAAGGGCACGGAGGGGAAAAAGAAAUGACCCUUCGGUCCUAUUUAAGGCAAGGGACAGGAGUCAGGCGCGAAAAUCAAGGGACCGUGGGUUUAGAAACGAAGAUGUCGCCUUAGUUGUCGCAGACCUAUUAAGGUCAUUUAUAACAGGUGACGUCACGCCGGUUUACAACGACCAGAGAAGAUGACAUCACGGUGGUUCAACAAACGACAAGGAUUCACAUGAACAUGUUCAAAUCAAUCUGGGGCCUAAUGUUGGGGAUAUCACUACUGGGCGUAAACCGGCCUAUCUGGGCCGGGUUAACUUCGUCGGUAGUUAAGUAUGUUAAAGCCCAAGAAGGAAGAUGAGGGCUCAAGGCCCAUAGUCGGUUCAAGGCCUAUAGCCGUAAACCGGCGUUGGUAUUUAACUUGUAUUGUAAGUUAGGAAUAAGUAGAGACCAAACCGGACACAUCUAUGAGCCGGUAUUGGGACUCUGUGAACCGACGGGCAUCACCCGUGUAUAUAAGGGGACGUCCCGGCGGCGGUUCAAGGACAACAGACAAAAACUCGAGACAUAGGCGAAGCUUGUUUGCUCCCUGGUCAUCAAAACCCCAUCAAUUCCAUCACAACUAGACGUAAGCUUUUACCUUCAUCGAAGGGGCCGAACUAGUAUAAACUCUCUCGCGUCUUGUGUCCGCUUUAACCCCUUCAAGCUAACCCGUCGCGAUGCCUCCAUGACUAAGUCCUUUCUCUAGGACAUCUGCCAUGACAAAACCACGACAGGCCUGGUUCCUUUUAAUAUCAAUAUUUGUCAUCAGAUUCUGAUAUACAUUGUUUCAGUCCAAAAUGUACAGGGUGGACAUUUUCUACAUUUAAUUUCGACUAAGACUUUCUUUUCUUGGUGGUAUGAUCACUUAUCAGCAAUUUGAUGGUUAUCUAUAUAUGUUGAAUUUUCAUAGCAUUUUAACCUCCGAUAUCAAUAUAUUUUCAUAAUAUAAAUUGUUCAAUUUCAUUUCCAAUGUAUUUUACUCAUAUAUUUUUAUUAUUUCAUAAUAUGAAUGGUAUGACAAAUAUAUGAUUUAGUCUUUUGCAAAAAAAAAUCUUGACUUGUGUAUUUUUCAAAAUUCCUUUCAUUCUUUUAAAAAUAGACGGGCGCGGCAACGCGCGCCAUCAAUGAUCUAGUCAUAAGUGAUGUCCCGACCAGAUUCUUUCAACGUCAAUGAUUUUACUUUUUGGCAAGAUACUUUGGAGGUACGUAAAGCUAUAGAUCAGCGAUGGAUCAACGUUGAGGUCAGGUAAAGAGGCGAUUUGUCCACUUCUUCUAGGGUGGCCGCUACGGUGGUGCCGGAGUGUCAGGACCCCGACUCAAUGCCACAUCGAUCUAGCAUGUAACACCUCAUAUCACUUUGCGGCCUCACGCACGGUAUUCCCACGGGUGUCGCCUUACCUUUGCCCGGGACCAUUUGCGCCUUUUGGCACACGUAUAUGACAGUGUCGCUAGCAUCCAUAUGAUAAGGAGCCCGGGCUGACAUGGCUAGUCGUAAACCCAAAGUGGCACAAACUUACAGGGACAGGCAUCCAUGACCCAGCAUCGAACGUGUCGGUCAUCAGCGAGUGAAUCCAGGCUGUAGCACUGGGCUAGCAGGACUCCGGUGAACCGGGCUGUAGCAGGCUAACAGGACUCCGGUAUUCAUCGCGUGACAUUUCCCCGAAGGGACAGACACAGGAACGAAGAAGGACACAUGCCGGCCAACCUAAGUGUUCCGGAGCAGUAGCAAGCUACCAUGGCUCAGUGGAAACACAAGGAGACAUUUCCCGGUAAGAGAGGCUACUAAAGAUAAACAACUAGAUGGUCAGAUCCCACACAUACCAAGCAUUUCAAUAACAUACACACAAUAUGCUCGAUAUGUGCAAUACAACAUGGCAUCACAAAAUGACUCUACGACUCAAGUAGUUUAUUCAAUAGGCUCCGAGGAGCGAGAUAUUACAAACAUGGGUCUCAUGACCCAACACUCAGAGCAUACAAGUCAAAGCACAAGCGGAAGCUAUCAUGUCUGAGUACAGACAACUAUAAAUGGAAAAGGCUGAGAAGCCUGACUAUCUAUCAGAUCCUGCCGAGGGCACAAGAUCGUAGCUGAGGUAUCAAGCUAAACGUCGAAGACCACGCGGAAUUACUAGUGAGACUGAAGUCUCUCUGCAAAAACAUAAAAUAGGCAAACGUGAGUACAAAUGUACCCAGCAAGACUUACAUCAGAACUAACUACAUAUGCAUCAUUAUCAACAAAGGGAUGGUGGGGUUUAACUGCAGCAAGCCAGCUUUGACUCGGUGGCUAUCCUAAACUACGACUGCAAUGUAACUCUUUUGAGGUGGCGCACACGAGUCCACAUAUUCACCAUAGCAAUACACCACUAUGGAUCCGCUCCCGUCCCCCUACGAGAACGCCAUCCAUAGCACUCACGCUUAUCUUGCGUAUUUUAGAGUAUCCACUUUCACUUGUCUAUGAACUGAUAUAAGCAACCCAGAAGUCCUUUUCCGUGGACACGGCUAUUCGAAUAGAUGAUGAUAACCCUGCAGGGGUGUACUUCUUCAUACAUGUUUCCACCACUUAGCGUCUGCACACGACAUGUGCUCGGCAGACUUCAAGCGAAAGCCGACGUGGGUGUAGACCACGACCUACCUAAACACUCAAGUCUCUAGUCCAGGUUUAUCGCCUAUUCGGGUUCCAUCCAUGAGGAGAUCCGGCCGGAGUUGCGCUCACAGCCCCAAACGAUGUGAACAGGGUUCCGUGACACCAAACGGGCGCCCGGUUUACCCGGCCACGUGCCUACCGCAUCACAGCCCACCCCUACGGUCAGCGCUGUCCACGGCCUCCAGCAUACUACAAACACCAGAAACUACUUGCAACUCCUGGACAGAGGACGAGGGUGAAUAAGAAGUCGAGCGGGGUCAUAUUUCAGGGCCCAAUGUAUGGUAGUAGCUGAAUCAUGGAUCACAAACACAGAACUCAGUUCCUAAGGACGGCUUCAAUGAGACAACCCACCAUGUACUCCUACAUGGCCUCUCACCGCUAGCUUUACCAAAUCGUAUUCACACACUUAGCUCACACACAGUAGGACAUGUUCACACACCUCUGAUUCAUCCCGGAUGAAUCAGACCUGACUCGACUCUAAGCAGUAGCAGGCAUGACAAACAAGCAUGAAUGAGUAGGCACAACAGGGCUCAAACAACUCCUACUCAUGCUAGUGGGUUUCAUCUAUUUACUGUGGCAAUGACAGGUCAUGCAAAGGAUAAAGGGGUUCAGCUACCGCAGCAAGUAACAGAUGAAUCGGUGUUGUCCUAAUGCAUUAAAAGAGAGCAGGAGCGAGAGAGUAGGAUUGUAUCGGAAUGAACAAGGGGGGUUUUGCUUGCCUGGCACUUCUGAAGAUAACAUUGAGUCUUCAUCAGUGUCAACGAUCACAUCAUCGGUAUCACGUCUAUCGAGAGGGGACAAAUACCGGCAACACAGAAGGGAACACAAUCAAUGCAAUGUACAAUAUGAUGCAUGAUCAUGACAUGGCAAAAUGAAUGUGUUUUGGGCUAAUGCAACUAGCAACAGAAUAAAUGAAGUUGGUUUGAAUAUAAAAUUCAAAUUCAAACUCCAUAUGUGAUUAUUCAAAUGCCAUUUAUAUGAUUUGUGCUAAACAGCAUCUAUAAGUUGUUCUAACAUGCAUGAAAAUGGUACAGAUGGAUUCCUUGAAUUUUUCUGAUAAUUUUUCAUAUAUAAAUUAUUUAAUUUGGAGUUACGGUUAAUUUUCUAUGAUUUAUUGAAGUUUUAGGCAUUUUCUGGAAUUUCCUGAAUAUAAUUAAAUCCAGAAAAUACUUAUGACAUCAGCACUGCGUCAUGCUUGCAUCAGCAAGUCAACAGGGCUGCCCCGGGUCAAACCUGACCAGGGGGUCCCAUUAGUCAGUGACUUAGGGCUCGUUUAGGUCGCUGGCAGGUGGGCCCGGUCAACAGACACAUCAGCCUGGUCAACUCCGACGUGUGGGGUCGGUCAAAGUGUGACGGGGCCAGGUCAAACUGACCUAUGGGGCCCACAAAAUUAGUACUAAUUUAAACAGAAAUUAAGCUAAUUAACUUUGGCACCGGGGCCCACGUGACAGUGGCACCAGGGGGUGAUUACCGGGGUGUUUAGGACCUAGUUAAGUGGCCACGUCGGCACUCGCCGGGGUUCAGCCGGCGACAACCAAACCAACGGCGGAGGCUCGCCGGAGUUGAGCUACAGGCAAUGGUUGGACGCGCGGAGGCCACCAGGAGGUAGCCCGUGCUCUUCCGCAUCCAACGGAGCAGGAAGGAGCGGACGGGGUGCGGUGUACUCACCGGAGUCGAGCUCGCGGCGGCGGCCGGAGCUCGGGCAACAGCGGAAAUGGUGCUAUAGGGCAUGGCAGGGAGCACCCGUGGUUGUUUCGGGUUCGCAGGAGCGCGGUGAGCACGCUGGUGAUGCUCGGGCGAGCGGCCGAGCUCACGUGCACGGAGCUCGUUGACCAUGGCGGCGGCGAGCCUCGGUGGAGGUGGGGAAGCUAGCUAGGGGAGGGGAACGACGGGGAUUCCAGGGGGAAAAUGGAGAGUGGCUCACGUAGGGACUAGCAGGGUCGACGACGAGGUCGGGGAAGCUCUGGACGACGCGAAUCGGAUGACGGCGGUCGUCGGGGCAGAGGACGAAGAUGGCGAUGUUGCAGUCGUCUGUGGCCUUCUCCGUCCGCGUGCGUCAUCUUGGAGACGAAGCAGAGUCCGGCGGUGACACAUGACCCAUCGGUGAAGCCUGGGGUGCGCGGUGGCUAUGGAUGCGACGGCGGCGCCCUCCGGUGGCUCUCGGUGGUGCUCCAAAUCGAGAGAGGGAGAGAGCUAGAGCGAGCAGAGAGAAGGGAUAGCGGUCGAGGCGGUCGAGGGCAUUCCAACGGUGCACUGGAGAGGUCGGGAGCGGCUGGGACACGUCGAAGCAGGAGGUGGCGACCGGCGACGCACGCUCUGCCACGACUUGUCCUCCUGGCGAGGGGUUGAAGACAAACCUGCCCCUCGCUAGGUUGGGCUGGGCUGGCUCUAGUGGACUGGGCUGCUGGUGGGCUACCAGGUAAGGCCAGGUAAGUUCUACUCCUUUUAUUUUUUUUUCUGUUCUGUUUUCUAUUUUGUUCUGUUUUGUUUUAGUUUAGUAAAAUACUAAACCAUUUUAAUAAAUUCUGUAGUUUAUUAUGUGGCUUACUAAAAUAUAUACAAAGCCACUCACAAACUUCCAGAAUUAUUUGGAGUCAUAUUUAAUAUAUAUUAAAUAUAAAUCCAAAGCAAACAGUUAUUGGAUUAAUUCAAAUGGCCAAAAUAAAUAUCUCUGUGACUCCAAAAAUAUUGGUUUAAAUUUUACCUCUCACCAAUAUUUCCAUGGAAUAACAGGAACAUUUUCUUGGACUCAUUUGAUGAAAUUUAAAUGUUGGUUAUUUUUAGAGGUCUUCUGAGGCUUUGAAAAUUCCUCAAUUCAAUUUCAUUUGAAUUUAAACAUGAUGCUCACAUGAGGUCUAGCCUAGUGCAUUACCAGAAGCUAGGGAUGUGACAACUCACCCCCACUAAACAAGAAUCUCGUCUCGAGAUUCAAGCGUAGGGUAGGCUGAAGGGGAAGCGCAAACUAGUACAAUCUUCACGAUCCAGGUUGCACUUCAAAUGAACGUUGAUUCGAUCACCAUUAUUGUCUUGUCGUCUUGCUCUGAGAACUCCAGCUAAUCAUGACAGCAAGAGGAAAAGGACAACUCCGGAAGAAUCGAUCUUCUCGAAGGUCGAACAACUCAGGAUUAACUCACGGAAUGAGACAUAGCAACAUCUCUCGAGCUGAGAGGCGAAGCACACAUCCAUAGGAAUGGAGUGAAGCAGAUGACGAAGGUUCACUAGGUAGACCACAAUUUCACGCUUAAGAAGGUGGUGAACGGUUGUCAACAUAGCAAGGAGUUGAGUUGCCAUGAUACCACGACGAAACAUCCUGGAGGAGGGUGAUUCGUAGAUUAUUAUCUUAAGUGGCAAAAAGAAUUACUUUUGAUUCAGAGAUCAUCGGAACUCUUUAUACCAGCCUAAGGUAAUCACAAGCGAUCAUUUGGAGGGGGUCGGUAGAAUGGCAUACUCGGACUUGGAUGAUGUGGAUUACCUUGUUGAAAACAACGUAAUGGAUGAAUUUUGCUUAUCACCGGAAAUGGAAGAGACCCAUGGUAGAAUGGCACAUUGGCGGUGCAAGCUGGGAACAAAAUGCAAAUGCUGGGAAUGAUUCUGGUAACUGGGGAAGAACCCAACAAUAGAGAGUGAAUUAACUGGUUGAAAAGGUCAUAACAUUGCCGAGGAAACUGAGAGGAAUCCUAGUUAGAGCCGAUGGUAACACGUAGCGCUUGUACGUGCUUUCAAGAACUUGAGCAUUUCCACAAUCAUCAAGGUUCUACCAAUAUCCGUGUCAAGGAUCCUGGCAACACAGCUUGCUACCAUGACGAAUGAUGAUGGAUGAUGCAGAUGCAAAGGAAGAUAAUACUUUCUCAGAUUUCACCUUAGCGAGGCCAAGGAAAUAAAAUCUGGAUGAUCGACCGAGAGACAUUUAGCACUCCGCUUCUAAUGUUCUCCUUGACGUGCUAGUGUAACCAUUCAUAGAUAUGGUUUGCUAACUAGAACAUCAAGUAAAGGUCGGACUUCGGGAGCAAUAGAAUCCAUAAGGAACAGUUACGGCGGUAAUCCUGCGAAAUCCUUAUGGGGAGGUGGCCAACUUCCUCAAACAAGAUACUACAAUAAGAAGUCUUCCGGCUGGGUGUGUUGGCCACGACAUCCAAUUUACCGGUUAUCGAGGAACCAAUAUUAUAGUUCUUGGGAGAUAUUCCAACCAUCAUAUCUGCCUGAGACUCAGAUCUGGUUGGUGUCAGGAUAUUCCAGACUCAUCGAGUCUAGGAAGAAAAAUGAAAGUUUGCAACACAAAUCGACGAGAUGACGUUGCGAGAUUCUCAGGAAAUGAACUACGAUAGCAAGCUCCAAAACAUGAGCUGGUUCUGCUACAAACAUGUCAAACACGUUGUCCCAGACAAGCAUACCCACAUGGUAGUCUUACAAUAAAACACUACCGAGUUCUGGUUGGGAACCAUCAUUGAGGAUAUAGGAAUCUUGUGCAGGAACUAGUAUUUGCACAGCAACUCCUUUACCUUGAACAAAUCAGUCAGUGGCUUGGUGUGCUAGGGAUACAUAUAGAAUGAAGGUUGCAAGUCUCCAGACCACAGAAUACUUCGCACAUGUGUAUGACUGACUUGGGAUGAUUCCAGAGGAAGCAAAACUAACUUUCUCAAAUUCACGGCGGCAACUUUCACCAAAUGCACGUGUAUAAGAGGAAGUCACUCCUUUCAUCAAACAAAUACUUCAUGAGCUAGCAUGAAGAAAAUGCUUUCAAAAGUUUCCAACACUAGCUUAAUGCUCAGCAAAAUUAUGGAGAAGGCAAGGAUGUUGUCAAUGGGCUCAACAACAAUUCUUCUGGGUUUCCUUUCAAAAGGAAUUCCAUAGUUAAGUGAACAAGUGAUAGCAUUGGUCAGACCUAAAAGAUAUAAUGGUGUAUGCACGAGGGAUCAACCACGAAUAAGACAACAUUACGAGCAUCGUUGGUACUGAUUUGAUUUGACGAUAGCCCACACUCAAAUCAAAGGAUUGAUAAGACAAUAGGUCCAGCAACUGAUCACAGGGACCAAUCGAUGAAGAUAUCAUCUUUCUUCAACACACACUACACAAGAAUAUCCCUUUGGAACGAACUAAGUCAGACAAGCUUUUAUCUUCCACUCUCCAAGUCGUUGUCUAACUUAACCAACUAGCUCAGGGAUAUCCAACACAGAUUCUUGGAGAAGGAUGGUUCACAAAAAACCAACUUGAUCACGAGCUCAACAUAGCGGUCAGGUGACAACCUGGUAAUACUUCUGAGAAGAUAUUCAGAGAAUCACGAGCCACCGAUAUGUUACUAAGCUCGAGAACAAUCUUGCUUUUCAGGGCAAGACGAUAUGAUCAAUAGAGCAAGAAUUUGAGAUAAUCCUAACUCAUCGAUCGAGGAGUGAACCAGGAGAAUGGACUAGGUAGCACGAUCAAUCUUAGAAUGAUGAUUCAAAAACCAACAUACUAAGAAUAAAAUUAUUAUCCUUUAACUACCAAGCAACGAGGUUGCUGGGAGUAUUGAUCUCACACAUCACAACUCAUUUGUCGGUAUUCCGGUUGCAUCAACACGAGGGCCGAGGAAUGACUAAUGAUGGUGAGAAGUAUCACUGUACCAAGAGUUCAUAGGAUGGUGUGCAAUUCCUAUAACAAUCUCGAUAUAGAAUAAGGUAAUACUCCAAGGUAGAACAGAACCAAAAGCUGGAUUAGCAAUUUGAUCUGCGGAGCACAACUUCUUUGACCCAAUCCUGGAUAUGGAAGAGGUACUGGAGUUUGUUUCUCCAAGUCAUUCAGGACAGAAUGGCUUGACGGACCACAAGAGUAAUAGACAUCGAUGAACGAAUGCAUGCAUACUCUUGACUAUCAAUUGAUAGACGAGGGUCAGAAUGCAACUAAAGAGAACAACUCAAAGGAACAUAUAAUUUUCUGAGUUGUGGAUGCAUAGAUUAGUAUGUCGAACCAAGUUCAACAUAUUUCUUCCGGAUAACCCAUGCAGAAAGGUAGAACUGGCAGAGUCACGAUUUAUGAAUGGAGAACUCCUCAAGAGUACUCUAAUUGUGAUCUUUUGAUCCAAUAAACAUCUGCCAUAAGCGGUUCAUAGUAUUUGGAAGAAGGAAAUACCACGGACCUCGAGGACUAUCGCAAAGUUACUAAUAUCCUAAAGGCACUAGCAAUUACUAUCAACAUGAAGUAAGUAGGGUGAAUCUCGGGUUCAAACCCAGGAAUAGAAUACCUACUACUAAGUAGCAUCACGGGAUGCUUUCGAGAAUGAUGGCCAGAAUCAUCACACUGGGAACACAAAUCCUGGCUAAUUACUAGAUGAUCCCCUAAGACACCUAGGGUCAUAAUAGUAACUCCAAUAUAAUGUCAAGGCAAUAGAAUACCUCAACUCAACAAUUAGUGUGAUUGAGCUGGCAUAAAGGAACAUCGAAACCAGAGGGAAAGGAUUUUGCAAAUGCAUCAGACUAUUUAGAAACCUGGGAUGACUCGGACAGCAUAACGGCUGUAAAUGCUCAGAAAAGAUUUGAGACAUUCACAAAAAUGGUGGCAUAACCACUCAGAAGCACAAUAUCAAGGUUUCGAGAUCAUCAGUUAACAUACAUAAGUAGUAGGAACUGGACUCAAGCUUAACGAACAAUCUUAUAAGUCUACGGACUAGUAAUACGUGAUCCUGAUAGAAAGAAGAGAAAGCCUAGUUUCUUAACCCCGUAGGAAAGAUAAGAUGACUCAGAUCAGAAGGCCAUGAGGUAUAAGGAGUAAAAAGAGCCUUACGUUCCAUCCCACAAUCAAUUCCCUUAUAUAACUAAAGAAUUUCUAGACUCAACUUCGACCAGUUUGGCUUGGUAAUCCUACAGGCAGUCAAGCUCUGAUACCAACGCUGUCAGGACCCCGACUCAAUGCCACAUCGAUCUAGCAUGUAACACCUCAUAUCACUUUGCGGCCUCACGCACGGUAUUCCCACGGGUGUCGCCUUACCUUUGCCCAGGACCGUUUGCGCCUUUUGGCACACGUAUAUGACAGUGUCGCUAGCAUCCAUAUGAUAAGGAGCCCGGGCUGACAUGGCUAGUCGUAAACCCAAAGUGGCACAAACUUACAGGGACAGGCAUCCAUGACCCAGCAUCGAACGUGUCGGUCAUCAGCGAGUGAAUCCAGGCUGUAGCACUGGGCUAGCAGGACUCCGGUGAACCGGGCUGUAGCAGGCUAACAGGACUCCGGUAUUCAUCGCGUGACAUUUCCCCGAAGGGACAGACACAGGAACGAAGAAGGACACAUGCCGGCCAGCCUAAGUGUUCCGGAGCAGUAGCAAGCUACCAUGGCUCAGUGGAAACACAAGGAGACAUUUCCCGGUAAGAGAGGCUACUAAAGAUAAACAACUAGAUGGUCAGAUCCCACACAUACCAAGCAUUUCAAUAACAUACACACAAUAUGCUCGAUAUGUGCAAUACAACAUGGCAUCACAAAAUGACUCUACGACUCAAGUAGUUUAUUCAAUAGGCUCCGAGGAGCGAGAUAUUACAAACAUGGGUCUCAUGACCCAACACUCAGAGCAUACAAGUCAAAGCACAAGCGGAAGCUAUCAUGUCUGAGUACAGACAACUAUAAAUGGAAAAGGCUGAGAAGCCUGACUAUCUAUCAGAUCCUGCCGAGGGCACAAGAUCGUAGCUGAGGUAUCAAGCUAAACGUCGAAGACCACGCGGAAUUACUAGUGAGACUGAAGUCUCUCUGCAAAAACAUAAAAUAGGCAAACGUGAGUACAAAUGUACCCAGCAAGACUUACAUCAGAACUAACUACAUAUGCAUCAUUAUCAACAAAGGGAUGGUGGGGUUUAACUGCAGCAAGCCAGCUUUGACUCGGUGGCUAUCCUAAACUACGACUGCAAUGUAACUCUUUUGAGGUGGCGCACACGAGUCCACAUACUCACCAUAGCAAUACACCACUAUGGAUCCGCUCCCGUCCCCCUACGAGAACGCCAUCCAUAGCACUCACGCUUAUCUUGCGUAUUUUAGAGUAUCCACUUUCACUUGUCUAUGAACUGAUAUAAGCAACCCAGAAGUCCUUUUCCGUGGACACGGCUAUUCGAAUAGAUGAUGAUAACCCUGCAGGGGUGUACUUCUUCAUACAUGUUUCCACCACUUAGCGUCUGCACACGACAUGUGCUCGGCAGACUUCAAGCGAAAGCCGACGUGGGUGUAGACCACGACCUACCUAAACACUCAAGUCUCUAGUCCAGGUUUAUCGCCUAUUCGGGUUCCAUCCAUGAGGAGAUCCGGCCGGAGUUUCGCUCACAGCCCCAAACGAUGUGAACAGGGUUCCGUGACACCAAACGGGCGCCCGGUUUACCCGGCCACGUGCCUACCGCAUCAUAGCCCACCCCUACGGUCAGCGCUGUCCACGGCCUCCAGCAUACUACAAACACCAGAAACUACUUGCAACUCCUGGACAGAGGACGAGGGUGAAUAAGAAGUCGAGCGGGGUCAUAUUUCAGGGCCCAAUGUAUGGUAGUAGCUGAAUCAUGGAUCACAAACACAGAACUCAGUUCCUAAGGACGGCUUCAAUGAGACAACCCACCAUGUACUCCUACAUGGCCUCUCACCGCUACCUUUACCAAAUCGUAUUCACACACUUAGCUCACACACAGUAGGACAUGUUCACACACCUCUGAUUCAUCCCGGAUGAAUCAGACCUGACUCGACUCUAAGCAGUAGCAGGCAUGACAAACAAGCAUGAAUGAGUAGGCACAACAGGGCUCAAACAACUCCUACUCAUGCUAGUGGGUUUCAUCUAUUUACUGUGGCAAUGACAGGUCAUGCAAAGGAUAAAGGGGUUCAGCUACCGCAGCAAGUAACAGAUGAAUCGGUGUUGUCCUAAUGCAUUAAAAGAGAGCAGGAGCGAGAGAGUAGGAUUGUAUCGGAAUGAACAAGGGGGGUUUUGCUUGCCUGGAACUUCUGAAGAUAACAUUGAGUCUUCAUCAGUGUCAACGAUCACAUCAUCGGUAUCACGUCUAUCGAGAGGGGACAAAUACCGGCAACACAGAAGGGAACACAAUCAAUGCAAUGUACAAUAUGAUGCAUGAUCAUGACAUGGCAAAAUGAAUGUGUUUUGGGCUAAUGCAACUAGCAACAGAAUAAAUGAAGUUGGUUUGAAUAUAAAAUUCAAAUUCAAACUCCAUAUGUGAUUAUUCAAAUGCCAUUUAUAUGAUUUGUGCUAAACAGCAUCUAUAAGUUGUUCUAACAUGCAUGAAAAUGGUACAGAUGGAUUCCUUGAAUUUUUCUGAUAAUUUUUCAUAUAUAAAUUAUUUAAUUUGGAGUUACGGUUAAUUUUCUAUGAUUUAUUGAAGUUUUAGGCAUUUUCUGGAAUUUCCUGAAUAUAAUUAAAUCCAGAAAAUACUUAUGACAUCAGCACUGCGUCAUGCUUGCAUCAGCAAGUCAACAGGGCUGCCCCGGGUCAAACCUGACCAGGGGGUCCCAUUAGUCAGUGACUUAGGGCUCGUUUAGGUCGCUGGCAGGUGGGCCCGGUCAACAGACACAUCAGCCUGGUCAACUCCGACGUGUGGGGUCGGUCAAAGUGUGACGGGGCCUGGUCAAACUGACCUAUGGGGCCCACAAAAUUAGUACUAAUUUAAACAGAAAUUAAGCUAAUUAACUUUGGCACCGGGGCCCACGUGACAGUGGCACCAGGGGGUGAUUACCGGGGUGUUUAGGACCUAGUUAAGUGGCCACGUCGGCACUCGCCGGGGUUCGGCCGGCGACAACCAAACCAACGGCGGAGGCUCGCCGGAGUUGAGCUACAGGCAAUGGUUUGACGCGCGGAGGCCACCAGGAGGUAGCCCGUGCUCUUCCGCAUCCAACGGAGCAGGAAGGAGCGGACGGGGUGCGGUGUACUCACCGGAGUCGAGCUCGCGGCGGCGGCCGGAGCUCGGGCAACAGCGGAAAUGGCGCUAUAGGGCAUGGCAGGGAGCACCCGUGGUUGUUUCGGGUUCGCAGGAGCGCGGUGAGCACGCUGGUGAUGCUCGGGCGAGCGGCCGAGCUCACGUGCACGGAGCUCGUUGACCAUGGCGGCGGCGAGCCUCGGUGGAGGUGGGGAAGCUAGCUAGGGGAGGGGAACGACGGGGAUUCCAGGGGGAAAAUGGAGAGUGGCUCACGUAGGGACUAGUAGGGUCGACGACGAGGUCGGGGAAGCUCUGGACGACGCGAAUCGGAUGACGGCGGUCGUCGGGGCAGAGGACGAAGAUGGCGAUGUUGCAGUCGUCUGUGGCCUUCUCCGUCCGCGUGCGUCAUCUUGGAGACGAAGCAGAGUCCGGCGGUGACACAUGACCCAUCGGUGAAGCCUGGGGUGCGCGGUGGCUAUGGAUGCGACGGCGGCGCCCUCCGGUGGCUCUCGGUGGUGCUCCAAAUCGAGAGAGGGAGAGAGCUAGAGCGAGCAGAGAGAAGGGAUAGCGGUCGAGGCGGUCGAGGGCAUUCCAACGGUGCACUGGAGAGGUCGGGGGCGGCUGGGACACGUCGAAGCAGGAGGUGGCGACCGGCGACGCGCGCUCUGCCACGACUUGUCCUGCUGGCGAGGGGUUGAAGACAAACCUGCCCCUCGCUAGGUUGGGCUGGGCUGGCUCUAGUGGACUGGGCUGCUGGUGGGCUACCAGGUAAGGCCAGGUAAGUUCUACUCCUUUUAUUUUUUUUUCUGUUCUGUUUUCUAUUUUGUUCUGUUUUGUUUUAGUUUAGUAAAAUACUAAACCAUUUUAAUAAAUUCUGUAGUUUAUUAUGUGGCUUACUAAAAUAUAUACAAAGCCACUCACAAACUUCCAGAAUUAUUUGGAGUCAUAUUUAAUAUAUAUUAAAUAUAAAUCCAAAGCAAACAGUUAUUGGAUUAAUUCAAAUGGCCAAAAUAAAUAUCUCUGUGACUCCAAAAAUAUUGGUUUAAAUUUUACCUCCCACCAAUAUUUCCAUGGAAUAACAGGAACAUUUUCUUGGACUCAUUUGAUGAAAUUUAAAUGUUGGUUAUUUUUAGAGGUCUUCUGAGGCUUUGAAAAUUCCUCAAUUCAAUUUCAUUUGAAUUUAAACAUGAUGCUCACAUGAGGUCUAGCCUAGUGCAUUACCAGAAGCUAGGGAUGUGACACGGAGUUGAGUGACGAGCAUUGGUAUCUUGCUCAAGGGUUUCUUCAGCCGAGAUUGUAAUUUUCUUUCUCGAGUAGCUAAGGAUAGUUUUUGCAAUAGCUAGGGUUGUCGUAUCUUUUUUGGUUAUGUCAAGUUGGUUUUUCAGUGGAUCGUAAUUUGAUAUUUAUUUUAUAAAUGAGACACACAUUACAUCGAGAAAAUAAUCAAGGCUACAGAUCAACAUGACCUCGUCUGUCCCGCAUGACCGCUCAGGACCUGUGUAGUGCGUACGCCGGAUCGUAUGCUCAUACAUGAUAUUAGAGCAACUCUAGCAGACCCCGCAUCCCGUCCUGAUCCGCAAAAUAACCGCCAAAGUGCGGGUCGGGGCUUGAAAAACGUCCCGAUCAGACCCCGCAUCCUGCCUCGGCCCGCAAAUGUUUUUGCAGGGUGCGGCAAAACAUCUCCCCCAACCUCUAGAUUCAUGGGCUAGAGGGACGACCCGAGCUCAGCCCCUAUCCGCAGCGAGAUUUGGCGGGAGGGACAUUUCCGCGCGGCCAUUCCCGCUCCCCCCCGCCCUCCGCCACCAUUGCCCCGCCAUCACACGCUCCCUAGCAGUCCUUCCCUGCCAUGGAUGACUCCCUGUUGUCCCACGUCACCGUCGAGGUCGCUGGUGCUCCUUCUCCUCGGGCGGAUCUCGUCGCCAGCCCAAUUGGCCCCGCUGUUGCCCAAGGUCAAGUCGCGCCUGCCCGCAAGCGGCAGGGCAACAUGGUCAUGCAGGGCAGCGCUCCGGCAGUCCCCGCUGCGAGGGCCCGCGCUCCGGCCACCAACGCUGCUGCGCAAUCUCCGCCGGCGGCGGAGAAGGUCGCCAAGGUCGCCGGCGUCAAGAGGAAGAAGAUUCCAGCCACAAACAAGCCGCCUCCUUCAUCCGCUCACUCCGGCCCGGAAAGAGGUGCCCCGGCGAUGCCGCUCAACGGUGCUGCUCCCCCCCGCAAGCUAUGUGUCUUUGGUCAUGGCAAUUUUCUUUGCUUUUCGCCAUUUUGCGAUAGCUCGUGACUUGUUGUGCUUCACUAUAGCGGUGAUUCGAACAAUGCAACUGCCGAGUUCAUGAACUUGUUGGACACCAACGCCGUUCACAUUGAUCAAGUCCCGUUUGAAGCAUUCGACUACAAUGAAACAGAGGCCAGCGUGGAAGAUCAUUGUUUUUAGGACGAUUUAGAGGAGAUCGAAGCGGAAGCAUAUGAGCAAUCGCAAACAAAAACUGGGAAAAGCCAGAGAUUGAAGAACUACAUGAUCUUGGAAGAUCAAGUUCUCAUGAAUGCAUGGAGUGCGGUGUCUCUUGAUGCAUGCACGGGUACUUCUCAAACCGCCAAGAGGUAUUGGCAAAGGAUCAAAGAUCAAUACUUCCGCAUGAUGGCAAAGUACCCCAAUAGAACUCCACGCACAUUUCGGUCUCUUCAUGGUCGUUGGGACAAUAUCAAGCCUAUGUGCAGCCGUUGGGCAGCUUGCUUGGAGAGCAAGUACGCAAUGCACCUCCAAGUGGAGCCGUGGAAUCCGAGUAUGUGAGUAUGUUUUGCCUUUGUUCAACUUGUGCAUCAUCAUAUUACAUCAUAUGAAAUGAUUGCAUCAUUUCACUUUUUUCACAUUGUGUAGAAAAAAAUUGCCCAACAUAGAUACAAAUACAUGGAAGCUUCGGAAGGCAAAUUCUUCAAACUAUAGCAUUGUUGGGAGUUGCUCCAAAAGUGCGAUAACUGGAAGUUGAUCGAGAAAGAAUCCCCAUAGAAGAGAGGCUCACUUACAAACAUGGAUGAUGAUGAGGAUGAUGAUGGCCCAAGAAAUUUGAACACGCCCGAUGGUGACAAGAAGACUAAGGAGAAGAUGAAGAGAGAGCAUGAAGCAUCAAGCUUGAGGGAGAAGAUUGAUGCCAUGGUGUAAUCAAAUGAGUUGAUGUUGUUGAAGUCAUUGGAGAUCAAGAAAGAGUUGGCCGAGAAGAAGGCAAAGGAGAAGCAAGAAAAGUGGCAAUUGCUCAGGGAAGAGGGGCUGCACAAAGCGACCAUUGAGGAUAGAAGAGCACGUGCCGAUGAAAACAAAGCCAUGUCCAAGUUGAUCGCCGAAGAGAACAAGAUCAUGUCAAUGAACCGUAAUGACAUGGACGACCUCACCCAAACAUGGCAUGAUAUGGCAAGGAGAGAAAUCUUGAAGAGGAGAAUGGUUGUGUCGGCCGGUGCAUGUUAUAGUUCCAGAGAUGUUUUCUCUGCUGGCAAUGUCGAUGAUUCGGUGUGGGAGUUGGAACAAGCGCCGGAGGUGGAUUCGGUGGUGGUAAUGAACUUCGAGAUGGACUCGAUGGCGUGGAGUGAAGAUCGACCAAGAUGAUGCCGGACGUGGUCGUCACUUUUGCAAGACCCUCUUUUGCGUUAGUCCUACUAAACUGAGGCUUUUAUUUGCGCGUAAACUGUGUUAUGUUGUUUGAAUUUGAACUUAUUCGUGGGCACCAAUUUCAAAUUUGAGACGUUUUCUGUUUGCGGGUCGACGCGGCGGUGCCCGUGCAGACACCGCAAAAGCCAACCCGUAAAAAAGUAUAUUCCGCGAAUAUCCUUUUAUACGGGUCCGUUUGGGGGUCUGCAUCUGCGGCCGUGCGAGCCAGCCCACAAAAGCCGUUUUCCACAAACUGCAAAUGUGUUUUGCGGGCCGACCGGAUGCGGGGUCUGGUAGAGUUGCUUGUCAGUACUUCAUAUGUUCAUAUCCAUAACCAAAAUAAUAGGUGCGGAUAAGCAUGUCUUAAUUAACCACCAUAAAAUGGGAUACUAAUAGGAUCCAGUUUAUCCCCUAUACUUAGCAAAACUAUAAAUUUAUACUAACGAACUAGAAUAAUAAUAAGCUUCGCAUCCACCCAUUUACCUGUUUUAAUGUUUCAAUAAAUGUUAUUAAUUGAUUCCACUUAGUAUAACCAGAGCAUGGCUGCUAUAAAGCACCCAGCCUGUAUAGAUCCAUUGCACAUCCACAAAGAUAGAAAGCUACAGAUACAACCGCCGGAAACACAACUCCUAAGUAAAACAAAAAUCUCCUACAUAACAUAGUUUUUCUACAAAUCAAGGAUGAAGACUGUCCAGGUGGUGCUCAUAUGCCUUGUCCUUUCGGUGCUCUGUUCAGGUAUUUUGCCGGUAUGUUUUUCUCCACCGCACUUGUAGGAAAUAUAUUUCGGCAUAUCCGUGCUCCUGCUCUCGAAACCCCGCAGGCCUCGCUGCUCGUUGUGCCCAGUACAACGUCUCCAAGGCAUGUCCAAGCAUAGCUUCAUGCACAUCACUGUGCACCUAUACAUAUAAGGCGGACACAGUAUAUGGUGUAUGUGCCGAUAACGGAUGCUGGUGCGUAGUCUGCGUGAUACCACCUGCAGCUCAAUCUGCGUCUGCAGCCCAGAUUGCGCCUGCGGGGAAUUAAAGGAUAUCGCUUGCUUCCCUUUCUGCCUAAAUAGAAUAAAACAAUGUCUAAUUAAUGUAUUUUUCUCGUACCGACAACAUUGUAUCGGUGUAAGGACCUGCGAGGCAAAAUAACAUCCUAUUAAUAUUGAGCGCUCUUUGGCGAAAUGCAUGAUUAAUCAAUUGGACACUAUAGAGGAUGUAUAAAUAUCCUUUCAUUGCGAGUGGCCAUGAAAAUACGUUUGUGGUUUUUUUUUCUCCAUGUUGAGAACAUUACCAAACCAUUGGAACCGGUCCUCCAUGCAAGUUGCAUGUGGAUGGGAGAUUCACAGCCAAGAUAGUGAAUAACCAGCUCCAUAAGCAACCUUGUUCUGAUCUCGUCAAAACUAUCAAACCCAUCACUUCACACCAUAAACCUGGCAAGCCGGUUCAAAUCUGGUCGAGAAGAAGCCCUUGGGUCCUCGGUGGUCGUCUGAAAGGCAACUUGAAUCACAAAGGGAGUGUCCCUGACGGACCUGCAGGGUCUGAAGUGACGAUCAUCAGCAUGGCGGAUCGAUCAUGAGAUGAAUGCUAAAGCGGCAAGCUAACAUUUGGCAAACGUUGGGUGAAGACAACUGAUGAAAAGUACCCACACGGAUAAUCCAUGCUAACCGAGGCCAGCAGCCGCAUGCAUGGCCAGCACGAGACCUUGGUGCACUAGUAGAAAAAGGUCCAUUUGUCCCGGUUCCAGAGGCCCUUCUGUCCUGGUUUUGGACCCGGGACUAAAGCCCAUGACCUUUAGUCCCAAUUCUCUUACGAACCGGGACAGAUGGGCCUCCAUGUGGCCUCUCCGCCGAGCCCGGGCAGGAGGGCCUUUGUUCCCGGUUCGUAACCCCAACCGGGACCAAAAAGUGUCCACGCGUCAGCAGCUCAGGAGCUGGGGCUUUUGUUUUUUUUUUGAAGGGGGGAGGUUGGGGGUUCUGGAGUCGUUAAUUGGGCCAGACAGCCCAUCUAAGGAAGCCACAGGAGACGGUCGACGGAGCCCAGUCGCGCGAGUGGAUCGAGCACCAAGAUCCCUACCGAGGCGAGCGAGGAGGAGCGCGAGAAUUGAACACGACGCCCUUCAUCCGAGGUUGCAAGGGAAGCUGAUCCAGCCGACGAGGGAAUCCAGCGGACAUGCCGGAUGCGGAUGAAUCAGAGGCCCAGUCGAUCCGUCUAUGAAGUGGGAAGGGGGACGCGGGCGAUGAUGUUCGGCAACCCAUCUGUUGGGAACUGAUCGCAAUCGUACUUUAGUUUCUAAGAUCACAUUCAUGGCGAUUGUUGUGCCCAUCCUUUCCGCUGUCGAGUGGUACUUCUAUAUUUUUCCUCCCAUAACAAUCCUCGGUCACCCUCUCUACUCUGACAUCACAAGCAUCUUUCAGCAUCAUGCUCUGGUAUUACUUAUGCAUGAUUCGUGAAGAUUUGUCAUUGAGGUUUACAAUCGUUCAUUAUUAUACUUGUUCUUUUAGAUUUAUCAUUGUGCCCUACAUGAGUCUCUGUCAAAAUUUGCAUGUGUUAAUUCUGUAUGUAUGCAAUUUGAUAUUUUAAAAUACUAACAUUUGUCCACUUUGUCCUAAAGUAGUUUUUGCUGCCUGGAGGUGAGCAAAGCGAAGGUAUCCCAUUAUCAUGAUUCAGAGGACUCAUGUUAUUCUCUUUAUUGUUAGUGCAACCGACUCCGGUUUAUAUCUCUUCUUGGAAUAAAAAAAUGCAUAUAUGGACCUGACUUCUUAUGUAGCUAUGUUCAAUCAACACAUCAGCAUGUUUUUGUUGGGCUGCAGACAUCCCCGUUCUGCGAUAGGUGCUACAUAGGGAAUUAGGAUUUUACAAAAUUUGCAUACAGAAAUCUUCGGAAUUAAAACAUGUAAAUGUGGACAAGUAUGAAAGAAUACAAAAGACAACAUUUUUAUUUUCAAGUUAUAAAGUGGAAUCCAUAGAUUACAAAGGAAUGUUAUCUCCUAAAAGUGAAUAAUAACAAGACAUCCGUUCAUUCAAAUUUGUGAAUAUUUCUCAAGAUGGGUAAGAUUGACUUUCUCAGAUAGAGUGCGGUAUUGUGACGGUCCCUUUGACUACAUACAUGUUUGUCUCUUUGUUGUGAACAAGCAAGACCUGGAAGAACCAACCUAUUUGUUUAAAUUUCGAAAUCUUGGUGAUGUUGUUUUUCCUUCUUUGCGUAUACUUCUCCUAUUGUUUUGGCGACAUACACUUCAUUGCUAAUCUGCCUUUCAAUGACUAUAUCCUUUUUGGCUGAUAGUCCUCUUAAACCUUUAAAUCAGUUUUUUUAACUGGUGCUCAAUAUAAUGGAUUGUAAUGGUAAGCUGCUUAAUAUAAGAGCUUGGUAACUUGACUUUACGAAUUUAUCGUCCCUUUUUUGAAAUAUUUACUGUCAAUUCUGAGGUGGUGGGCAGCCUAGUGGAGGCUUAGGUAUGUUGAUGGUCCAUCUCCCUUGAUUCCAUUAUUUACAUCCUCUCGACCGCUAGCUCUCACUAGCUACCUGCAGGCACAUAUUUCGCCUAGCCACGCCACACAUGGUGCUCGAGAACUGAUGCUGGUGAGCAUAUCGUUGUGUACAUUCUACUCAUGGGUAAGAUUUUUUAGUUGAAUACAGUUUUGCAAACAGAUUACUUAUGUAUGUUUCUUAGAAAACAUUGCUCCUUGAAUAAUACCCCAUGAUACUUAAACAAGCUCUAUGUCGUUUUUACUAGAUCAGUUUGGUGGUGAUUUAUAUUGAGGAUUUGAUCAUUACUCAUGCAUGCUAAAAGAUUUAUCUGACAUCCAAUUUUGUUCAGGUACAUUUCAUUCUUUUGUACAUUGAAAACUAUUGUUGGUAUAUUUGAUAGCUAGACUGUGCACAUAAGUGUAGAGGCCAUUAGUUAUGUUUUUCAAGCUAUGUUGGUAUCUGUUUGAAGAUUAAUUCCAAUCUGAUAUGUUCCAUUGUCAUCUGACAUUUAAUAGUAAAAUAUACUAUUGAAAAUUAGUUAAAUAUACAUUGAAUAGUUCAAAUAAAGAAAUGCCAUGUCAGAUAAGUUAAGGUGACUACAUAUUUGUCAAUGGCUUUCUCAAAGGUAGGUUUCAAAUCAGAUGUCAUUCAAAACUCAUCCUUGAAUUACCUUUAUACUUGAUUAACUGGACUACAUCACGGAGUUGUCGUCUUUGAAGUUUGAUGAAAUAAGGCCCAUGGUUGUUUUCCACUCUUAAAUUGCCUUUAGUUUGAAAUAAGGCCCAUGGUUGUUUGCUUUCCACUCUUAAAUUGCCUUUUUGACAGCUACAAAAAACUAUACUGAUAGGAGUUUUGAUUUCCCUUCUUCCUGUACUUUUUCGAUAUCACAAAGAAUUGUUCACGCCUUAUUUGUCCAUUUCGUGUUGACAUUUCAACUUGACAAUUACGAGAGCAGCAUGAUUUUAUUUAUGAUUAUUGCUGUUGUAGAGGUGUUAAAUAUAUAAAGUAUGAAAGUCGUAAUUUCAUGAAAGUACUUUGUAAUAUCAGCUUCCUUUGCCUGAUUGAUGUUGCUUUACAGUCUUAUUUGUCAGCAUUUUGUUCAGCGAGUUAAUGCUUUUUCCAUGCUGUGAGGUCAUAUAUGUUGCAGUCACAAAGCACCAAUGAUUUUUCCAUAGACACAAAAGCAAUGCUCCGGCUAUAGCAUUAAUUACACACACUCGUAUUUCCUAGGCUGCUGUAUAAAUAUGUACAAAAGGAUUGCUAUAUCAAAUACACGUCUAUGAUCAGUGCGUAUUAUCUUCCUUCUGACAAUGCUUACCAUGCUUAUAGUAAUCUACAUGGGUCUGGUUCCUUUUAAUAUCAAUAUUUGUCAUCAGAUUCUGAUAUACAUUGUUUCAGUCCAAAAUGUACAGGGUGCACAUUUUCUACAUUUAAUUUCGACUAAGACUUUCUUUUCUUGGUGGUAUGAUCACUUAUUAGUAAUUUGAUGGUUAUCUAUAUAUGUUGAAUUUUCAUAGCAUUUUAACCUCCCAUAUCAAUAUAUUUUCAUAAUAUAAAUUGUUCAAUUUCAUUUCCAAUGUAUUUUACUCAUAUAUUUUUAUUAUUUCAUAAUAUGAAUGGUAUGACAAAUAUAUGAUUGAGUCUUUUGCAAAAAAAAAAUCUUGACUCGUGUAUUUUUAAAAAUUCCUUUCAUUCUUUUCAAAAUAGACGGGCGCGAAAACGCGUGCCAUCAAUGAUCUAGUCAUAAGUGAUGUCCCGACCAGAUUCUUUCAACGUCAAUGAUUUUACUUUUUGGCAAGAUACUUUGGAGGUACGUAAAGCUAUAGAUCAGCGAUGGAUCAACGUUGAGGUCAGGUAAAGAGGCGAUUUGUCCACUUCUUCUAGGGUGGCCGCUACGGUGGUGCCGGAGUUGAGUGACGGGCAUUGGUAUCUUGCUCAAGGGUUUCUUCAGCCGAGAUUGUAAUUUUCUAUCUCGACUAGCUAAUGGUAGUUUUUGCAAUAGCUAGGGUUGUCGUAUCUUUUUUGGUUCUGUCAAGUUGGUUUUUUAGUGGAUCGUAAUUUGAUAUUUAUUUUAUAAAUGAGACACACAUUACAUCGAGAAAAAAAAUCAAGGCUACAGAUCAACAUGACCUCGUGUGUCCCGCAUGACCGCCCAGGACCUGUGUAGUGCGUACGCCGGAUCGUAGGCUCAUACACGAUAUUAGAGCAACUCUAGCAGACCCCACAUCCCGUCCUGAUUCGCAAAAUAACCGCCAAAGUGCGGGUCGGGGCGCGAAAAACGUCCCGAUCAGACCCCGCAUCCCGCCUCGGCCUGCAAAUGUUUUUUGCGGGGCGCGACAAAACAUCUCCCCCAACCUCUAGAUUCACGGGCUAGAGGGACGACCCGAGCUCAGCCCCUAUCCGCAGCGAGAUUUGGCGGGAGGGAUAUUUNNNNNNNNNNNNNNNNNNNNNNNNNNNNNNNNNNNNNNNNNNNNNNNNNNNNNNNNNNNNNNNNNNNNNNNNNNNNNNNNNNNNNNNNNNNNNNNNNNNNNNNNNNNNNNNNNNNNNNNNNNNNNNNNNNNNNNNNNNNNNNNNNNNNNNNNNNNNNNNNNNNNNNNNNNNNNNNNNNNNNNNNNNNNNNNNNNNNNNNNNNNNNCCACCGCACGCUCCCUAGCAGUCCUUCGCCGCCAUGGAUGACUCCCUGCUGUCCCACGUCACCGUCGAGGUCGCUGGCGCUCCUUCUCCUCGGGCGGAUCUCGUCGCCGGCCCAAUUGGCCCCGCUGUUGCCCAAGGUCAAGUCGCGCCUGCCCGCAAGCGGCAGGGCAACGUGGUCGUGCAGGGCAGCGCUACGGCAGCCCUCGCUGCGAGGUCCCGCGCUCCGGGCACCAAUGCUGUUGCGCGAUCUCGGCCGGCGGCGGAGAAGGUCGCCAAGGUCGCCGGCGUCAAGAGGAAGAAGAUUCCGGCCACAAAGAAGCCACCUCCUUCAUCCGCUCACUCCGGCUCGGAAAGAGGUGCCCCGACGAUGCCGCUCAACGGUGCUGCUCCCCCCGCAAGCGAGGUGUUUGACAAAAUGGCCGGAAGGUAUGUGUAUUCGGUCAUGGCAAUUUUCUUUGCUUUUCGCCAUUUUGCAAUAGCUCGUGACUUGUUGUGCUUCACUAUAGCGGUGGUUCGAACAAUGCAACUGCUGAGUUCAUGAACUUGUUGGACACCAACGCCGUUGACAUUGAUCAAGUCCCGUUUGAAGCAUUCGACUACAAUGAAACAGAGGCCGGCGUGGACGAUCAUGGUUUUUAGGACGAUUUAGAGGAGAUCGAAGCGGAAGCAUAUGAGCAAUCGCAAACAAAAACUGGGAAAAGCCAGAGAUUGAAGAAGUACAUGAUCUUGGAAGAUCAAGUUCUCCUGAAUGCAAGGAGUGCGGUGUCUCUUGAUGCAUGCACGGGUACUUGUCAAACCGCCAAGAGGUAUUGGCAAUGGAUCGAAGAUCAAUACUUCCGCAUGAUGGCAAAGUACCCCAAUAGGACUCCACGCACAUUUCGGUCUCUUCAAGGUCGUUGGGAGAAUAUCAAUCCUAUGUGCAGCCGUUGGGCAGCUUGCUUGGAGAGCAAGUAUGCAAUGCACCUCCAAGUGGAGCCGUGGAAUCCGACUAUGUGAGUAUGUUUUGCCUUUGUUCAACUUGUGCAUCAUCAUAUUACAUCAUAUAAAAUGAUUGCAUCAUUUCACUUUGUUCACAUUGUGUAGAAAAAAAUUGCCCAACAUAGAGACAAAUACAUGGAAGCUUCGGAAUGCAAAUUCUUCAAACUAGAGCAUUGUUGGGAGUUGCUCCAAAAGUGCGAUAACUGGAAGUUGAUCGAGAAAGAAACCCCAUAGAAGAGAGGCUCACUUACAAACAUGGAUGAUGAUGAGGACGAUGAUGGCCCAAGAAAUUUGAACAUGCCCGAUGGCGACAAGAAGACUAAGGAGAAGAUGAAGAGAGAGCAUGAAGCAUCGAGCUUGAGGGAGAAGAUUGAUGCCAUGGUGUAAUCAAAUGAGUUGAUGUUGUUGAAGUCGUUGGAGAUCAAGAAAGAGUUGGCUGAGAAGAAGGCAAAGGAGAAGCAAGAAAAGUGGCAAUUGCUCAGGGAAGAGGGGCUGCACAAAGCGGCCAUUGAGGAUAGAAGAGCACAUGCCGAUGAAAACAGAGCCAUGUCCAAGUUGCUCGCCCAAGAGAACAAGAUAAUGUCAAUGAACCGCAAUGACAUGGACGACCUCACCAAAACAUGGCAUGAUAUGGCAAGGAGAGAAAUCUUGAAGAGGAGAAUGGUUGUGUUGGCCGGUGCAUGUUAUACUUCCAGAGAUGUUUUCUCUGCUGGCAAUGUCGAUGAUUUCGGUGCAGGAGUUGGAACAAGCGCCGGAGGUGGAUUCGGUGGUGGUAAUGAACUUCAAGAUGGACUCGAUGGCGUGGAGUGAAGAUCGACCAAGAUGAUGCCGGACGUGGUCGUCACAUUUGCAAGACCCUCUUUUGCGUUUGUCCUACUAAACUGAGGCUUUUAUUUGCGCGUAAACUGUGUUAUGUUGUUUUAAUUUGAACUUAUUCGUGGGCACCAAUUUCAAAUUUGAGAAUUGGGCGUUUUCUGUUUGCGGGUCGACGCGGCGGUGGCCGUGCAGACACCGCAAAAGCCAACCCGUAAAAAAGUAUAUUCCACGAAUAUCCUUUUAUACAGGUCCGUUUGGGGGGUCUGCAUCUGCGGCCAUGCGAGCCAGCCCACAAAAGCCGUUUUCCACGAACUGCAAACGCGUUUUGUAGGCCGGCCGGAUGCGGGGUCUGGUAGAGUUGCUUGUCAGUACUUCAUAUGUUCAUAUCCAUAACCAAAAUAAUAGGUGCGGAUAAGCAUGUCUUAAUUAACCACCAUAAAAUGGGAUACUAAUAGGAUCCAGUUUAUCCCCUAUACUUAGCAAAACUAUAAAUUUAUACUAACGAACAAGAAUAAUAGUAAGUUGCGCGUCCACCCAUUUACCUGUUUAAUAUUUCAAUAAAUGUUAUUAAUUGAUUCCACUUAGUAUAACCAGAGCAUGGCUGCUAUAAAGCACCCAACCUGUAUAGAUCCAUUGCACAUCCACAAAGAUAGAAAGCUACAGAUACAACCGCCGGAAACACAACUCCUAAGUAAAACAAAAAUCUCCUACAUAACAUAGUUUUUCUACAAAUCAAGGAUGAAGACUGUCCAGGUGGUGCUCAUAUGCCUUGUCCUUUCGGUGCUCUGUUCAGGUAUUUUGCCAGUAUGUUUUUCUCCACCGCACUUGUAGGAAAUAUAUUUCGGCUUAUCCGUGCUCCUGCUCUCGAAACCCUGCAGGCAUCGCUGCUCGCUGUGCCCAGUACAACAUUUCCAAGGCAUGUCGAAGCAUAGCUUCAUGCACAGCACUGUGCACCUAUAAAUAUAAGGCGGACACGGUUUAUGGUGUAUGUGCUGAUAACGGAUGCUGGUGCGUAGUCUGCGUGAUACCACCUGCAGCUCAAUCUGCGUCUGCAGCCCAGAUUGCGCCUGCAGGGAAUUAAAGGAUAUCGCUUGCUUCCCUUUCUGCCUAAAUAGAAUAAAACAGUGUCUGAUUAAUGUAUUUUUCUCGUACCGACAACACUGUAUUGGUGUAUCAUGUAGCAAGGACCCGCGAGGCAAAAUAACAUCCUAUUAAUAUUGAGCGCUCUUUGGCGAAAUGCAUGAUUAAUCAAUUGGACACCGUAGAGGAUGUAUAAAUAUCCUUUCAUUGUGAGUGGCCAU